Molecule: long non-coding RNA, 98440 nt
Filed under: Triticum aestivum (bread wheat)
Lineage: Eukaryota; Viridiplantae; Streptophyta; Magnoliopsida; Poales; Poaceae
Description: long non-coding RNA (TAES_LNC003675)
Source: RNAcentral
UUUUUUUUUUCUUCUGUUUUGUUUUUAUUUAAUCUUUUGCCACUGUUUUGAAAUAAAACAAAUUCAAAAACAGUGACAAAAUUCCCCUGAACAUUUUAUUUAGCACAAUGGAAUUAUACCAAAGCACAUAAAAAUGUUUCAGUUAUUUGAACAUAUAUUCAGUAAUAUUUGGAUAUAAGUUCAAAUUCAAAAUAGUAUUGAUUUAAAUUCAAAGUCCCAAAAUAAAUCCUUUUAAAAUGUUCAUUAUUUUUGGUUUAGAUCAAAACCCUUGCCAAAAAUAUUAAACAUCUAAAAAGAACAUUUUGGAACAAUGAAUGAGAUUUUAGGGUUUUUGCCCUUCUUUUAUUUAGGGUUUUGAGGCUUCUGACUUCCUCAGUUCAAAUUUUAGAAUUUAAACAUGAUGCACAGAUGAAGCUAGCCUAGAGCAUUACCAGAAGCUAGGGAUGUGACAAAGAUAUGACUCUAUAUGAAUGCCUCCGGCGGUGUACCAGGAUGGUGCAAUGAAUCAAGAGUGACAUGUAUGAAAAAUAAUGCAUGGUGGCUUUGCCACAAAUACGAUGUCAACUACAUGAUCAUGCAAUGGCAAUAUGACAAAAGUAAUGUAUGUCAUGAAUAUAUGAUGGAAGUUGCAUGGCAAUAUAUCUCGGAAUGGCUAAGGAAAUGCCAUGAUAGGUAGUUAUGGUGGCUGUUUUGAGGAAGAUAUAAGGAGGUUUAUGUGUGAUAGAGCGCAUUGUAUCACGGGGUUUGGAUGCACCGACAAAGUUUGCACCAACUCUCAAGGUGAGAAAGGGCAAUGCACGGUACCGAAGAGGCUAGCAAAGGCGGAAAGGUGAGAGUGCGUAUAAUCCAUGGACUCAACAUUAGUCAAAAGAACUCAUAUACUUAUUGCAAAAAUUUAGAAGUCAUCAAAAAUCAAGUACUACGCGCAUGCUCCUAGGGGGAUAGAUUGGUAGGAAAAGACCAUCGCUCAUCCCCGACCGCCACUCAUAAGGAUGCACAAGCCAGGUACACUUCAUGUUUCAAAUUUGUUACACAACUUUAACCAUACGUGCAUGCUACGGGACUUGCAAACUUCAACACAAGCAUUUCUCAAAUUCACAACUACUCAACUAGCACGACUUUGAUAUUAUUACCUCCAUACCUCAAAACAAUUAUCAAGCACCAAACUUAUCUUAGUAUUCAACGCACUCAAAAGAAAGUUUCACAUAUCUUGAAUACCAAGUAUAUUAACAUGAAGUAAAUUACCAUGCUAUUAAAGACUCUCAAAAUAAUAUAAGUAAAGCACGAGAGUUCAUAUAUUUCUUCAAAAUAAAACCACCAAUGUGCUCUAAAAGAUAUAAGUGAAGCACUAGAGCAAAUGAAAAACUACUCCAAAAAGAUAUAAGUGAAGAUCAAUGAGUAGCUAAAUAAUUAUGCAACUAUGCAAGGACUCUCUCUCAUUAAAUAAUUUCAGAUCUUGGUAUUGUAUUCAAGCAGCAAGAAAAACAAAAUAAGAUGACAUUGCAAGGAUAGCACAACUCAUGUGAAGAAGCAAAAACUUAGGCUCAACCGAUACUAACCGAUGAUUGUUGAAGAAGAAAGGUCGGAUGCCUACCAGGGCAUCUCCAAGCAUAGAUGCUUGAGACUUGUUGAAAUAUUAUCUUGGGGUGCCUUGGGAAUCCCCAAUCUUGAGCUUUUGUGUCUCCUUAAUUCCUCUCAUAUCAUGGUUUCUCUUUUAUCAAAAGCUUCAUCCACAACAAACUCAACAAGAACUCGUGAGAUAGGUUAGUAUAAACCAAUGCAAAACCUUAUCAUUUUCUACUGUAACAAAUUACUAACAUUAUUAUUCAACAUUUAAUACUAAAUGCCUCUGCAUAUUUAAUACUCCUAUCCUCAAAUAGAAUCAUUAAACAAGCAAACAUAUGCAAACAAUGCAACCAUAACAGCAAUCUGCCAAAACAGUACAGUUUGUAAAGAAUGCUAGAGUAUCAAUACCUCCCUGACUCCAAAAAUUAUGAAAUAAAAUUCCCACUGUAAUAAAUUUAUCAGAGCUUAAUAUGCAAAAAGAUUCAAUGCUAUACCACUCUCUGACUUUUCUAGGGAAUUUUUUCAACAGCGGUAAACUUUCUGUUUUCAAACAGCAACAUGUAUACUAGCAAAAUAAGCAUGGCAAAGGCUAUCCUUGACUUUUUUUAUUGAAACUAAAGAUGCAAAACAUUAAUAUAACUAACAAGAAGCAAAAACUAACAAAAGAAAAUGAGGCUCCAAGCAAAACACAUAUCACGUGGUGAAUAAAAAUAUAGCUCCAAGUAAAGUUACCGAUGAACAAAGACGGAAGAGGGGAUGCCAUCCGGGGCAUCCCCAAGCUUAGGCUCUUGGUUGUCCUUGAAUAUUACCUUGGGGUGCCUUGGUCAUCCCCAAGCUUAGGCUCUUGGCACUACUUAUUCCAUAGUCCAUCGAAUCUUUACCCAAAACAUGAAAACUUCAACCACACAAAACUCAAAACAAAACUCGUAAGCUCCGUUAGUAUAAGAAAAUAAAACCACCACUUAGGUACUGUAAUGAACUCAUUAUAAAUUCAUAUUGGUGUAAUAUCUACUGUAUUCUAACUUCUCUAUGGUUCAUAACACUUAAUACUAGCCAUAGAUGCAUCAAAAUAAGCAAACAACACAAUGAAAACAGAAUCUGUCAAAAACAGAAUAGUCUGUAGUAAUCUGUAUCAAACAUAUACUUAUGGAACCCCAAAAAUUAUGAAAUAAAUUGCUGGACCUGAAUAAUUUGUCUAAUAAUCAUCUUCAAAAAGAAUCAACCUAAAAUCACUCUUCAGUAAAAAAAUGGCAGCUAUUCUCGUGAGCGCAAAAGUUUCUGUUUUCUACAGCAAGAUCAUAUAAACUUCACCCAAGUCUUCCCAAAGGUUCUACUUGGCACUUUAUUGAAACAAAAGCUAUAAAACAUGAUUAAUACAGUAGCAUAAUCAUGUGGACACACAAAAACAGUAAGGGUAAAUAUUGGGUUGUCUCCCAACAAGCGCUUUUUUAAUGCCUUUCUAGCUAGGCAUGAUGAUGACAAUGAUGCUCACAUAAAAGAUAAGAAUUGAAACAUAAAGAGAGCAUCAUGAAGCAUAUGACUAGCACAUUUAAGUCUAACCCACUUCCUAUGCAUAGGGAUUUUGUGAGCAAACAACUUAGGGGAACAAUAAUCAACAAGCAUAGGAAGGUAAAACAAGCAUAACUUCAAGAUUUUCAACACAUAGAGAGGAAACUUGACAUUAUUGCAACUCCUACAAGCAUAUGUUCCUCUCUCAUAAUAGUUUUCAGUAGCAUCAUGAAUGAAUUCAACAAUAUAACCAGCACCUAAAGCAUUCUUUUCAUGAUCUACAAGCAUAGAAAAUUUAUUACUCUCCAUAUAAGCAAAAUUCUUCUCAUGAAUAAUAGUGGGAGCAAACUCAACAAAAUAACUAUCAUAUGAUUGAAAAUUAAGAUCAAGAUGACAAGUUUAUGUUGGAAAUAUGCCCUAGAGGCAAUAAUAAAAGCAUUAUUAUUAUAUUUCUUUGUUCAUGAUAAUUGUCUUUAUUCAUGCUAUAAUUGUGUUAUCCGGAAAUCGUAAUACAUGUGUGAAUAACAGACACCAACAUGUCCCUAGUAAGCCUCUAGUUGACUAGCUCGUUGAUCAAUACAUAGUCAUGGUUUCCUGGCUAUGGACAUUGGAUGUCAUUGAUAACGGGAUCACAUCAUUAGGAUAAUGAUGUGAUGGACAAGACCCAAUCCUAAACAUAGCACAAGAUCGUAUAGUUCGUUUGCUAGAGUUUUUGCAAUGUCAAAGUAUCUCUUCCUUCGACCAUGAGAUCGUAUAACUCCUGGAUACCGUAGGAGUGCUUUAGGUGUAUCAAACGUCACAACGUAACUGGGUGACUAUAAAGGUGCACUACAGGUAUCUCCGAAAGUAUCUAUUGUUUUAUAUGGAUCGAGACUGGGAUUUGUCACUCCGUAUGACGGAGAGAUAUCACUGGGCCCACUCAGUAAUGCAUCAUCAUAAUGAGCUCAAAGUGACCAAGUGUUUGGUCACGGGAUCAUGCAUUACGGUACGAGUAAAGUGACUUGCCGGUAACAAGAUUGAACGAGGUAUUGGGAUACCGACGAUCGAAUCUCGGGCAAGUAACAUAUCGAUUGACAAAGGGAAUUGCAUACGGGGUUGAUUAAAUCCUCGACAUCGUGGUUCAUCCGAUGAGAUCAUCGUGGAGCAUGUGGGAGCCAACAUGGGUAUCCAGAUCCCGCUGUUGGUUAUUGACCGGAGAGCGAUCUCGGUCAUGUCUACAUGUCUCCCGAACCCGUAGGGUCUACACACUUAAGGUUCAGUUACGCUAGGGUUGUAGGGAUAUGUAUAUGCAGUAACCCGAAUGUUGUUCGGAGUCCCGGAUGAGAUCCCGGACGUCACGAGGAGUUCCGGAAUGGUCCGGAGGUAAAGAUUUAUAUAUGGGAAGUCCUGUUUCGGGCAUCGGGACAAGUUUUGGGGUUAUCGGUAUUGUACCGGGACCACCGGAGGGGUCCCGGGGGCCCACCGGGUGGGGCCACCCAUCCCCGGGGGCCACAUGGGCUGUAGGGGGUGCGCCUUGGCCUGUUUGGGCCAAGGGCACCAGCCCCACAUAGGCCCAUGCGCCUAGGGUUUAAGGGGGAAAGAGUCCUAGGAGGGUAAGGCACCUCCUAGGUGCCUUGGGGGGGAGGGAAACCCCCCUUGGCCGCCGCACCCCCUAGGAGAUUGGAUCUCCUAGGGCCGGCCACCCCCCCCUUGGCACCCCUAUAUAUAGUGGGGGAGAGGAGGGACUUCAUACCUUGAGUCCUUGGCCUUUGGUUGCCUCCUUCUCCCUCCCCAACACCUCCUCCACCUCCUUAUAGCUUAGCGAAGCUCUGCCGGAGUACUGCAACUCCAUCAACACCACGCCGUCGUGCUGCUGCUGGUGCCAUCUCCCUCAACCUCUCCUCCCUCCCUUGCUGGAUCAAGAAGGAGGAGACGUGGCUGUUCCGUACGUGUGUUGAACGCGGAGGUGCCGUCCGUUCGGUGCUAGGAUCUCCGGUGAUUCGAAUCACGUCGUGUUCGACUACAUCAUCCCCGUUCUUUGAACGCUUCCGCUCGCCAUCUACAAGGUAUGUAGAUGCAUCUAUUCACUCGUUGCUAGAUGAACUCCUAGAUGAUCUUGGUGAAACGAGUAGGAAAAUUUUUUAUUUUUCUGCAACGUUCCCCAACAGUGGCAUCAUGAGCUAGGUCUAUGCAUAGUUCUUCUUGCACGAGUAGAACACAAUUGGUUGUGGGCGUAGAUUUGUCAACUUUCUUGCCGCUACUAGUCUUAUCUUGCUUCAGCGGUAUUGUGGGAUGAAGCGGCCCGGACCAACCUUACACGUACGCUUACGUGAGACCGGUUCCACCGACUAACAUGCACAAGUUGCAUAAGGUGGCUGGCGGGUGUCUGUCUCUCCCACUUUAGUUGAAGCGGAUUCGAUGAAAAGGGUCCUUAUGAAGGGUAAAUAGAAGUUGACAAAUCACGUUGUGGUUUCACGUAGGUAAGAAAACGUUCUUGCUAGAACCCUACUUCAGCCACGUAAAACUUGCAAACAACAAUUAGAGGACGUCUAACUUGUUUUUGCAGCAAGUGCUUUGUGAUAUGAUAUGGCCAAAGUUGUGAUGAAUGAUGAAUGAUCUAUAUGUCAUGUAUGAGAUGUUCAUGCUAUUGUAAUAGGAAUCACGACUUGCAUGUCGAUGAGUAUGACAACCGGCAGGAGCCAUAGGAGUUGUCUUUAUUUUUGUAUGACCUGCGUGUCAUUAAAGAACGCCAUGUAAACUACUUUACUUUAUUACUAAACGCGUUAGUCAUAGAAGUAGAAGUAGUCGUUGGCGUGACAACUUCAUGAAGACACGAUGAUGGAGAUCAUGGUGUCAUGCCGGUGACAAGAUGAUCAUGGAGCCCCGAAGAUGAAGAUCAAAGGAGCUAUAUGAUAUUGGCCAUAUCAUGUCACUACUUAUAUAAUUGCAUGUGAUGUUUAUUAUGUUUUAUGCAUCUUGUUUACUUAGAACGACGGUAGUAAAUAAGAUGAUCCCUUACAAAAUUUCAAGAAGUGUUCUCCCCUAACUGUGCACCGUUGCUACAGUUCGUCGUUUCGAAGCACCACGUGAUGAUCGGGUGUGAUAGAUUCUUACGUUCACAUACAACGGGUGUAAGACAGUUUUACACAGCGAAAACACUUAGGGUUAACUUGACGAGCCUAGCAUGUACAGACAUGGCCUCGGAACACGGAGACCGAAAGGUCGAACACGAGUCGUAUGGAAGAUACGAUCUACAUGAGAAUGUUCACCGACGAUGACUAGUCCGUCUCACGUGAUGAUCGGACACGGCCUAGUGGACUCGGAUCGUGUAACACUUAGAUGACCAAAGGGAUGUCAAAUCUGAGUGGGAGUUCAUUAUAAUUUGAUUAGAUGAACUUAAUUAUCAUGAACUUAGUCUAAAAUUUUACAAUAUGUCUUGUAGAUCAAAUGGCCAACGUAGUCCUCAACUUCAACGCGUUCCUAGAGAAAACCAAGCUGAAAGACGAUGGCAGCAACUAUACGGACUGGGUCCGGAACCUGAGGAUCAUCCUCAUAGCUGCCAAGAAAGAUUAUGUCCUACAAGCACCGCUAGGUGAUGCACCUGUUCUCCCUGCAGAACAAGACGUUAUGAACGCUUGGCAGGCACGUUCUGAUGACUACUCCCUCGUUCAGUGCGGCAUGCUUUACAGCUUAGAGCCGGGGCUCCAAAAGCGUUUUGAGAGACAUGGAGCAUAUGAGAUGUUCGAAGAGCUGAAAAUGGUUUUCCAAGCUCAUGCCCGGGUCGAGAGAUAUGAAGUCUCUGACAAAUUCUUCAGCUGUAAGAUGGAGGAAAAUAGUUCUGUCAGUGAGCACAUACUCACUAUGUCUGGGUUACAUAACCGCUUGACUCAGCUGGGAGUUAAUCUCCCGGAUGAUGCGGUCAUUGACAAAAUCCUCCAGUCGCUUCCACCGAGCUACAAGAGCUUUGUGAUGAACUUCAAUAUGCAGGGGAUGGAAAAGACCAUUCCUGAAGUAUUUGCUAUACUAAAAUCAGCAGAGGUAGAAGUCAGAAAGGAACAUCAAGUGUUGAUGGUCAAUAAAACCACUAAGUUCAAGAAGGGCAAGGGUAAAAAGAACUUCAAGAAGGACGGCAAGUUAGUUGCCGCGCCCAGCAAGCAAGCUGCCGGGAAGAAGCCAAAGAAUGGACCCAAGCCCGAGACUGAGUGUUUUUAUUGCAAGGAAAGUGGUCACUGGAAGCGGAACUGCCCCAAAUACUUAGCGGACAAGAAGGCCGGCAAAACCAAAGGUAUAUUUGAUAUACAUGUAAUUGAUGUGUACCUUACCAGUAAUCGUAGUAACUCCUGGGUAUUUGAUACCGGUGCCGUUGCUCAUAUUUGUAACACACAACAGGAGCUGCGGAAUAAACGGAGACUGGCGAAGGACGAGGUGACGAUGCGAGUCGGGAAUGGUUCCAAGGUCGAUGUGAUCGCCGUCGGCACGCUACCUCUACAUUUACCUACGGGAUUAGUUUUGAACCUCAAUAAUUGUUAUUUUGUGCCAAGUUUGAGCAUGAACAUUGUAUCAGGAUCUCGUUUAAUUCGAGAUGGCUACUCAUUUAAAUCCGAGAAUAAUGGUUGUUCUAUUUAUAUGAGAGAUAUGUUUUAUGGUCAUGCUCCGAUGGUGAAUGGUUUAUUCUUUAUGAAUCUCGAGCGUAAUGCUACACAUAUUCAUAGUAUAAGUACCAAAAGAUGUAAGAUUGAUAGUGAUAGUCCCACAUACUUGUGGCACUGCCGCCUCGGUCACAUAGGUGUCAAACGCAUGAAGAAGCUCCAUGCUGAUGGACUUUUAGAGUCUCUUGAUUACGAAUCAUUUGACACGUGCGAACCAUGCCUCAUGGGUAAAAUGACCAAGACUCCAUUCUCAGGAACAAUGGAGAGAGCAACCAACUUAUUGGAAAUCAUACAUACUGAUGUGUGCGGUCCAAUGAGUGUUGAGGCUCGCGGUGGCUAUCGUUAUGUUCUCACCCUCACUGAUUACUUGAGUAGAUAUGGGUAUGUCUACUUAAUGAAACACAAGUCUGAGACCUUUGAAAAGUUCAAGGAAUUUCAGAGUGAAGUUGAGAAUCAACGUGACAGGAAAAUCAAGUUUCUACGAUCAGAUCGUGGAGGAGAAUACUUGAGUCACGAGUUUGGUACACACUUAAGAAAAUGUGGAAUAGUUUCACAACUCACGCCGCCUGGAACACCUCAGUGUAAUGGUGUGUCCGAACGUCGUAAUCGCACUCUAUUAGAUAUGGUGCGAUCUAUGAUGUCUCUUGCCGAUUUACCACUAUCUUUUUGGGGCUAUGCUUUAGAGACUGCCGCAUUCACUUUAAAUAGGGCCCCGUCGAAAUCCGUUGAGAUGACACCGUAUGAAUUAUGGUUUGGGAAGAAACCUAAGCUGUCAUUUCUAAAAGUUUGGGGAUGCGAUGCUUAUGUCAGGAAACUUCAACCUGAAAAGCUCGAACCCAAAUCGGAAAAAUGCGUCUUCAUAGGAUACCCUAAAGAAACUGUUGGGUAUAUCUUCUACCUCAGAUCCGAAGGCAAGAUCUUUGUUGCCAAGAAUGGGUCCUUUCUGGAGAAAGAAUUUCUCUCGAAAGAAGUAAGUGGGAGGAAAGUAGAGCUUGAUGAAGUAUUACCUCUUGAACCGGAAAAUGGCGCAACUCAAGAAAAUGUUCCUGAGGUGCCUGCACCGACUAGAGAGGAAGUUAAUGAUAAUGAUCAAGAUACUUCUGAUCAAGCUCCUACUGAAAUUCGAAGGUCCACGAGGACACGUUCCGCACCAGAGUGGUACGGCAACCCUGUCUUGGAAAUCAUGUUGUUAGACAACGGUGAACCUUCGAACUAUGAAGAAGCGAUGGCGGGUCCGGAUUCCGACAAAUGGCUAGAAGCCAUGAAAUCCGAGAUAGGAUCCAUGUAUGAAAACAAAGUAUGGACUUUGACUGACUUGCCCGUAGAACGGCGAGCCAUAGAAAAUAAAUGGAUCUUUAAGAAGAAGACAGACGCGGAUGGUAAUGUGACCAUCUAUAAAGCUCGGCUUGUCGCUAAGGGUUAUCGACAAGUUCAAGGGGUUGACUACGAUGAGACUUUCUCACCGGUAGCGAAGCUGAAGUCCGUCCGAAUCAUGUUAGCAAUUGCCGCAUUUUAUGAUUAUGAAAUUUGGCAAAUGGACGUCAAAACGGCAUUCCUUAAUGGUUUCCUUAAGGAAGAAUUGUAUAUGAUGCAGCCAGAAGGUUUUGUCGAUCCUAAAAAUGCUGACAAGGUGUGCAAGCUCCAACGCUCGAUUUAUGGGCUGGUGCAAGCAUCUCGGAGUUGGAACAUUCGUUUUGAUGAGAUGAUCAAAGUGUUUGGGUUUACACAGACUUAUGGAGAAGCCUGUGUUUACAGGAAAGUGAGUGGGAGCUCUAUAGCAUUUCUCAUACUAUAUGUAGAGGACAUACUUUUGAUGGGAAAUUAUAUAGAACUUUUGGACAGCAUUAAGGCCUACUUGAAUAAGAGUUUUUCAAUGAAGGACCUUGGAGAAGCUGCUUAUAUAUUAGGCAUCAAGAUCUAUAGGGAUAGAUCAAGACGCCUCAUAGGUCUUUCACAAAGCACAUAUCUUGAUAAGAUUUUGAAGAAGUUCAAAAUGGAUCAGUCCAAGAAAGGGUUCUUGCCUUUUUUGCAAGGUGUGAAAUUGAGCUCAGCUCAAUGUCCGACCACGGCAGCAGAGAUAGAAGAGAUGAGUGUCAUCCCCUAUGCCUCAGCCAUAGGUUCUAUUAUGUAUGCCAUGCUGUGUACCAGACCUGAUGUAAACCUUGCCGUAAGUUUGGUAGGAAGGUACCAAAGUAAUCCCGGCAAGGAACACUGGACAGCGGUCAAGAAUAUCCUGAAGUACCUAAAAAGGACUAAGGAAAUGUUUCUCGUUUAUGGAGGUGACGAAGAGCUCGUCGUAAAAGGUUACGUCGACGCUAGCUUCGACACAGAUCUAGAUGACUCUAAGUCACAAACCGGAUACGUGUAUAUUUUGAAUGGUGGGGCAGUAAGCUGGUGAAGUUGCAAGCAGAGCGUCGUGGCGGGAUCUACAUGUGAAGCGGAGUACAUGGCAGCCUCGGAGGCAGCACAUGAAGCAAUAUGGGUGAAGGAGUUCAUCACCGACCUAGGAGUCAUACCCAAUGCGUCGGGGCCGAUCAAGCUUUUCUGUGACAACACUGGAGCUAUUGCACUUGCCAAGGAGCCCAGGUUUCACAAGAAGACAAGGCACAUCAAGCGUCACUUCAACUCCAUCCGUGAAAAUGUUCAAGAUGGAGACAUAGAGAUUUGUAAAGUACAUACGGACCUGAAUGUAGCAGAUCCGUUGACUAAACCUCUCCCAAGAGCAAAACAUGAUCAACACCAGAAUUCCAUGGGUGUUCGAUUCAUCACAAUGUAACUAGAUUAUUGACUCUAGUGCAAGUGGGAGACUGUUGGAAAUAUGCCCUAGAGGCAAUAAUAAAAGCAUUAUUAUUAUAUUUCUUUGUUCAUGAUAAUUGUCUUUAUUCAUGCUAUAAUUGUGUUAUCCGGAAAUCGUAAUACAUGUGUGAAUAACAGACACCAACAUGUCCCUAGUAAGCCUCUAGUUGACUAGCUCGUUGAUCAUAGAUAGUCAUGGUUUCCUGGCUAUGGACAUUGGAUGUCACUGAUAACGGGAUCACAUCAUUAGGAUAAUGAUGUGAUGGACAAGACCCAAUCCUAAACAUAGCACAAGAUCGUAUAGUUCGUUUGCUAGAGUUUUUGCAAUGUCAAAGUAUCUCUUCCUUCGACCAUGAGAUUGUAUAACUCCUGGAUACUGUAGGAGUGCUUUGGGUGUAUCAAACGUCACAACGUAACUGGGUGACUAUAAAGGUGCACUACAGGUAUCUCCGAAAGUAUCUAUUGUUUUAUAUGGAUCGAGACUGGGAUUUGUCACUCCGUAUGACGGAGAGAUAUCACUGGGCCCACUCAGUAAUGCAUCAUCAUAAUGAGCUCAAAGUGACCAAGUGUUUGGUCACGGGAUCAUGCAUUACGGUACGAGUAAAGUGACUUGCCGGUAACAAGAUUGAACGAGGUAUUGGGAUACCGACGAUCGAAUCUCGGGCAAGUAACAUAUCGAUUGACAAAGGGAAUUGCAUACGGGGUUGAUUAAAUCCUCGACAUCGUGGUUCAUCCGAUGAGAUCAUCGUGGAGCAUGUGGGAGCCAACAUGGGUAUCCAGAUCCCGCUGUUGGUUAUUGACCGGAGAGCGAUCUCGGUCAUGUCUACAUGUCUCCCGAACCCGUAGGGUCUACACACUUAAGGUUCAGUUACGCUAGGGUUGUAGGGAUAUGUAUAUGCAGUAACCCGAAUGUUGUUCGGAGUCUCGGAUGAGAUCCCGGACGUCACGAGGAGUUCCGGAAUGGUCCGGAGGUAAAGAUUUAUAUAUGGGAAGUCCUGUUUCGGGCAUCGGGACAAGUUUCGGGGUUAUCGGUAUUGUACCGGGACCACCGGAGGGGUCCCGGGGGCCCACCGGGUGGGGCCACCCAUCCCCGGGGGCCACAUGGGCUGUAGGGGGUGCGCCUUGGCCUGUUUGGGCCAAGGGCACCAGCCCCACAUAGGCCCAUGCGCCUAGGGUUUAAGGGGGAAAGAGUCCUAGGAGGGUAAGGCACCUCCUAGGUGCCUUGGGGGGGAGGGAAACCCCCCUUGGCCGCCGCACCCCCUAGGAGAUUGGAUCUCCUAGGGCCGGCCACCCCCCCUUGGCACCCCUAUAUAUAGUGGGGGAGAGGAGGGACUUCAUACCUUGAGUCCUUGGCCUUUGGUUGCCUCCUUCUCCCUCCCCAACACCUCCUCCACCUCCUUAUUUCUUAGCGAAGCUCUGCCGGAGUACUGCAGCUCCAUCAACACCACGCCGUCGUGCUGCUGCUGGUGCCAUCUCCCUCAACCUCUCCUCCCUCCCUUGCUGGAUCAAGAAGGAGGAGACGUGGCUGUUCCGUACGUGUGUUGAACGCGGAGGUGCCGUCCGUUCGGUGCUAGGAUCUCCGGUGAUUCGAAUCACGUCGUGUUCGACUACAUCAUCCCCGUUCUUUGAACGCUUCCGCUCGCCAUCUACAAGGUAUGUAGAUGCAUCUAUUCACUCGUUGCUAGAUGAACUCCUAGAUGAUCUUGGUGAAACGAGUAGGAAAAUUUUUUAUUUUUCUGCAACGUUCCCCAACAGUUUAAUGGUUAUCAUUAUUCUUUAAAGCAUACGUGUCAUCACAAUAAUCAUCAUAGAUAGGAGGCAUGCUUUCAUCAUAGUAAUUUUGCUCAUCAAAGCUUGGGGGACAAAAAAUAUCAUCUCCAUCAAACAUAGCUUCCCCAAGCUUGUGGCUUUGCAUAUCAUUAGCAUCAUGGGUAUUCAGGGAAUUCAUACUAACAACAUUGCAAUCAUGCUCAUCAUUCACAUAUUUUAUGCCAAGCAUUCUAUGUAAUUAUUCUUCUAGCACUUGAGCACAAUUUUCCUUUCCAUCAUUCUCACUAAAGAUAUUAAAAAGACAAAGCAUAUGAGACAAACUUAACUACAUUUUUUUGUAGUUUUCUUUUAUAAACUAAACUAGUGAUAAAACAAGAAACAAAAAGAUUCGAUUGCAAGAUCUAAAGAUAUACCUUCAAGCACUCACGUCGCCAAAAAGAGCUUAGUUGACGGGGUGUGAGUACCGUUUACCUAGCCUCCCCGGCAACGGCGCCAGAAAAGAGCUUGAUGUCUACUACACAACCUUCUUCUUGUAGACGUUGUUGAACCUGCAAGUGCACAGGUUUGUAGGACAAUAGCAAAUUUCCCUGAAGUGGAUGGCCUAAGGUUUAUCAAUCUGUAGGAGGCGUAGGAUGAAGAUGGUCUCUCUCAAACAACCCUGCAACCAAAUAACAAAGAGUCUCUUGUGUCCCCAACACACCCAAUACAAUGGUAAAUUGUAUAGGUGCACUAGUUCGGCGAAGAGAUGGUGAUACAAGUGCAAAAUAGAUAGUAGAUAUAGGUUUUUGUAAUCUGAAAUAAUAAAAACAGCAAGGUAACGAGCAAUAUUAGUGAGUGUAAACGGUAUUGCAAUGAUAGGAAACAAGGCCUAGGGUUCAUACUUUCACUAGUGCAAGUUCUCUCAACAAUAAUAACAUAGAUAAAUCAUAUAACAAGCCCUCAACAUGCAACAAAGAGUCACUCCAAAGACACUAAUAGCGGAGAACAAACGUAGAGAUUAUGGUAGGGUACGAAACCACCUCAAAGUUAUUCUUUCGGAUCGAUCAAUAAAAGAGUUCGUACUAGAAUAACACCUUAAGACACAAAUCAACCAAAACCCUAAUGUCACCUAGAUACUCCAUUGUCACCUCAAGUAUCUGUGGGCAUGAUUAUACGAUAUGCAUCACACAAUCUCAGAUUCAUCCAACCAACAUAAAAGUACUUCAAAGAGUGCCCCAAAACUACUACCGGAGAAUCAAGAACGUGUGCCAACCCCUAUGCAUAGGUUCCCAAUGUCACGAAACCCGCAAGUUGAUCACCAAGACAUACAUCAAGUGUUCUCAUAAAAGACUCAAUCCGAUAAGAUAACUUCAAAGGGGAAACUCAACUCAUCACAAGAGAGUAGAGGGGGAGAAACAUCAUAAGAUCCAACUACAAUAGCAAACCUCGGGAUACAUCAAGAUUGUGCCAUAGAGGGAACACGAGAGAGAGAACUCAAACACAUAGCUACUGGUACAUACCCUCAACCCUGAGGGUGAACUACUCCAUCCUCGUCAUGGAGAGCGUCGGGAUGAUGAAGAUGGCCACCGGUGAUGGAUCCCCCCCCCCUCCGGCAGGGUGCCGGGAAGGGCUCCCGAGAGGUUUUUGGUGGCUACAGAGGCUUGCGGCGGCGGAACUCCCGAUCUAUCUUUUGUUCUAGAAGUUUUAGGGUAUGUAGGUAUAUAUGGGUGCAAGGGGUACGUCGGUGGAGCUUCGGGGGCCCCAUGAGGCAGGGGCGCGCCCCCCACCCUCGUGAGCACCUCCCGUAUCUUCUGACAUGGAGUCCAAGUCCAUCAAGUGGGUUUCCUUCCAAAAAUAACUUCUCCAGUUGAUUUCGUUCCGUUUUGACUCCGUCUGAUAUUCCUUUUCCUCGAAACACUGAAAUAGGUAUAAAACAACAAGUCUGGGCUGGGCCUCCAGUUAAUAGGUUAGUCCCAAAAAUAAUAUAAAAGUGGAAAAUAAAGCCCAAUAUAGUCCAAAACAGUAGAUAAAGUAGCAUGACGCAAUCAAAAAUUAUUGAUACGUUGGAGACGUAUCAGAAUGUUCUGCCAAAGCUUGGCUGAAUCAGUUGGCCCCUGGAAGCAUUCUCAGUUGGGAUGAGUUGGCCCGAGUGUUUACCAGAACAUUUGAGGCCACCUGCGAGAGGCCUGCUGGUUUGCCGGAAUUAUAGCACUGCAUGCAGAAAUCGAAUGAGACCUUGAGAGAUUAUCUCCAGAGGUGGAUCGCUCUGCACCACACAAUGGAGAAUGUAUGUGAUCACCAAGCAGUCUAUGCCUUCAAAGAAGGCGUUCGCUAUAGAGAACUCAAUCUGAAGUUCGGUCGGACCGGAGACAUAUCUCUGGCUCGGAUGAUGGAGAUUGCCACAAAAUAUGCUAACAGCGAAGAAGAAGACUGACUCUGGAGCGGCAAACACAAGUCAGUCGCCCAAGACACCGGAGGUGGGAAUUCCAGUCGGAAGCAGAAGCGAAAGGUUGAGGCAGCAGGCCCUGCUGAGGCAGCAAUGUUGAACCAGGGAAAGUUCAAAGGAAAUCCCAAGGGGCCCUGGAACCCUAAGAAAGUAAAGGAUCAAGUUGGAAAUGAUGUACUUGAUUUGUCGUGUCAUGUACACAAUAAGAAGGACGAAGAGGGGAAUCUGAUUCUCCCCAAGCAUACCACUCGACGGUGUCGACUCCUCAUUCAGAGUUUCCAGAAGAAAGGUCAGCCUAGUGAAAAUGAAAAAGAAUCUGAUAAGGAAGAAGACAAGGAUGAGGAUGACAGUUAUCCCAAUGUCAAUGCCACUUUAAUUAUUUUUGCUGACGUCGAGAGCAAAAGUCGAUUGAAAGUGAUCAAUAGGGAAGUGAACAUGGUUGCUCCGCCAACAAAGACAUAUUUGAAGUGGUCAAAAAACCCCAUAACUUUUGACUAGUCCGACCACCCAGCGCAUGUUGCCACCCCUGGGCAGCAAGCUUUGGUGGUCGACCCAGUCAUUGGGGGCACCCGACUAACCAAGGUUCUGAUGGAUGGUGGCAGUGGCCUGAAUAUCCUGUACGAUGAGGCCCUCGAAGGGAUGGGCAUCUCGAUGUCCAAGCUCAAUGAGAGUAACAUGCGAUUCCACGGAGUCAUCCCAGGAAAGAAAGCCGAUUCACUCGGUUAGAUCACUCUUGACAUAGUUUUCGGCGAUGAGAAGAAUUAUCGCAAGGAUAAGUUGACCUUUGAGGUCGUGGAUUUCAAAAGUGCGUACCAUGCCAUUUUGGGCCAACCCGCAUAUGCCCAGUUCAUGGCUCGACCAUGUUAUGUGCUCCUCAAGUUAAAGAUGCCCGGACCCAAAGGCGUGAUCACGGUCACUGGGAAUCGACAAAGAGCAGAAGAUUGCCUCCAGAAAGGUUGUAAGAUUGCUGAUGAAUAGAUGGCAGCAGUGGAAUUUCAAGAGUACCAGAAGAAUGCAGAUCCGAGUGAUUUGUUGUGUGCCAAAAAGCCUGCCUCUGAGUCUGCAUUUCAGUCGGCUGGUGAAACAAAACCAGUUCACAUUCACCCGACCGACCCCAAUGCUACUCUGACCCAUAUUUCAACAACACUUGACAGCAAAUAGGAAGAAGCGCUCAUCCAGUUCCUCCGUGAGAACUGGGACAUCUUCGCAUGGAAACCAUCUGACAUGCCAGGUGUACCCAGGGGACUGGCUUAGCACCGUUUGCGAGUCGACCCAAAAGCAAAAGCCGUUAAAGAGCAUCUCUGUCAGUCCACCACGGAGAAGAGGAAGGCGAUUGGUGAAGAAGUGGCUCGGUUCCUGGCAGCAGAGUUCAUCCGCGAGAUAUACCACUCCGAGUGGCUCGCCAACGUCGUCAUGGUUCCCAAGAAAGAUAAGUCACUUCGUAUGUGUAUUGGUUUCAAGCAUAUCAAUCGGGCCUUCCCGAAAGAUCACUUCCCUCUGCCCCGCAUCGACCAAAUAGUCGACUCAACUGUGGGAUGUGAGCGCUUGUCCUUUUUGGAUUCGUAUUCCGGGUACCAUCAGAUCUGUCUGUAUGGACCCGAUGAGAUAAAAAGAGCUUUCAUCACCCCAUUCGGCUACUUUUGCUAUGUCAUCAUGCCCUUUGGCCUUAAGAAUGCUGGCGCCACUUUCAUGCGCAUGAUUCAGAAGUGCCUGCUGACUCAAAUCAGUCGGAAUGUGGAAGCAUACAUGGAUGACAUAGUGGUUAAGUCACACAAAGGUUCCGACCUGCUGAAUGACCUCGCUGAAACCUUUGCCAACUUAAGAAGAUAUGAUAUCAAGCUCAAUCCAUCAAAGUGCACAUUCGGAGUCCCAGGCGGAAAGUUACUCGGUUUUCUCGUUUCUGAACGGGGGAUCAACGCAAAUCCAGAGAAGAUUGGCACAAUCCUCCGAAUGAAACGCCCUGUGCAUGUGCAUGAUGUUUAGACGCUUACUCGUUGUUUGGCUGCAUUGAGUCGAUUCAUCUCAUGCCUCGGUAAGAAGGCACUACCUCUCUAUCGACUGAUUAAGAAGUCUGACAAGUGUAAGUGGAAUGACGAAGCUGAAGUAGCGUUUGAAGAGCUCAAAACCCUGCUUUCCACCCAGCCGGUGCUUGUUGCUCCAGUCAGCAAGGAGCCUUUGCUGCUUUACAUCGCAGCCGCUGGACAGGUUGUCAGCACAGUGCUCACAGUCGAGCGGGAAGAAGAAGGCAAGGCCUUCAAAGUUCAAUGCCUAGUGUAUUAUAUUUCUGAAGUUUUGACUCCGUCCAAGCAAAGAUACCCUCACUAUCAGAAGCUUGUUUAUGGAAUUUAACUGACCAUGAAGAAAGUAGCUCAUUACUUCUCAACCACUCAGUUUCAGUAGUCAGUGAGGCUCCACUAUCAGAAAUCCUGAACAACAGAGACGCAACUAGUCGAGUGGCAAACUGGGCAAUUGAACUCCUUCCAUUAGAUAUCAAGUUCGAGGCAAAGAAGGACAUCAAGUCCCAGGCGAUAGCAGAUUUCCUUGCAAAGUGGACUGAACAGGAGCAACCGACUCAGGUUCACUCAGAACAUUGGACUAUGUUCUUUGAUGGCUCCAAGAUGUUGAAUGGCUCCGGUAUAGGAGUGGUUUUGGUAUCCCCAAGGGGCGACAAUCUCAACUAUGUCCUCCAGAUUCACUUUGAUUCAUCAAACAAUGAAGCUGAAUAUGAGGCACCUCUAUAUGGGUUGCAUAUGGCCAUUUCACUCGGCAUCCGGCGCCUGAUGAUAUACGGUGAAUCAGACUUAGUGGUCAAUCAGGUGAUGAAGGAAUUGGAUAUCAGAAGUUUAGCAAUGAGCGGUUAUUGCAAUGUAGUGAGGAAGCUAGAGAAGAAGUUUGAGGGGUUAGAGCUCCACCACAUACCCUAAAUCAAGAAUCAAGCCGCUGGUGAGCUAGCGAAGAUAGGAUCCACUAAGAAACCUAUCCCCAGUAAUGUGUUUUUGGAGCACCUCCACACCCCGUCAGUACAGGAAGAUCCCUUCAAGAAGAGCCCCCGCAACCAAUAAGUUCGACAAACCCGACUGAAAUCGAAAUCCCAGUUGUGGUCGACUUGGUCAUGGAAGUCUUAGUGGUCACGCCCAACUGGACAGUGUCGUAUAUCGUGUACAUACUCAGGAAAGAAAUCCCAAAAGAUGAAGAGGAGGCUCGCCAGGUCGUUCGACGAUCAAAGGCUUUCACCGUGAUAAAAGGGCAGCUUUACAGAGAAAGUGUCACAGGAGUGGCUCAACACUGUAUUACCCCGGAAGAAGGCCGAAUGAUUCUAAACGGGAUCCACUCGGGGACAUGUGGUCACCAUGCGUCCUCUCGGACCAUCGUGGCCAAAGCAUACUGAGCAGGAUUUUAUUGGCCUCGUGCAAAUGAGAUGGCGAAAGAUAUAGUCGACAAGUCUGUAGGCAGUCAAUUCUACUCCAACAUGUCCCACAAGCCCGCGUCAACCUUGAAGACUAUUCCACUCGUCUAGCCGUUUGCAGUCUGGGGGUUGGAUAUGGUUGGACCCUUCAAAACCGGAAGAAGUGGUUUCACUCACUUGCUCGUAGCAAUCGGCAAGUUCACCAAGUGGAUCGAAGCCAAGCCUAUCAAAAACCUCGACUCAAGCACUGUCGUCAGCUUCAUCAGAGAGUUGAUAUUCAAAUAUGGAGUCCCUCACAGCAUUAUCACUAAUAAUGGCUCAAAUUUUGAUUCUCAUGAGUUCAAGGCAUUUUGCACUUCCCAAGGCACUCGGGUCGACUGUGCAUCCGUUGUGCACCUGCAGUCGAAUGGGCAAGCUGAAAGGGCGAAUGGAUUGAUCCUUCAAGGGUUGAAACCCCUACUGAUGCGCGACCUCAAGGACGCUGCUGGAGCUUGGGUGACUGAGUUGCCAUCCGUCCUCUAGGGUCUAAGAACAACGCCAAACCGGUCUACUAACCGAACCCUUUUCUUCUUGGUGUACAGUGUUGAGGCUGUGCUUCCGAGUGACUUGCUGCACAACGCUCCCCGAGUGGAACUCUUCUCAGAAGCUGAAGCUGAGCAGGCAUGCCAAGACGCAGUGGAUCUCCUAGAACAGGAACAAGAGAUGGCUCUGAUCUGGUUGACCAUUUAUCAGCAAGAUCUGCAUCAGUUCCAUGCUCGUAAUGUCAGAGGGCGAGCACUCCAGGAAGGAGAUCUUGUGCUCCGAGUGGAUCAGAAACGGCCGCACAAGCUCGCUUUGGCCUGGGAAGGCCCCUUCAUCGUCACCCAGGUGCUUCACAAUAGAGCAUACCACAUCUACAACAUAGCCAAGAGGAUGGACGAGCCACGUGCGUGGAACGCAUAGCUACUCCACCAUUUCUACACAUAAAUCCCUCGGAUCGACGAGUUGUAAUAAAAGUACUUCAGUUUGCUUAUCAAAGACAUGAUUUCUGUAGUCACAAAUUGUUUGUUUUCACAUAUACUUGUGUUCAAAUCCCCCAGUGGGUGCUUAGCCGCGAACCUGAUUCGCCUAAGUUAAAAACUACUCCGAGUGGAGAGCGAUCCUCCCACUCGGGGGCUUAGCUCUGACCCUAUACUCGCCUAAGUUAAGAAACACUCCGAGUGAAGAGCAAUCCUCCCACUCGGGGGCUUAGCCGCGACCUUGUACUCGCCUAAGUUAAAAAAAACUCUGAGUGGAGAGUGAUCCUCCCACUCGGGGGGCUUAGCCACGACCUCGUACUCGCCUAAGUUAAAAAACACUCCGAGUGGAGAGCGAUCCUCCCACUCGAGGGGCUUAGCCGCGACCCUGUACUCGCCUAAGUUAAAAGACACUCCGAGUGGAGAGCGAUCCUCCCACUCGGGAGCUUAGCUGCGACCCCAUACUCGCCUAAGUCACAAAGAUCCUCUGAGAUGAAUCACAAGUACAACGUACACUCCACCCUGAUCUGCAAGGACGGCGAGGUGUCAAUUGAACACAUCCUCUGAGCUACGUCACAAGUACAACGUACGAUCCAUCCCGAUCCGCAAGGACGAUGAGGUGUCGAUUGAACACAUCCUCUGAGCUGUGUCACAAGUACAACAUACGCUCCAUCCCGAUCCACAAGGACGAUGAGGUGUCGAUUGGACACAUCCUUUGAGCUUCAUCACAAGCACAACGUACGCUCCAUCCCGAUUCGCAAGGAUGACGAGGUGUCAAAUGAACAUAUCCUCUGAGCUACGUCACAAGUAUAACGUAUGCUCCAUCCCGGUCCGCAAGGAUGACGAGGUGAUGUUCGAUCACAUCAUCAAUUCCACUCGACGGGAAGUGGAAAGGUCAAGUCCCACUCGGGACCAAAAAUAUCCAAAAGCGAUAAAGACAAAGCCAUCGUAUUCGAAGAAAAUCAAGUUUAGAUAAAUCCCGCAAAAGUUCAGAACAACAACGGGAAGAAGUACUCAGGUAUCAGGCCUAAAAGAGUUUAAUGGUUACAUAACCACUCGGCAUUCUGAGGCAAAUAAAGGUGGAGCAUAAUGUUUGUUCACUCGGUGGGAGGAGGACUUGCCGGCUCGACGAAGCUGUCAAGGUCGAUGAUGUCUGUGAUAUGGGUAGAGGCGUCAAGGAAGGUGUCCAUGAAAGACUAGAAGCUGAGCUUCUUAGUGUUGUCAACCUUGAGGGCCGCCAGCUUGUCUUCUCUAACAUCCUUGCAGUGGACUCGGACCAACGACAAAGCAACAUCAGCACCACAGCGAGCAGACGACUUCUUCCACUCCUGCACUCGACCAGGGAUCUCAUUCAGUCAAGUCAUCAGGGACUCGAGAUCUUUUGGGAGUUCUGCUUGAGGCCAGAGUUCAGCGUCAAUCCACGACAUUGCCACCUUCAGACGAGCGAGAUAGUUCAUAGCACUAUCUAGAUGAUACUCCAAUCAUAGCACACUCAUCACGAUGUCAUCUUUGAUAGGAGAGUUUAUGGGGUCAAGACCUGUCUCGACCCGCCCAGUUUCUGCUUCGAAAUCUUGACAAAGUUCUGCAUAGUCAGAAAGGUGGUGAGUUGACAGUUCAAUAAGAUGCAUCAGUCGACAUCGACAAAUCAGUCGGACAAAGAGAAAUACCUUCAAGCUUCAAGACCAGCUUCUCAGCAAGCUGUCCCAGAUAAGCCUCCAGUUCACCUUUCUUGGCCUUGAGACUUCCAACCUCGUCAGUCAGGGUCUCCUUGUCCUUCUUUAGAUUCUCAACCUCCUGGUUGGCCUCAGCAACAACAGUCUUCAGCUUGGAGCUCUCCUCUUCUAACUUGCUGACUGAGGCCAGCUUCUUAUCGGCAAGUGUUGUUUUCUCUCGCGCCUCCUUCUGCGAUGUGGCAAGGUCUUGAUCCUUCUUCUCUAGAGCCUCCUUCAUUCUUCAGACGAGCUUGGAUUUGUUGGUUUUCACGAUGCACAUAUGUUCGAGUGAAGUCACUCGGUUCAAGAGACUAAAAAAAUCAUCAGGAGGACAGUCGAUGAUUUAUUACCUCCCAUGGUGGCCGCUUCUUCCUGGGCCUUCUUGAGAUUCUUAUUGGCCAUCUCCAGAUCGAAGUUGAGGCUGAUCUGCUUCUUCUCUAGUUCAGCAAAUUGAGCCCCAAGAUCACAGGCUUUCUACGAUCAACAAAUAAGAUAUGUCAGUCGACAGGAACAAAAGUCAAUCACAGCGACAAUUGCUCUAAGACUACCGUCGAAUCAAACACUCAACGGUAGUCUCGGGGACUACACCCAGUGGGUGCACUUGGCGUGCCCCCACUGGUCCGGUUUUCCACUCUGCAUGGUCUGCCCAGCAUGAGUAUGCAAAAAAAAGAGCUUCUCAGACCCUAAUCGACUACCAGCAGUCGACCUUGGUCUCGGGGACUACACCCAGUGGAUGCACUUGGCGUGCCCCCACUGGUCCAGAUUCCACACGGAUUGUGAUAUUCAACCAUGUGAAAGAACAAUGAAAUAACAUUCGACAAAGACCCCCGCCGCAUCAAACACUCGACGGUGGUCUCGGGGACUACACCCAGUGGGUGCACUCUGCGUGCCCCCACUGGUUCAGAAAAACACUCGACUCAACCUAGUCGACUCAAGUGGAAGUACUAUUCAACACUAAGUCAAAACACGCAGUGGGUGAUUGGAUGCGAUUGGAUGUGAAAUGAAAACCCAUGAUAGAUGCACAUAAAGGUUCCAAAACACUCAUCCAGGGACACCUUACGAACAAUAUAGUAGCAGUUGCAAUUACCACUAGUCAAGGGACCAGUCGGAAAUCAACUAACCUUGACGCUGGCAUGCACAACUGUGCUGGCAUUAUAGGCAACCUGACUGGCCUCAUGCACCACCUUCAUCUUCUCCAUCACGAGGUUUGCCUGGAGAAGGGCUUCCCUGGCAGCACUCGGCAGGUCGUCUGGAGUGUGAUAUGCAGCAAAGAGCGAUGACGACAAUACAGUCGGAGAUGCUACAGGAUCUGAAGCAUGGAGCUAUGCAGGCGAGGCGGAGACUUGAGGAGUCGAUGCCGAGGGACGUUCAGUCGACAGUAGAUUGGCGAAAGAAACGUUGGCCCGAGCCGGAUCUCUGGAUCACUAGACCACCAUCUUCGGUGCUGCUGUCGACUGAGACCCUUGGCCUGCAGUCGUCCUCCUGCUUAAAGCCCUGCCCCUCCUUCCCAUAGUCUUCAGGGGCGCUUCUUCUUCGUCAUCUGGAAGCUCAACGACGUCCCGCGGAGCUGCAACAAAAAGCAACCGUGAGAGUUCAAUCGACCGACAACCCAGUCGGCAGAACAAGUUCAAGAUGGCAAGAGCGUACCAGCUUUGGAAGUAGCCGCGUCAUCAACCUCCUCAUCGCCUGGGGCCUUGUCAACAUCCAUGGAGGUCGCGGAGGUUGCUGCACUGAAAAUUUCAUAAUCCAUUCGGUCAGAGCAGGAGUAUGAGUCGGUAGGGAAACACAGAAAAAUGGGACACUCACACAGAAGCAACUGGAACAUCCAUCUUGAUUCAAGACUUUGAAGGAGCGACCUUGGGCUACUUGGAGACCUUCUCUGAUGGCUUCGGAGUCAAAGUCUGAGUGCGCUUUUGCACUUCUGUACUCGGAGCCACAGUCUUGCCACGCCCGCUUGCUGGAUCAUGGAAUUGCUUGGGUCGGCGCUCUAUGCGAGGUGGUGAGUCGACCUCCUCUUCAUUGUCUGACUCAUCACUCUCUUCUUCAUCAUCUUCAUCAGGGGAUUGCCAGUCGCCGCUCUCUUCUGCGCUGUCCUCUCCCUCCUGGGCUUGUCCUGGGCUUGUUCCCCAUUGGGCAUCGAAUACAUCUCAGUGUAAACCUGCAAGGCGAGAAGUUAGUCAGACAUCAGUCAGAUUCAGAAACAGUUGCAAGAUAGAUUGAAGUACACUCGGUAUCAAAGAUCAGACCUUGUCCGGCUGGUCGUCAGCAUCGAAUGGAUCGACUCUCCUGGCCCCCUUGGGGUUAUCCUUGUUACCGCUAAUGCUUUUCAGCCACAGGGCCACCAUCUUGUCCGGAACCUCCUCCGGGUGGACCCGAGCGAUGUCGUUAGCUCCCGAGUACAUCCACAUCGAGUGGUCACGGGCUUGGAGCGGCUGGAUGCAUCGACUGAGGAACACCUCUAAUAAAUCCAUGCCAGUUAUGCCAUCACGAACCAACUGGACUACCCUCUCGAACAACAUGCUCGUCUCUACUUUCUCUGUCAUAGUCACGGUCAGUGAAGAAGGUUGCUAGGCUCGAUCUAAUGUAAAAGGAGGGAGACCGAUCGACUGACCGGGGGUCGCAAUGUCCUGGCAGUAGAACCAGGUCGACUGCCAGCCCUGACCGACUCGGUAAGUGUCAUGGUAGGAAAAGUGCUCCUCUUCCUCAUCUGGAUCCCCAAACCUACGCACAUUUGGAUCACGUGCGUCCUCUCGUCAAUCAGAUUCACCUUCUUCAUGGUAUGGGGGCGGAUUGUAAAGAUGUGCUUGAAGAGACCCAGUGCGGUCGACAACCCAAGAAGUUUUCACACAUCGACACGAACGCAGCCAGAUACUUGAUGGUAUUGGGGGAGAAGUGGUGGAGUUGAGCACCGAAAAAGUUCAAAAAGCCCCGGAAAAAAGGAUGCGGCGGAAGGGAGAAGCCACGGUCAACAUGGGUAGCAAGAAGGACGCACUCACCCUACCGUGGCUGAGGUUUUGUCUCGCCCUCCAGCAGCCUCGCCGCCCCGGCGGCGAUCAAACCGGUGGUGGCCAGAUCUUCCAGAUCUUCUGGCUGGAGCGUAGAUCGGAUCCAAUCUCCCUGAAUCCAAGCCGGCGGUAGCACAGACCUCAACGAUGACCCCCGAUUCAUAUUCUUGCGCUUCAUCAGUGCUGUUGCAUUCUUUGUGUGCUCCAGCACCGCCGUCUUGUCCUUCACCAUGGGGAUGGGCUACACACUGAUGGAGCAGUGGCGUCGAGGGCGAGAGUAGAUGCGGUGGAGAGAUAGAGGAGGAAGAAGGGGAAUGAGAGUGCACAGUGUGGACGCCUUGGCCUCGGCGCCUUUUAAGGGCCUACUUCUGAGUGGCUGACGCAUGGGCCCGAGCGAUCCUGUCAAAUCCCGCAACAGUCGCGCACCGGAUACGUGGUGAAAAAGGUUGCACGGGAAUCGAGGCGCCCCCGUCUAUCCAUCCCACUAGCUACAGAGCGCUCCGCCUGCGCUUCCCCAAAUUUUUGAAUCACAUGCGAUCCAGGAUCCAUAGUAACCAAUCGCGCCAAAUAUCUCAUGUCAUAACGACACUCAAAGAGUACCAGUAUAAGUUCACUCGACAACCUCUAAAUCGAUCAAGGCGACUGAAAUGAAGUUGAAAUUCCAACAUAGACCUCAAACCCGGCAUGAAUAUUUGUGAAGCACAAGAGUCAAGAAAGGACCAACCUCAACCUUCUUUUCCACUCGGACCUCGAUCCAUUCGGGGGCUAAUGACGAUACCAUAGACCUAGGGUAGGGUCAUAAACCUGACCUAUACGCCCUACCCAAGGUCACCACCCUAGAAUCAAGGACGUUCAAGAUAUAACAAGUAUCAACUAAAGCCACCGAGUGCGAUCCACUCGACCAGACACCUCACUCGGAUACCCCCCAUUUCACUCGACCUGGAUGGAGUCAUUCGACCAUAUAGGAAACCACUCGGAGUACAGAAGACCUAGAGUCACUCAGGACGGCAACAGUCAGGCUUUCACUCUGUAGUCUUAAAGAUCAUUGAAUACACUUUAUAGCUGGCGUUACCAGUAACGCCCUGUCUUAAUGUACAUUGAACCCCUGUAACAGAGGUUGGGUGGGGUCCUGGUGCACUCUAUAUAAGCCACCCCCCCCUCCUCUGGGACAAGGGAUCACACCCUUUGUAACACACACCCAUAUUCCAGUUGACCACCUCAGGGCACCAAGAUGUAGGGCUUUUACCUCCUCCGAGAGGGGCCUGAACUCGUAAACUCGUGUGUACAACCUCGCCAUAGCUAGGGUCUCGCCUCCUCAUAUGUACCCCCUAUUCUUACUGUCAGACUUAGUACCACGACAGCCUUCCCUGGCCUCUCGUGCCUCUUUCUUCUUCUUAUUUUCUUUCUUCUCUGGCACCUUGUACGGCGCCAUGGUCAGCAUCUCCUCCAGCUGAGCCGACCGGGGGUCUUCGGGCAGCGGGGCCGGACUGUCGAUCCGCGCAGCCUUUCUGAACCAACCCUGUGAAGGUAGGAAGAAAGAGUCAGAUCCCUUGAUAACACACGGAUAUCCGAAUACAAAAGGAUAAAAUAAAUUUUAUUACCUCCCUAGGGGAUGCACAACGUUGAGGUCGACCCCCCCCCCAUGGCCGGCCACUCCUUCUAAGGCUUGAACGGCACCUUCCAUAGUUUUUCAUGGGUGGUGUCGUAGAAGUUCAACACGGUGACGUGGUCUUCGGGCUUGUAAGCCCACAUUGGGGUGUCUUGUUGCUGGUAAGGGAGGAGGCGGUGGCAAAGCAUCACUUGGAUCACAUUGGUCAUCUUGGCGCCCGCCUUUUUCAUGCUAGCGACGCGCUUCUGCAGCAACUCCACCUCCUCGGGAGACCCCCAGUCAAGACCUUUCUUGGUCCAAGAAGUUAGCCUCGCUGGGGUUCCGAAUCUGAACACGAGAGAUGCUGCCCAAGCUACAUGGUUUUGUAAUGUAGAACCACUCCUUCUGCCAAACCUUGACAGUAUCUAUGAAUGUGCCCUCCGGCCACUCAACCCGGGCAAGCUUNNNNNNNNNNNNNNNNNNNNNNNNNNNNNNNNNNNNNNNNNNNNNNNNNNNNNNNNNNNNNNNNNNNNNNNNNNNNNNNNNNNNNNNNNNNNNNNNNNNNNNNNNNNNNNNNNNNNNNNNNNNNNNNNNNNNNNNNNNNNNNNNNNNNNNNNNNNNNNNNNNNNNNNNNNNNNNNNNNNNNNNNNNNNNNNNNNNNNNNNNNNNNNNNNNNNNNNNNNNNNNNNNNNNNNNNNNNNNNNNNNNNNNNNNNNNNNNNNNNNNNNNNNNNNNNNNNNNNNNNNNNNNNNNNNNNNNNNNNNNNNNNNNNNNNNNNNNNNNNNNNNNNNNNNNNNNNNNNNNNNNNNNNNNNUUCAUCUUGACAUUAAAGACUUUCAGCCAUAAGCCGAAGUGCGGUUGCACCCAAAGAAAGGCCUCUCAAACAAUGAUGAAGGCCGAGAUGUGAAGCAUAGAGUUUGGGGCUAGAUCGUGAAAAUCCAGCCCGUAGAAGAACAUCAGCCCUCGGACGAAGGCGUGGACCAGAAAGCCCAGUCCCCGAAUAAAGUGGGGGAUGAACACCACCCUCUCGCCCGGCUGCGGCGUGGGGAUGACCUGGCCCUCCUCUGGAGCAUGGUGAACAACAUUGGUCGGGAUGUAGCUAGCACGUUUCAGGUCUUUGAUGUCCUUGUUGGUGACGACGGAGGCCUCCACUUGCCUCCCGAGCCAGAUCCGGCCAUGACCGAAUUAAGGGAAGGGAUGGAGAGGAGUUCUCCAGGGUGAAUGGGACGGAGCGAUGGAGCUCUGUAGAUGGGGAAAGUGAUGGCUAGAGGAAGAGAAGGCGUGUGCAGAUGAGGAUAGUAAUUUCCCUUUUAUAAGCACCUCUUAUUGCACCGCGGGCUUCACCGCUUCCCAAUAUGAUCGCAGCGUUAUGCGCAAGUGGGAUAACCCAAAAUCAUUAAUUGUAUCCCUUAAAGGGAAGGCACGAUCUCUACCUUUAUGGAACGUGCCAAUGGAGGAGUUGCCUCGAACCACGAAUCGAGCUUUUAUGACGGUUUGAUGUUUUUGACCAAGUGUGAGCCUUUGCCGGAAGUUAUCAGGUCAACGCACUAUUCACACUUUGGCGGUUGGCCUUCGAGGCUAAGCAUUAUCAGCGGUUUGGAUUCCGAACAUUACCCAAUUAACAUAUGGCCGAACUCAAGUUUAGAAGCUCUUGGAACCUGAUGAACGGAAAUUAUGUUGAACAUGAAGGAGAGGAACUCACCCCGCAAGCCGGAUACAUCGAGCAUGUUAAGAUCUCAAGACAUGAUGAAGCACCGGCGUUGGAGGCCAGUUCGGGGGCUACUGAGGGAGUCCUGGAUUAGGGGUCCUCGGCCUGCCGGCCUAUCCCUCGUGGGCCGGAUAGUCGGCCGCGUUGCCAAUGCUAGUAGGCCGAACUAUGAGGAGACUUCAUGUCCGGACAUGAAGUCUUUGGUGCCUUGGUGAGUCCUCCAAGUCAAGAUGAGAAGAAUCGACAUGUUUAUCCCUUCCUUGUAACCGACCAUGUGUAACCCUAGUUCCCCUGGUGCCUAUAUAAACCAGAGAGUUUAGUCCGUAGAGGAUAGAACAACAACCAUCAUCCUACUCGACUAGGGUUUUAGUUCAUCUGAUCUCGUGGUAGAUCGACCCUGUAAUCCUCAAAUACACUUCAAUAUAACCAAGCAGGCUGUAGGGUUUACCUAUUAGAGAGGACCCGAACCUGGGUAAACAUCGUUUCCUUCGUCCGCUGUUCCCCAUUGAUCCGAUAUCCACAGCUCGGGACCCCCACCCGAGAUCCGCCGGUUUUGACACCAACACCGGCUGCUGCGGGGCGUCUGACUAGUGAGGAUCAUCUUCGGCCGGCUCGCCGUAUCAUUCGUCAUCAAUCGUCAGGGUCGGUUGUGCCAACCCUGGCUACCCCAGCGCCAACCGGAGUGGCUGGCGUCGGGGUGUGCGGAAGAGGCUUGCAGCAUAGGCCAGCGGCCGCCGUUCGGGUCCUCCGGGUCAUGUGAGGCGGAAGCCGUGCGCUGGACCGGAUCGGGGUGGUUUUGCUGCUCGUUCACCAUGGCAACAAGCUUGCAGACGCGUUGUUGCCGCUGGAGGCGCUCCUCACCCUCCAGGAACUCAAUAUCUGCCAUGGCAACCUCCACGGAACGCAUGUUCUUGACGGGGGUGUCCUAGACAGGCGGGUUCACGCCGAGCGCGCGGCCGAUGGUGUCGCCACGACGUCGCACCUCGGCCACCCGGCUAGGCUCAGGAUUGGUUGGUGUGAUGCCAUGGGCCACGUCGUGCUCGCAUGCGCAGACUCCACCUGGCACCACUCAGCAGCGAGCUUUGUGGCUUCGUCCAGCAGGCACUGGCGCUUCUCGUUGAGAUGUGCUGCAGCUGCGGCCGGAUCGGCAUCAGGGAUGAUGGGGGUGCACAUGCUAUGCACCGCCACUCGCAGGGGGGCGGACUAGCCCCAGGCGAGCAGGAGCCACAGCAGCCUGCGCCUUGGGAAGCAAGCCGGUGGCGCUCGAGCUGGUGACCAGCACCUCCAUGCGGGUGCAGAGGUCCACAACAUCGCUGGAGAUGGCGCCAUCAAUAGGGACGGGCGAGACGGUGACGUUGUACACCUUGCUCGGGAAGAUGUCGGGGACGAGCGCGACGGAGACGUGGAACGUGCCGAAGGGAACGAUGGAGCUAGCAGCAAGGCCGGUGGUGCCCGCACCAGAUGCGGGAACCAUGCCGUGCAUGUUGUGCUCGCCGGAGCUGGUGAAGGUCCUCGUCCGAAACUUGACUCCGGCUGAUGCCACAAGCAGCACCAUGGUGGGCGCCAACUAUCAUGGUGAUCUCACGGCAAAUGCCAUGGGAUGGCUUAAAGUGGGGGGCUACGUCACGCCGGUGGGUUCCGGAGGCAAGGUUGGCACGCGCUAGUGUGUGACACGAGACGUACAUAGGUUUGGGGCCCUCUGGGGAGGUAACACCCCUAGUCCUGAUGAAUGUGGUAUGAACAGGCGGAAGGGGCUACAAGGUUGCUCCUGGAGCUGUUUGGGGCGAGGAAGGGGGAACUGGUCCUCUGCCUUGCCUCUAGCCCGAGUGUGUGUGUUUUGGGUGGGUUGACUAAUGAGAGCUCAACCCUUUGCAUGGAGGGGCACAGGGGGGUCUUAUAGGCCGCCGCCCCGGGGUACAAUGGUAAGAUUACAUGGGCACAGGGCCCUGGUGUCAUCGCCUGCAGACCGGUAGUAGGGCCAGCCUGGUCGCGGGAUCCGCCGGGUCCCCGGGCACGGGCCCCGUCGGCUGCAUGGUACUGUGAUUCGUCUUGUCUGGCAUCAUGGAGUGGUUGGCGCUGUGUGGCCAUAGUGUCGCGUCACCCGGUCGUCGUCCGCCCUGAUCAGCGGUACGGGGGACGUUAUAGCCAUGCUCGCUCCGGUCAGCCUGGGUAGGUAGCACACUAUUGCCACGCUUGGCUCGUCAUGGGGAGUUGUCUUGUUGUAUACCCGGAUGGGACGGCCACUGACCCACGGCUAGUCGGCACAUGGCCAGCCGACCAGCCGGGAUGCCUCGCCUAGCCAGCUCGCGCUGGGGAGCCGGCCAGCGAUCUGCCGGGUUGAGGGGCGCAUGUUGCCCCGUGUUUUAAAAAGGGAUCUGGGUUCCGCUGCCUACCCAGGGGUCAUCCCCCCCCCCACACACACAAAUCUUGCUAUUUACCCUAGCUUAAAAGGGGCCUUCCUCCCAUGGGUUCGAUAACUUAGGGUGACCUCUGGGGAAAUAGGUGAGAAUACUUUCUGCUCUAUUUCCGGAUCACUAAAGGAAGUAAUCAGAGCCUUUUUGUGGCGUUGUUGCCUUGGAGAAGUUGAGUAUUCCUAGUUUUUGUGUUUAGACUUUUUGUUGAAUUUCUAGUUUUAGUUUUAGUUUUGUUUUAUUUUUGUUGCAAGUCUUGUUAGUUGAAAAACCCCAAACAGAUUAUCAUAGCUCAUAAUCUUGGAAGUUUUGUGCUCCUAGCAAUAACUUUAUGCGUGAACCCAUAGCACAAAACUUAAUUUCCAUAGUUCAACAGGACCAAUUUGGAGACCUUUUCUAAGGACUAUCAAAGCUGUGAUAAAUAUAUUUGAUGGAAAUGUUAGAUUUCACUUACCCGCUAAAGAUCCUUUGUGAGACAUUUCCGCAAGAAAAAGAAAUGAAGACAUGCACCAGAGAAGGCAUUGUUGUUAAUGCUAGAAGCUACGGUCUCUGUGUAUUUGCACCUACAUGAUCUUCACUAAGGUCGAGCUAACUGACCAAAAACAAGCGCGUUGUGGGAGGCAACCCAUGCGAAUAAAGUAGAAAAGUAAGUUUUUUUUGUUUCGGUAAAAAGAGUGUUGAAGUUCUAGUUAAAGAAGUUGAGUUUGGAAGAGUUGUUCUAAUGAAGACUUUGUCAUGUGCAAAUUAAUUAUGUGUUGUAUUAACGUUUAAAUGCCCGAAUAUAUGCUUAUUUAUUGUGUUGGAACUAACCCCAUAAGAAUAUAAAGAAAACAAUGAGUUUCAAAAGAAAUAACACAAAAUGGCCUAUCAUGCGACCAACAAGGUCGUAUGGGUGGUUGUAUGAUUUCCUGAUGGUUCCAGCAGAAAAUAGCAAAGCAAUAGAGCAGACGACAGUGUUUCAUACGUGCGCCACCGCUCACAUGGCCGGUCGCAUGAACUCUUUGAAGAAACGGAGAAGAAGUCCAUAGCAUUUGACGACGUUUCAUACUAGCGCCACUUCUCGUAUACGCGAUCGUAUGACGCCCUUGACUAGGAAAGAAAAAAGAACAGAACAUUUGACGGCGUUCCAUACAGACACUACGAGUCGCUUGAGCAGUCGCAUGAGGUAUGAACAGACACGAAUGAGCUAUCAGAAUGAACAAUGGCCUUCCAUACAGGCGCUCCAGUUGUAUGGACCUCUAGCAGCCACAAAUCACCCGAGGAAGAAGGUAUUUUGCCCCAUCUCUUUCAUUUCUUCUUAUUAUUCCACCUAACCUCUCCAAACCCUAGCACACCUUCGCAUGAUCUCCCUACUCAUCUGAUUAAGGUUCCAAUCCUUCUGUGUGAUCGAUCUAUGGUACGUUUAUCCUCCGAUCCCAAAAUUAUUUUUCAUGAAUCCAUGUUCUACAUGCGUAGCAUUGCCAUGUCUAGGAAAUGCAUACUUUUAUCCAAAUUUGAGUUUGGCUUGGAUUCAUUGAUGUUUUUAGGGGACUAUGAUGUUGUGACUACCAUAGGAUCAAUAUUGUUUCAUUGUAUUGGACUGAUAUUUAUUUUGUAUAUGUUUAUGAGGAAGUCCACUCGUGUUCGCAGUGCACCGAGUUCAUCCACGAACACCGCACAACAACAACAAGUUUUCACUCAGGGGGUCGUCUUCACCGACCGUGAAGCAAGGAAGAAAUACUAGAAGCUUCAUACAGGGAAGGUCAAAGAAACCAAAUGGGCAUGUGAGUCUACACUCGCCAAGCUAGGUAUUACUAAUGAUUUCGAUUUGAUUUUGAUAAUUCCGGGUUGCAUCAUUUUUUUUAUCAGAGAUGUGAGACAUAUGAACGCAUUACGCUUGCAUUUCUUAGUACUCUCUCACAUAAUGUUGGGAUUAUGCCAAAUGCAUAUGAGGAGGAGGGAUCACUUUCCAUCUAUUGGACCAGGACUUCAACAUCUCUCUCGAUGAGUGGUGUGGUCACUUUCGCUUCCCCAACAACCAUCAUGACAUCUGCUAUGUUUAUGAGUUCACUAACCCGCACUCGAGGCAAUCCUCUAUCAGAUGAGUUGCCAUGGCUCUAGGAAAAGACCUAGUUGCAUUGAAAGUCCUGCUAUACGUUAUUUCUAUUAUGUUAUCACUAACUCGUUGCAGGCAUGAGGAGAAGUGUCUAAGGUAAAUGACAAGAAUAUGCUAAUUCUUGGGAAAGCAGCAAACCUUGACGUCGGUUAUUCGCCCAACCUAGGGGCAAUAGGUUUGCUACACCUCGCACACCAAGCAAAUCAUGCACAAGGAGAUAUCAAGUGUGGAGCAAUGAUCACCAUGUUGGCAAACUCCUUUGGCCUCAACUACAAUCACCUUCGCCCCAUUUGAUGAGCACAUGGGAACAUCAUAAAUGACAUUUCAGAAAAGUGCAGAAUUUAGUUGGAAGGAAUUACUAAGCCGAAUCAAACAAAUAAGUGACUAGGUGAACCCUAACUUAAGUUUACCUUGUAACCUUGAUGACACAACUAUGCUUUCAUCCCCAUUGUUGUUGGUUGAACUUAGGUAUCACAUGGAAGAAAUCCAACAAACUAUGAGCUCUUGAAGCAACCGGUUUGGUGGAACAAGUUUGAAGAAAACAAGUUUCAAGUGAAGCUGAUGCUGUCAGAUUUUACCUCUGAUUUUUCGUUGUGUCACACCCAUGUGGUGGAGAUACGGGGCCAUAGGGGUACAUCACCAUAAGCUCCAUCAAAUUAUAUUUCCAAUGCAAAAAACCUCACGUCAUUUGGAGUUGUUAGUCAAAACUUCUAGCCAAUCUCGUGGAAUGUGUCCAGGCUGUCAAGACUUCGCGAAUUUCCGAAGAGCUCUCCAACAACUCCCUAAGUUGACUGCUUAUUCCCACAAGAAAGUCAUGCAAACCUAAUUACUUUUGAACCCAUUUUUACACCUAGCUAAGGGGGUUGUCCCUGUUAUAAAACCCCAUCUCCCCCAUCAUCUAGAGAACCUUUUGUCAAAAUCAUUCAGCUACAAGCUUUUGCAGCAAGACUGCUAGAGAGAUCCAAGAGACCUUGCUACCUUUGCUCUUGUGAAUUCAUUCAGAUUCGCGAGAAGGAGCCUCUGGUUCCCCCUAGUUUGUGCUCUACGGUUCCGGCCGUUUUGUGUGGAUUAGUCCCGGAUUGUGGUUUUGCGAUUGUUUGCACAGUGGGUUGGAGUUCUUGUAGCUUCGGUCAGCCAUCCCCAAUGUACAGGUUGCAUCCAACCUUGGUAUGUAUAAAUCUAGUUAUCCCCGGCUGCUUGCAGCUAGUUAUCCCUCCCGAAUCGAUCCUACAACGUGAAGAUCGGGCCACCCUUGGGCGUGAACUUGUUCAUCGGGUUCUCACCUAUCAUCUGGCAUCAGAACUUUCGUUGACACGGUAGGAUCUGUUAUCAAAGUUUAUCUUGCUAUCAUCCCUUUAGAUAUUUUUUGAUGCUGUAUUUUCUAUGCUAGAAGUCCAAAGCCCCACUGUCGGUGUCAAAACCGGCGGAUCUCGGGUAGGGGGUCUCGAACUGUGCGUCUAAGGCUAAUGGUAACAGGAGGCGGGGGACACGAUGUUUACCCAGGUUCGGGCCCUCUCUAUGGAGGUAAUACCCUACUUCCUGCUUCAUUGAUCUUGAUUAUAUGAAUAUUACAAGAGUGGAUCUACCACGAGAUCGUAGAGGCUAACCCUAGAAGUCAGCCUAUGAUUAUGAUUGUUCUUCUUGUCCUACGGACUAAACCCUCCGGUUUAUAUAGACACCGGAGGGGGUUAGGGUUACAUCAGUCGGUUACAGAGAAGGGAAUCUACAUAUCCAAAUCGCCAAGAUUGUCUUCCACGCAAAGGAGAGUCCCACCUAGACACGGGACAAAGUCUUCUAUCUUGUAUCUUCAUAGCCCAACAGUCCGGCCAAUGUAUAUAGUCUGGAUGUCCGAGGACCCCAUAAUCCAGGACUCCCUCAGUAGCCCCCGAACCAGGCUUCAAUGACAAUGAGUCCGGUGCGCAGAUUGUCUUCGGCAUUGCAAGACGGGUUCCUUCUCCGAACUCUCCAAAGUAGUAAAGUGCAGUGUCCGGCUUCCCAUUUAAUGCCAUGUUCCUCGGCUUCUGUACUCCAAUAAUUCUAGCUUCCAUGUGUCGAGCGAAUGCGAGAAGUCGGGGCAUUUUUACACUUGCCACCCUAACCAUGUAAGUAAAUUGUAUAUUUAAAGAAAUGGGGAUCUUCAGAUCCAAUCCACACCAUAUUCCCCAAGUGAGGAACCAUCAGAGCGCACCCGCAAAAACCAUUCCAACAUGACCAGCGUUCGCAGUUCCUCCUCCUGCCCUUGCAGCGUCAAGUCGGGCGAUUGGGAGAAGUGUACCAUAUCCCACGGUCAAUUGGUGAAGUUGCAGACUUAGGGGUUUCUCCCUCCUACAUAUCUAGUCCAUGUCUGAGCCGGAUUGACUUGUUUCGUCGGCGGGGAGCAAGCGGAGAAUUUUCCCAAUCCAUCCAUGGGGGAUCGAGUGUGUCUUGUCUCUUACUUGCUGAGGGGUGUCAGAUUUCCAAUCCAUCCAUUCCUCUGCGGGCUCUUGGAGUACUAUGGCCUCCAGCUGCACAACUUUAGCCCUACCUCCAUCCUGCACAUCGCAGGUUACAUUUCUCUUUGCGAGUUAUUUCUGGGAUGUGAAGCCCAUUUUGAGCUAUGGAAGAAGUUGUCCUGCCUCGUCCCUCGCAAUCAAGAGGGAUCAAUAUUCCAAGUGGGCGGAGCCGAGAUAUGGCGCAUCGCCGGGACCGGAUACCUAUCCGGCAUACCAAAGAAGGCAUCCGAAUAAUGGCCUUCCGAGUGGUUUUAUAUAGAGGACGUCUCCCUUCCUGACCAAAUCCGAAUGGGUCUUCCUGAGUUUACAAACGCUCCAUUAAAGAAACGCCUCAACUGGCGUCCCCGGAGCCUCAGGGAGGAAGAUAGCAGGGAGGUCCUUCAAUUGAUGAUCAAUAUAAAAAUGCUUGCUCAAUCCGGAUUAACAAUAAUUGAGGUUAUGGCAAUAUGCAUAAUGCGGUGGGUACAGCCACUCCAGUGCCGAGGGUGUCCCAUGUGUCACUUCAACAGAGAAGACGACGCCACCCACUGCGGUCGGAAAGGUCCGGACUCCACCAUCGCUCUAGUGAAAAUAUUGUCCGAUUUAUACAAAGGAGAAAAAGAGGAGUUCAUCCGCAUUAAGCCACGGGACAGAUUUUCCAUGUACAACCCUCCCAGCUGGGGAGCUGCUAUCCAUGACUCAACUCUAUUUAUUCCCCGAGUCCUUUUUAAUCCGUCCAUCCAUAACAGGAAUGGCGGAAAAUUACCAGGGAGAUCCACAGCCAGAGGAUCACAACCGGGCCCUUGACCCAGGAUUCGAAGAGGAUCCGGACAUAUUCGUGGAGCUUGGGGAAGGGGUGUUUUACAAGGCAAGCUAUGACAGCACCGAAGUGGCCAUCAUCGCCGACUAUCCCGGCCUCCUCCCUGUAUCACAUGUAAGUAAACAGGAGACUUAUCUUCCAAAAAGGAUUCAAUCUUUCUGCCUUACCCACCGCACAAUUCUUAUGCUUUCAAGGGGAGGCGAUCGGUGCGCCAUGCCGAACCCGAGGUGACUCACGAACAAGGGGCGCCCAAGACGGGUAGGCUUCCAAAAAGGAAGUCGAACAGAAACACGGCCGAGCCGUCAUCAAAGAGGUAUGGUUUUAAACAUGCUCCGUGGUUGUCAUCUUAAAGUAUGACACUAUCCGUUCUGUCUUGCCAGAAAGAACAUCCGCCGGACUAUGUCCGGGGAUCCUACCCGUCAUGCCUCUACAAGCCGGAUUCCGGAACCGGUCUCGAGGGCGGAGGCUAACACGGAGGCGAUACCAGACAGUCCUCAUAUAGAGGAUUAGGAUAGAAUAUCCGCUGCAAAUUCUGAAGUGGAGAGCGCCAUGAAUCAUCGGUGUCGGCGUGCCGCACUCCGCGACCCUGGUUUUUCCUAAGAGGCUUUCAAUGCCUUCAACUCGGGUGAUGCAUAUAUUCGAGCUGCUCGAGAUGGGCUUGCUAGAGCCAUAGACCAGUAUUUGAAAGAUAUACGGGUAAGUAAAAUCUGAUGAUUAUGUAUAUCAGUAGCCCCUGAGACUUAAAACAAUUGGAACAACUAAUUUAAGGAUCAUUGUAUGAAUAGGUUCUCACAGAGAAGAAUAACCUAUUGUCUCAAGAGCUGGAGAAGUGUCAAACCCAGCUAAGGGCCGCAAAUGCCGAGCUAGGGGAAUCCAAGAAGGCCUCGCCUGGUAAUGUUUCUCUCUAUUGACAAAAAAACGUAAUCACGUGUACCAGCAGUAUUGACACGUUUUAGAUCUGAUAACAGAUUCCGCAGAUAAUCCCGGAGUGAAUCCGGAGAUCCUACAAGAGGAUGAACAAAGAGCUCAAAGACAACUAAAUGCUGGAGAGCGUAUACUUACACGGGUCAGGCAGGAGAAAACAAUCUCCAAGAUGCCAAUACCCGGCUGGGCGUAGAAUUGAAAGAUGUUCGAGCCCAACUAGCUGACUCCGUGAAGGAAAAUGAAAGGCUUCAACGCGGCAUUUUUAGUAUGUGCUCAAACGAACCUUUAUAUAGUUUAGAGAAGAAACGGACUAACAAAGUUAUGUCUGUAGGUAUGCUGACUGGCCGUCCCGAAGAAGAGAUGCCCGGAUCCUCAGGUGAUCUACUACAAGAGCUUUCGCAACUGCACGAGCAAGUUCGGCAGGCGAUGCGGAGUGUGGCCAAGGCCUUGUGGCCAUCCGCAUCCCUACCAGGAAGUAUGGAGGAGCAUGUAUGGCUAUUCAAGGGAGCGCAGCAGCGGUUCCGACUAUGGAAGAUAUCAGCUUGUCGAGAAGGUGCGAGGGAGGCUUGGGCCAUGUGAAAACACGGUACACCAAGCUCGAUCCAAAUCAUAUGACCCAGGUCAGACCUAUAGGGUCAGAUGGGAAAGAAAUUCCAGUUAGUCUGGUAUAUGACCAGGUAGAAUUAGCGGCCAAGUAUUCCCAACAGGAUUGUAAGCUAGACAACCUGUUGGAUGGCAUAGAAGAGGAAGUUUUUAAGUCAAAAUGACUAUGUACUUCAAAGGACAAGUUUGUCCCUAGCCGGAUUGUAAAUCAUUUGUCAUGGUGGACCUUUUUGCUUCGGCCUCCGGACCUGACAGUCCAGAGUGUUUCCGAAUACCCGCUCAGUAAUGUAAAACCGGGGUACGCGUGGAAACCAGGCGUAGGGUUCAUAGUUGCUUGAACAGACAAGUAUCCAACUAGCUAUGUUAUAGUACAUCGAUAGUAAGAAACAUCUUCCAGAGAGAAUAGUUCCGUUAAGGGUUCCUUUCGCUGGGUGUGCAUGCAUUAACGUGCAUGUCUAAUCUGUGAUUAAAAAAUCGCAGUAUAUUUGAUAUUUAGGGGUUCAUAGUGUUAUAAAUAAGACACGUCUUUAGUCCACCGACCGAAUAUUCCCUUAAGAACGCUAGCUUUCGGCUUCACCCAGACUGAGGUACACAUCUGGAGUACCCGGCAGUAACAAUCGCCGAACUAACGGGGACGUAGGGCAUAAGCACAUGAGCCAGGCAACCCAGCUUGGCCAAAACUUAAGUCAUAUUGAUGCAUAUAAUGGCAGAGAAAAGGCACAUAUGAAAAAAAAGGACACAUAUGGGAUGAGUUUUAUGCUCGAAAAGUUAUUGCAAUAAGCUUCUGUAUAAGAAGCCCCCAGGUAUAAUGAUCGCACGUACUUGAAGAUUAGUGCGUUGCGAGUGUGUGGUCCAGCCACACUAAAGCUUUAAAGCUACGAAAGAAAGAGCAAAAGGAGAUCUAAAAAUAAAUAGAAAAGAACGAAGGGAAGGAGACGAACAAAGAGUUCGGCGCUAGGUGUAGAAUCUUCGGAGUCUGGCCGCGUUCCAUGGGUUCGGCUCGAGUCGAUUAUCUGAUGCAUCACGCAGACGAUACGCUCCUCCGGUGAGAACUUUGUCAAUAAUGAAGGGACCCUCCCACUUGGGCUUGAGCUUGUCCUUUUUCUUCUCCAAUAGACGUAGAACGAGUUCGCCAAUAUUAUAAGUUUUGGCUCGUACUUCUCUGCUUUGAUACAUGCGAGCCUGUUGUUGAUAAAAUGUAGAACGGGCUUUUGCGAUGUCGCGCUCCUCCUCCAGGGCAUCUAAACUGUCUUGUUGAUCAAGAUCGGCUUCUCUUUCUUCAUACAUGCGCACUCGAGGUGAGUCAUGAAUAAUAUCGCAGGGCAAUACAGCCUCUGCGCCGUACACAUGAAGAAGGGUGUAUAUCCGGUAGUGCGAUUCAGCGUGGUCCGUAGCCCCCAGAGUACGGAGUCAAGCUCCUCGACCCAGUGCGUGUCUCAUUCUUUUAGGGAUCGCACUAGUCUAGGUUUAAUGCCGCUCAUAAUAAGACCGUUGGCUCGUUCGACUUGACCGUUUGUUUGAGGGUGAUAGAAGGAGGCAUAAUCGAGCUUAAUGCUCAUGUUGCCGCACCAAGUUUUUACCUCAUCGGCUGUGAAAUUGGAGCCAUUAUCAGUGAUGAUGCUAUGGGAGACACCAUAACGGUGCACAACAUCCGAUAUGAAGUCUAUCACUGGUCCGGAUUCGGCCGUUUUAACUGGUUUGGCCUCUAUCCAUUUGGUGAAUUUAUCUACCAUGACCAACAGGUAUUUUUUUCUUAUGGCUUCCUCCUUUAAGGGUUCCGACCAUCUCGAGCCCCCAGACCGCAAAAGUCCAAGUUAUGGGGAUUGUUUGGAGAGUGGUGGGCGGCAUAUGGCUUUGGUUGGCGAAAAGCUGGCAUCCGAUGCAAUGUUGGACAAGGUCAUGUGCGUCUGCUCGGGUCGUCGGCCAGUAGAAACCUGUACGGAAGGCCUUGCUCACAAGGGCCCGAGCUACGGCAUGGUGACCGCCGAGUCCGGCGUGAAUUUAAACCAAGAGUUUCCGCCCCUCCUCCUCGGAGAUACAUCUUUGAAGUACUCCGGUAGCACUUUUCUUAUAAAGCUCUCCCUCAUGGACUUUGUAGGCUUUAGAGCGCUGCACUAUGCAGCGUGCCUCGUUUUGAUCCUCGGGGAGUUCUUGCCUAUUAAGGUGAUCAAGAAGGGUUCAAUCCAUGGGGUGAUAACGGCCAUGAUGAGAUGGGCCGAAGGUGUUAUUUCGGUGGCGGAGCCUCCGAUUAUAUCAGUGUGUUCGGAAUCUGGGGUUCUGGUCGGAUCCAGACUGGUGUUGCCGGUCUCCUCUUGCCACACCACGGAUGGCUUGAAAAGCCUUUCCAGAAAGAUGUUAGGUGGUACGGGGUCGCGUUUAGCACCGAUGCAGGCAAGAACAUCCGCCGCUUGAUUAUUUUCUCGAACCACAUGAUGGAAUUCAAGCCCCUCGAAUUGAGCUGACAUUUUAAGGACAGCGUUUCGAUAAGCCACCAUUUUUGGAUCCUUGGCAUCGAAGUCUCCAUUUAUUUGAGAUAUUGCGAGGUUUGAAUCCCCACGCACUUCCAGGCGCUGGAUGCCCAUGGAGACAGCCAUCCGAAGACCAUGCAACAGAGCCUCGUAUUCGGCUGCAUUAUUGGAGUCUGUAUAUAAUAUUUGGAGUACGUAUUGGACUGUAUCUCCAGUGGGGGAUUUAGGACAACACCUGCUCCUAGACCUGCCGGCAUUUUAGAGCAGUCGAAGUGCAUGAUCCAACUGGAGUAUGCGCCGUACUCUUUAGGGAGUUUGGCCUCUGUCCAUUCGGCGAUAAAGUCAGCCAGUACUUGCGAUUUAAUGGCCUGCCGUGGUUUGUAUGUAAUGUCAAAGGGAGGAGCUCGAUAGCCCACUUAGCAAUCCAGCCCGUUGCAUCGCGGUUGUUUAUUAUGUCAUGGAGUGGUACUUUGGAGGCCACCAUGAUUGAACACUCUUGAAAGUAGUGUCGUAGUUUUCGGGAUGCCAUGAAGACCGCGUAUGCUAUUUUUUGAUACUGGGGGUACCGAGAUUUGCAUGGUGUGAGGACAGUGGAUACGUAGUAUACUGACUUUUGAAGCGGGAACCUGUGUCCGUCCUCCUCUCGUUCGACGACGAACACCGCACUCACAACUUGGUGCGUUGCAGCUAUGUAUAACAACAUGGGUUCGCCAACGUUUGGUGCGGCCAGGAUUGGGUUGCUUGCUAAAAGAACCUUUAUUUCUUCCAGUCCGGCCGUCGCCGCGUCCGUCCACUCGAAGUGUUCGGUUCGUCGAAGAAGGCGAUAAAGUGGUAAUGCCUUUUCUCCCAAUCUGGAGGUAAAGCAGCUUAAAGCAGCCACGCAUCCAGUUAGUUUCUGGAUUAGUUUGAGAUCUGUUGGGGUAGCCAACUGUGACAAAGCUCGGAUUUUAGCUGGGUUUGCUUCAAUUCCUCGAUUGGAAAUGAUGAAGCCCAGCAGCUUUCCGACAGGAACGCCGAAAACACAUUUUUCCGGAUUAAGAUUGAUGUCAUAUGUUCGGAGGUUGUCGAAUGUGAGCCUCAGAUCGUCUAUUAAAGAUUCUACAUGUCUGGUCUUGAUGACCACGUCGUCCAUGUAUCCUUCAACUGUUUUGCCGAUUUGUUUCUCCAGGCAUGUUUGAAUCAUGCAUUGGUAGGUCGCACUGGCGUUUUUGAGCCUGAAAGGCAUAGUGUUGAAGCAGAAAGGCCCAUAUGGGGUAAUAAAUGUUGUUGCGGCUUGAUCGAACUCCGUCAUCUUGAUUUGAUGGUAUCCGAAGUAUGCGUCGAGGAAACACAAUGAUUCAUGCCCUGCGGUAGCAUCGAUAAUCUGAUCAAUGUGGGGGAGAGGGAAGGGAUCCUUGGGCAAGCCUUGUUGAGGUCCUUAAAAUCGACACAUAGGUGCCAGGAUUUAUCCUUCUUUGGUACCAUCACCGGGUUUGCUAGGCAAUCCGGGUGUUUUAUUUCUCUGAUGAAUCCGGCUUCAAGUAGCUUGGCUAACUCCUCUCCCAUAGCCUGUCGUUUGGGUUCUGAAAAGCGUCGUAGUGUCUACUUGACCGGCUUAUAUCCCUUCAAUAUGUUGAGGCUAUGCUCGGCCAGCCUGUGUGGGAUCCCUGGCAUGUCUGAAGGGUGCCAGGCGAAGAUAUCCCAAUUCUCACGUAAAAACGCCCGUAGUGUGACGUUGAUUGUGUGGUCCAGUUGUGCCCCGAUGGAUGCUGUUUUUGUGGAGUCCGUUGUGUGGACUUGGAAUUUGACUAUUCCGUCCGCUGGUUUGAAGGAGGUGGACUUGGAUCACUUAUCGAGUAUCACGUCGUCCCUAUCCACUGUGGAGCGUAAUGCAGUUAAUUCUUUGGCCGCGAGGGCUUCGGAUAAUGCCUCUAGGGCCAGGGCGGCGGUUUUAUUUUUGGCAUGGAGUGCUAUGUCCGGAUCACUGGCAAGAGUGAUGAUUCCAUUGGGCCCAGGCAUCUUGAGCUUCAUGUACCCAUAGUGGGGUAUAGCUUGGAAGCUCGCGAAUGUGUCCCGCCCAAACAAGGCGUGGUAUCCGCUAUUGAAGGGGGCCACUUGGAAUGUUAUCUCUUCGGACCUGUAAUUAUCCGGCGUGCCGAAUACCACAUCGAGUUUGAUUUUUCCCGCACAUCAUGCCUCUCGACUGGGAAUAAUUCCUCGGAAGGUCGUGGUGCUUUGCUCAAUGCGGCUCCUGUCUAUUUCCAUUUUGUUGAGAGUUUCCUCGUAAAUGAGGUUUAGUCCGCUGCCGCCGUCCAUGAGCACUUUGGUGAGCCCGAAGCCGUCCACAAUUGGACUGAGGACCAAAGCGGCUGGUUCCCAGACUGUUUUGAAUUGAGGUUCGUUGCUGGCAUUGAAAGUUAUAGCUGUGUCGUUCCAGGGGUUUAUUGCUGCAAUGUGGCAGACUUCGGCGAGGCUGUGGAGUGCUCUCUUGUGCUUGUUAUUCGAGGCGAAAGUCUCGAAGACUUUCAAUACUGUAGUACUGUUGUUUUCCAUGGGAUGAUGCUCUGCGGUGUUGUUGAUGAGGAGAUCACCGCCGCUCUUGGCCACCUGCCGAAGUAUCCAACAUGCUCUAAGGUUGUGUGUUGGUAUAGUAUCCGGUGUGGUGUGUAUUUUGCAUGGCCUAUCGAGACAUCCCUCCCACACAGUUCCGCGCCCUGUAGUGGGCUUCGGUUUCUUUGUGAUUGGAUCGGGUGACCUGCGAGGGUGCACCCUUUUUGUUCGGAUGAGGGGUUUAGUGAGAGCCAGUGGAUCCCAAAAGGUUGUCUGAGUUUUCCAAGUGCUUUCCAUCGCGCAAUACUUCUGUACUAUCGCUGCCAAGUCAGCAAAGUGCGAUAUGUGACAGCGAUUUAUGGCGUUAAGGAUUCCCUUGUCCGUGCAAUUUUUGCAAAAUGAUGAGAUUGUGUCUUCAUCACGACAGUCCUUAACCUUGUUCAUUACAAGGAGGAAUCUGGCCCAAAAGUGAUGUACUGUCUCUUGGGAUUGUUGUCUGAUGUGGGAAAGAUCGCUUGUAUCUAGGUGGGUGGGUGGAUUUAAGUCUGAACCCUAACCCAAUCUGGUACCCAGAGCUUGAGGAGCUUCCGAGCUUAAUAGUUCGAGUUCCGGGAUGUUAACCAAUUUUUCUGGCCCACAGUCCGAUUCUAAGUUCAGAGUUCAAGGCAUGUCCUCCCGCGAGCGGGUAUCCGGCUCAGUGAGCUCGGUAAUCCGGACAUAGUUCAUCCUCAAUAUAGUGGAAGAGUUGUUGCAUUGCUCCUCCACCACCGCUAUCUGAUGGGUGAUCGGCGGAGAGUUAAUGUCCCCUUGAUCGGGUUUAAGCCCAAUCCGAUCGUUGUCUGUAGUGACUCCCAAGGCGGCGAUACGAUCCAGGAGCUCGUUCAAGGGCGAUUACUCCGUCGGAUCCAUCUGCUCGACGUAUUCUGUGCUGACGUGGAGACGAUUUUCGAUGACCCGAGAAGUCAUCAUCGGCCCGACGGCCGAACGAGCGGUCAUAACGAAGCUGCCCAGCCGGAGGGUUUGGCUUGAGGCCAGGGCUCCCCCGGAGGUGACGUUGUCCUCGAUAACAAGGCGAGCCAUCAACCCUAUCUUCGACAUCACAAUAGAACUCUCAAUGAAAGCACCAAUGUCAGUGUCAAAACUGGCGGAUCUCGGGUAGGGGGUCCCGAACUGUGCGUCUAAGGCUAAUGGUAACAGGAGGCGGGGGACACGAUGUUUACCCAGGUUCGGGCCCUCUCUAUGGAGGUAAUACCCUACUUCCUGCUUGAUUGAUCUUGAUGAUAUGAGUAUUACAAGAGUGGAUCUACCACGAGAUCGUAGAGGCUAACCCUAGAAGCCAGCCUAUGAUUAUGAUUGUUCUUCUUGUCCUACGGACUAAACCUUCCGGUUUAUAUAGACACCGGAGGGGUUAGGGUUACAUCAGGUCGGUUACAGAGAAGGGAAUCUACAUAUCCGAAUCGCCAAGCCUGCCUUCCACGCAAAGGAGAGUCCCACCCGAAUACGGGACGAAGUCUUCUAUCUUGUAUCUUCAUAGCCCAACAGUCCGGCUAAUGUAUAUAGUCUGGCUGUCCGAGGACUCCAUAAUCCAAGACUACCUCACCCACCAAAAAUAAAUCCAAGCCUUUUUGGUGCCGAGAUCUUGUUGUUGCAUACCUUGCAUGUUCUUCAUCUUUUAGAUCUGCACCAAGUUCAUCUUCAUAAUUGCUUUCAGUUUUGGUUGUUGUGCUUUGGAAAAAGAGAGAGAAAAAGAGUGGCAAAAAAUCAAAGAAAGAAAAAAGGAGUGGCGAAAAAAAGUCAAGAUAGAAAAAGAAAGUGUUGUGUAAGAUCCAAAAGUUACAGCUUGGUAGAAAAAUUUCAGAAGCUUGUGUGUUGUGUGCUUUCACUCUUGGUGCAAAAGUGCAGCAGAUCUAUCCCCAUAUUUUCUUGGUUUGCAUCAACUUGAUUUCAGGAGAAGCCCCUUUUUGUUUAACCCACCGAGCUCCACCAAAAACCGAAGCUUGUUCUUUGAUCCCUGUCCUUCAAUCGCUUUAACACAUCCGGGAGAAGCACAAUCUGAUAUGAACUCAUAAGAACUUUGGUGAGUAAGAGGUGAGGUUGUGUGAUCCCACAAAAUUAUCCUAUUCCACUUUUGGCCUUACUAACAUGGUAGGAUCUAGAUCGAGUGUUCAUGGAGAAAACCAUGGGGAAGAAGAUGCCCCAUUCACACGUGCUGAGUUUCUGGAAUUACUGAACAUGGUUCGAGAAUUUCAUAGGAGGCUUAAUGAGCGUCUUCAAGCAGGUGGUGAUGGGGUUCGACAUCAACAUACCCUGUUGCUCAUGAAGUGCAACAAAGAAGACAUGCUCGAGAGUAUGGUGUUGCUACUCGUGGGCGUGUCUCUAGUACUCAUGAAGUGCAACAAAGAAGACAUGCUCGAGGGCUUGAUGUUGCCGCUUGUGGGCAUGUCACUGCUCCUCAAGAAGUGCGGCAAGGAGGACAUGCUCGAGGGCAUGGUGUUUAUUCUCAUGGGUGUGACAAUGCUGCUCCUAAAGUGCAACAAGGAUGUCAUGCUCGAGGGAGAAGUUGUGGCACCCAUCGGUACAACAACAACCCACCGCAAUGCAUGGUUGUGGUUGAUGGAACGGCUCCGGUGAUUCAGAUCCCAUGUUCACCUAAGAGGCUCACUCCUAAUGUUGGCAUCUCCAUCACCACUACUGUCCCAACAUCCAAGAAACAUGUCCCACAAAUUCCAUGUGAGGAAGAGAGUCCACAAUCCAAAAUCCCACAACAUGAGAGUGAUAAGAAAAGCAAGCUAAGUGACUCCACCAAAAGUGAGGAAGGGUGUCUACUUUCAAAAAUCCCACCACUUGAGAGUGAAAAGAAAAUUGAGUUGAGUGACCCCACCAAAAGUGAGGAAGAGUGUCCACUUUCAAAUAUCCCACAACUUGAGAAUGAAAAGAAGAAUGAGUUGAGUGACUCCACCAAAUGUGAGGAAGAUUUUUCACUUUCCACAAUUCCAUAUAUUGAGAGUAAGAAAAGUGAGGUGAGUGAGUCCACAAAAUGUGAGUAUCAGAUUGUUCAUCAUGAGAUUAGAGAAAUGAAAGAUCUCCACCUAGAUAUACCACACAUUGAGGGAGAGAAGAUAAAUGAGUUGUGUGAGUCCACAAAAUGUGAGAUUGAGACCAUUCCACACCUCAUUAGAGAGAUAAGUGAUCCAUGACCCAAUAUACCACACAAUAAGAGUGAGAGGAUAAGUGAGUUAUAUGAGUCCACUAAAUGUGAGGUUGAGAUUUUUCAACAAAAGAAUAGCGAGAUGAGUGAUCCACCGCCAUGUGAAAUUCCACCAAAUGAAAAGAGAGAGGAACAUUCAAUGACUAACCUUUCACAAAAUUCUCUUUCUUUGCAAUAUGUGCAGGUGCUAAAGGCAUAUCUAUCAUCUCUCUUGCAACGAUGGGAGGUUGAGAUCCAAGAACAAAUAUGGAGGACAUGCAGUACCACUACACAAGGUGCAUGUGUGAAGAUUGAUUUUCAGAAAGGCAUUCAAGUAAUCAAUGAGGUAAAACAAAAAGGAUUUUCCAUUUUGAUGAAGCCAGAGGUAUGCACUUAUGAGUUUUUUAAGCAAUGACGUGAAGAUUAGAGAAAUAUUGCUUGGUACAUCAUCCAUCCAGCAAUAUGAUUUUCCUAAUUUUGAAGAGGCAAUAAAAGAUCCAAUAAAGUUGAACGUUGCACAUGCUUAUUCAUCAUUUUCUUUCCCUAGUUAUUUUGUAUUGUCCUCGUGCUAUAAUUUUGCAGACCAAAUGAAGUUGAGGACAACUUUUCUCCUAGAGAGGAAGGCUGAUAAGAACAUGAUGAUGAUGGGUUACAAAUUUUCACUCCAUGGAAACGUUUGCUGGAAGGAACUCCUAAGUCGAACAAAGCAUCAUAUUGGCGUUGUCCAUAAGAUAGCAAAGUUGAAAAUUAAAAUUCUCUAUAUCAUGAAACAUUUGCAUUAUGAUUUGGUAUUGUCCUACUUUUUUUGUGUUAUGACCAGGUAGAGUCGAGGACGACUCCUUUUCAAGACAGGGGGGAUGAUGAGGACAUCUCAGUCAUUGAAACAACACCAAUCAUCCCUGGACAAACUCCAAGUUGUGACAAACAAAUAAAUGAUCAGAUGCAACCCAAUUCGAAGGUGAAAGCUACAAAUGAGGAUUGCAUUAUUCCUUUACAUGGAUAUGAUCUACUUCCCUUCUACUUAUCUUUUGUAGAUCAAAGAGAGUCGGGACAACUCUUCAUCAAGGGAGGAAGGAUGAUGAGCACAUGGGAACAUCAUACAUGACAUUUCAGAAAAGUGUAGAAUUUAGUUGGAAGGAAUUACUAAGCCGAAUCAACCAAAUAAGUGACCAGGUGAAUGCUAACUUAAGUUUACCUUGUAACCUUGAUGACACAACUAUGCUUUCAUCCCCAUUGUUGUUGGUUGAACUUAGGUAUCACAUGGAAGAAAUCCAACAACCUAUGAGCUCUUGAAGCAACCGGUUUGGAGGAACAAGUUUGAAGAAAACAAGUUUCAAGUGAAGCUGAUGCUGUCAGAUUUUAUUUCUGAUUUUUCGUUGUGUCACACCUAUGUGGUGAAGAGACGGGGCCAUAGGGGUACAUCGCUAGAAGCUCCAUCAAAUUAUCUUUCCAAUGCAAAAAACCUCACAUCAUUUGGAGUUGUGAGUCAAAACUUCUAGCCAAUCUUGUGGAAUGUGUCCAGGGUGUCAAGACUUCACGAAUUUUCGAGGAGCUCUCCAACAACUCCCAAAGUUGAUUGCUUAUUCCCCCAAGAAAACCAUGCAAACCUGCUUAAUUUUAAAACCAUUUUCACACCUAGCUAAAGGGGUUGUCCCUGCCAUAAAACCCCAUCUCCCCCAUCCUCUAGAGAACCUUUUGUCAAAACCAUUUAGCUACAAGCUUAUGCAGCAAGACUGCUAGAGAGAUCUGAGAGAUUUUGCUACCUUUGCUCUUGUGAGUUCAUUCGGAUUCGCGAGAAGGAGCCUCUGGUUCCCCCUAGUUCGUGCUCUACAGUUCCGGCCGUUUUGUGUGGAUUAGUCCUGGUUUGUGGUUAUGCGAUUGUUCGGACAGUGGGUUGGAGUUCUUGUAGCUUCGGUCAGCCAUCCCCAGCGUAUGGGUUGCAUCCAACCUUGGCAAGUAUAAAGCUAGUUAUCCCCGGCUGCUUGUAGCUAGUUAUCCCUCCCGAUUCGAUCCUACGAUGUGAAGAUCGGGCCACCCUCGGGCGUGAACUCGUUCAUCGGGUUCUCACCUAUCACCAUUGUUGGUAACAACCUUGUUAAUAUUCAGUUCUUACUAGCACUGGAAUGGUUGUAGCCAUGGUCAUCAUUGCAUCAAAAUUCCUGGAGUAGCAUACUUGUUUCCCACUCCUAUGUCUAACUGUUUCUCCAUAGAAAACGGACAACUACGUUAUGUGCCAUAGGAAGGAGAUGCAACUUUUGACCAAGAAGGCCCCGAACCUAAAUAAGUAGAUGAAGAACUCGCCACCAACAAGGAGGAGGAGUAGCCACAAUAAGAAGCCUACACCACCUACACAGACCUCUACAUUUUCCAGGGCUCCAAAUGAUAUGAGGAGCCUCUCCGCGUCCCUUCGAGACAUGUCCGCCUACAUGACUACUAGCUUCUCCAACUAGAGCCAAGGAUGGGCUCCUGACCAACCGCCACAAUGAUCCCGCUGGUUUGGGCUUGCUAAAGCUUAAGCUUGGGGGAUGUCACUACCACGUCUACAUCAAGAUGUGGUAGUAUUAUUUGAAUAAAUUUUAAUAAGGUUGUACUUCAGCUCAUUUAGCUUCGAAACACUCGUGUUGGUUUGUUCCAACACUUUGCUUUUUUAUUUUAUUUUUGCCCCUUGGAGUUUGUUUGCAUUCUUGUCUAUAUUUCAAAGGAGUUGAUAUACACCGGACAAUGAGGAACGCAAGCAUAAGGAAGAGAAGUGUCUAAAUUCAUGACCGUGAAGGUAUGUCCUAGGACUCCCGUCUUUUGCACUUGAAAUACUUAGAGAGUCCUGAUAAUUAAAACAAAGGUUUUGUUAUAGUAGGUGAAAUAAUUUUUGGACUUUGUUCUAUUUAAUCUAGAUGAUCGAUGCACAUGAGAAUAACUAAGAAUAACCAUGCAUAGGAGAAAGCCUUCAAAGACUUGGGUGUUGAGAAAACUUGUAGAGAAGAUGACGUUAUAAAUGCUCAACCCCAUAGUGUUAAUUUUAACAGACUUGAUAACACUACUGUAUUAAAUUGUCUAGAGGAACUUAGUUGAAGGGUGAACAAGGUUAUGCCAAAAAUAUGUGUUUAUCUCUUACAUGGUGCUUCAGCUUCUCACUGGUGCUAUGGCCCUGCUACUAUAUGCACGUGUACGUGUGUAAUUGUGGCUUCGUCACCUUUCUUGAUGUUAUGCUGAGAACUCCGCUAGCGAAUGAACGAUCCACCAGAGUUUCGGCUUGGAUUUCAGCUAUGAGUUUGUUACCGUGCAUAGUGGCAACACUACAAUCAAAUAUUAUUCAGCUUUCUCUUGAAUGUGUGUAUGUGGUAAAUACCAAGAACUGAUCACAAGAGCUCGAAAGAGACAUAUACCAAGAUCCUUAGUUCACAAAAUUAAGCCACAAUGAAAUUCUAUGCAUGAUCAUUUAUUUGGCAUAAUCCCUUCAUGUGACAACCAAAGUUUCAGCAAACAGUUAUUUAAACAAAGUGCUUGAGAGCCUUGAGGAUGAGACAUUUGCGGGUAUGUUUAUGAGCAAUCUAGCAUCAUGUUUAUCUUUACAUACCUUUCACUCCCUAAUUUAUGUUUUGAUGGCUCUAUCUAAAGAAAAACUCUUCUGCGCAUUCCCGGCAAGCAAGUGUUGCCUAGAGGAAAUAGAAUUGAGUGUUGCAAAGUUGUUUUAUCUAGUACAUCAAAAACUUGAGUUGAUUAUAUUUGCUUAACUAACACUUGUAUAAUAACCAUGCCACCUCUACAGCUAUGCUAAGUUUUCAUGUCAAGAAGCAGAGGGCUAUCUAGGCGUACCGAUCGUAAGUGAACCAAAAUCUUCUCGUUAUUUUGGUUUAAACAACUGAGUUCCUUAUGAUUCGGAUUUCUCUCUAUGUUGCUCGAGGACAAUCAAGUUUAAGCUUGGGGGAUUUGAUGAGUGAUAUUUUUACACUCCUCUACACUUUGUUUAAAUUGAGAUAUUUGAAUUAAACCAAGAUAUUUGCUCCGAUAUUGCCAAAAAUGACUAAUGAAUGCAUAGGAUUCCAAAAAUCCUCUCUUUAUUGUGUUUCUAUAGGAAAUGGGCUAAAUAUGGAUGAAACCAAGUGGGAAAAUGGAAAGGAGUGAAGGAUGAGAUAGAAGAAAUCAGGAGGAGGCGCACGUAAAGCCACCGAGCAAAAGACGGUGUUCCAUGCGCCUGCGACCACUCGCAUCAGCGGUCGUAUGGCAUGGAAACCGAGGCCUCUCGUCCACCUGAACAAGUUCUACUAAGGGGUCGAGGCCGAAAUGUCAACGAAACAUCUGCUAGCGAAGCUAGAACAGAGUCAUCCUCAUCCAUCUCCAUCAACCCUAGGCGCCGCUAUUUCCAUCUCCAUAGCCACCAUCACCACCAUACACUAUUAGGGAAAACCUUAUACACAGAACUUUAGCAGUAGCGCGUGUUAAAAAAGCACGCUAGUGCUAAGUAGCAGUAGCGCGUUGGCGUAAACAGCGCUACAGAUAAAUUUGUAGCAGUAGCGCGCCUGAAGAUAAAAGCGCUACUACUAAAAUUCCCAUUGUUUAGCCGAUAGGAUACACAUAAUAGUAGCGAUCUACGGCGAACAGCGCUACCGCUACUUGCUUUGUACCAGCGCGUUUACGCAGAAAGGCGCUACUUCUAAAGGAAAUAAAAUUAAAUGGAAAGCAAAUAGAAAAAGUAAAUGAAAAUGAAAGAAAUAGAAAAAGGAGAAAGGAAAAAAAUAAAAUGUAAAGAAAAAAUGAAAAGGGGGGGAAAGGAGAAAGGAAUAGCAGUAGCGCAUAUCCAGGAACGCGCUAUAGCUAACUUAGCAGCAACGCACUUCCUUGAACGCGCUACCGCUACUUUUGAGUUAACCGCGUGGUUCAUUCUUCCCCACGGCAACUUCCCCCAAAUCCCAACUCCUCCGUUGUCGCCGCCGCCAUCGCCCGUCGGCCGCCGCAUGCUCUCCCAUCGCUCUCGGCACACCCUCGACGCCGCCCCCGACCCCGACCUCGACGCCGCAUGCCCCUCCCUCGCCGCAAGCACCCGAGGUGAGCACGCCUACUCCUCCCCCUCCGCUACCUCUGCCUAGGGUUCUUCAAAUUUUAAUUGCAUCAAAUUAGUUAUGGUUUAUCUUAUGGGUGGAAACGAAUCGGGUGCGGAUCGGAUAGUGCACUUAGCACUUCCGUUUUCAUAUUUACAAAACAAAUAUGAAUGCGAAUACAGAUGUUAUCGGAUACGGAUGCGGAACGGAUGGAUACGAAUAAUAGCGACAUAUUGCUUAAAUGUAUUAGUCAAUAGUUAUGUGACAUGAAGUAUUCAACUUGUGACAUACAAUAAGUCAAUGAUAAAUAGGUUUAUGAAUAAACACUAUUGUAAUGCAUAAUAAUUUCCAAGAUUAAUCAUAAAAUGAGUAAAAUUUGACCACUUGUUUGACUUUUAAGUUGGAUAAUUGGAAUACCCGAUCGAAUACGAAUAUCGGAUAUUUUGGAUUAUCCGCUACCACUUUCGACCCCUAGAUUCAUCAAAUUAGAUGGUAAUUAGGGCAGUAGUUCCUAGGUACUUAUUAGUUAGUAAGAGCUAGGUACUAAUUAGGUACUAGUUUAUUUUUAUUUGUAGUAAGUUUAUUUUUAGCAAGAACUAGUUGAAUUAAUAGAACUAGUUGAACAUGUCACAUUUGUUGUUAUUUUUAGUUAAAGCAAUUAUUCUCGCAUCGACGUCGACGAUGCCUAUACCGCAUCCUCGUCCUCGACUCGGCGGAGGACACCUGCUUGACCAGAUGGGACAUGUUCGGGACUGGGCUCCGUCAGGCUGGUACUGGGAGGCGCUACCUACCGGGGAGCGCAGCUUGGUGAGGAGUCAGCCCAUCGUUGACCCGAACCUUCUUUGGUGGGCCAGUGACGGUCCAGAGGCUUGAGGACCCCACAGAGGUGGUACGUCACCGUGUCAGCGAGGAGGAUGCGCACGUCCGUCGCUACUUGGUUGUGUUGGAGCACAGGUUCUCCGGGGAUUUCACUGGAGCUAUGAUCCUGUGAUGGUUCCUUCUCUUUGGGUGUCCACCGCCCGCGCCGAUACCCGUCGUUUGCUAGGGUUUUAGUUGUAUUAGUGAUGUUAUAUGUAUGAUAUUAUUCGAGAUGUAUUAGUGAUAAUAUUCGACGAUGUACAGAUGCAAGAGAUGAUUUACUUUUGCUUAUUGAAUGCAUGCUAAUUUGAAUACUUAUUUAUUUUACGAUUUUGUUUUGCUUAUUGAAUGCUCAUGUCAAUAUGAGUCCUAUAAGAUAUUUUGAAAUGUAUAUCUUGUGUUGCUCAAAUAGGAUAUGUGCUUGCCCAAGUGGCCGGUCAUGUUUGCAGGUUACACCUUCGAGUGGCCUAUGUUUUGUCGAAGUGUUGAUUCAUUUCCGUUCCGGCAAAUUUCAGACGCUUGAUAUGUCCUAUUUUAGCAAAGGUCAUGCCAGAUUUUUCUGUGAAUUUUGGCAUGACUUGUGCCAGAAUAUGUAGGAAAUAUCGAGUGCCCUGGAUUUGUGUGUUGAGUAUCUUGGUAGUUGCCUUCGAUCGAUUUUCAAUUAAUAUUUCAACUACGAACAUAGGAAAUGUCUGACGAUGAAAAGGAUUCCGUAUUUGUGAAUACUACAAAGACGAGCGCAGCCUGCGUGACAUAAUCUUCAUAGAUGAUGAUAGGCGCUUCAGCAUCAAGCUGGACGAUAACUUCGAAGUGGACACAGUAAGUCACAACGAUAAGUCUUUUUUCAUAAUUAAGCAUGACAUCUGCUUCAUUUGCUUCAACUUAUAAUUUAAAUUUUUUACUAAUCUACUAGUGUAUCCCCUGCCAUUCAAGAGUUUUUGUCUUGGAUAAGAUAGGUUUCAGUCCUAUGAAAAAUAUUAUGGAGGUAAAGAGAGUUUACUUGAAGACCGAGCAUGGUUAUACUUUCGACGCAAAAUUAUACAACGCAGACACCUACACCUAUUUUGAAUGCAAAAGUUGGCCAGCACUAUGCAAGACUUAUGCAUUUGAGCCUGAUAUGGUAUCACCUUUGAUAUUCGUCCGAAAGAUGAUAUUGAAGGUAAUAUCGACAUCUGGGUCGAUGUGCAGAUGCCUCCAGUUAUACCAUUAUGUGAGUUUCUCAACCAUAUUUAUGUCUUCGAUAUUGUUUAUUCAAAAAUAGUUGACAACUAAUUUCUAUUGACAGCUUAUUUCCAUUCAAGAAAACAUGUCCGGCGCUUGGUAGACAUGACCGUACACUGUCCCGGGGCUGAACUAAACUGCGAGGAGAUAGAUCAUUAUGUUUCAUGGCUUGAGGAUCUUCGUACUGUCAAGACAAAUUAUUUUCCUGGACUUAAAAAUCAUAGUACUCAAAACGUGCGACCAAUAGUGUUCGUAUUGAACUACGGUCACAUCUAUUUAGGAAAGAUGGUAAAAAAUUACUAUUUGCCCUUAGUGCAUCUUUUGCAUACAUUAUUUUUUAAGCUAAACUUCAUUGCUAAGUAUGUUACUAUACAUGUUCUUCAACAGGGACUCCCGAUGAAUGUUGUGCCUCAUUGGAUCGAGACUAAAGAUCACAUGAGAAUGGUUAGCUUGCGGCCAAGACAUCCUACAAUGCACUUUAGUGCAUUCAGGAUUUCUAAAAGCAAGGAAUGCUUAAAAGUAAAAGACUGGAGCAAAAUUGUGAACGAUCGCAGAGAAGUACUAGGGGGCAGCAAUCAGAAGCGCAGUCCAUGAUUAGGAGACAGGUUCAUCUGCAUGCUCCAACAUGAUGAAGCAGGAGUGCUACACAUGUUUUAUGCUAUUUUACCCGAGAGAGAGCAGUAGGAGUGAUUAGCUAGCUAGAAAUGAGUUUGAAGCUGAUGAUGUGCUACACUAUGACUAUGAUGAUUAAAUAGCUAGUGUUGGUGGUAAUGACUAUGAUGAUUAUUAUUAGCUAGUGUUGGUGGUGAUUAGAUAGCUAGCACAGCUAGUGUCGGUGGUGAUUAGCUAGCUAGAAUGAGUUUGAAGAUGAUGAUGUACUACACUAUGACUAUGAUGAUUAAAUAGCUAUUGUUGGUGGUAGUGACUAUGAUGAUGAUUAAAUAGCUUGUGUUGGUGGAUUAGAUUCAAGUGAAGGCAACAUGUGGUGCACAUUGAAAGUACUACUAGUCCAAAUUAGAUCAAGUUUGGAUUAGUAGUAUACUUUUGACAUGCACCACAUGUUGCCUCCACUUGAACCUAAUCCACCUUCAUUUGACACACUGUUAUGGACAUAAUGAUAUAAACCUCAUAAUUGGUAUUGUACCAAAAUUUAUAUAACGGCGUAUAAAUACACUAAAAUAAAAAAAUAAAAAAAUACUAGUAGCGAUGGGGAGUAAACAUGCUGCUGCUAGCUAGAUUAGCAGUAGCGUGGGAGUGAACACUCGCUGUGGCUAUAUGUCUUAGCAGUAGCGUGUGUCGAGCGCGCUACUGCUAAGUAAUAGUUGUAGCGCCUUACUGGUAGCGCGAUAUCCCGCGCUACUACUAGGGCUUUCCCUAGUAGUGAUAGUUCUUCUACUAGAUCAUACCUGCAAUCGUGCCUCGCACAAGACAUUCAUUGUAAGAUAUAUUAUCAAUCAAUCUCCAUGAUGUAUUCUUUGUGUGAUCUGAUCUCCAUGUUUUAGUAGUUUGGUAAGGUAUGGGUUGAGGCAAGAGCCUUGCAACCCUCUGUAUUGUUGUGGGGAUCAAUGAAAGUGCUUUGAAUUAACGCCCCGUAUGUGUGAAAUAAAAUUGUUCCAUAGAUAUCUCUUGUCUCAUCUGCGUUCUUCAUCCCUGCAGGUACCCAGGAUCAUGGAGAGUGAGCCAUGGAGAGACUAAGGGCAAGGAGACCGUGAAGUGUUAUUCUGAAUGCCAGUGACAGAAGGGUUUAGUACGGUAACACGGAUCCUAUCUCUGGGGCUUCAAGAGGUGUAGUCAUUAAACGCCCAAAGCUCUUUUCUCAUUAUUGCCAUCUUAAUUACCGAGGCAACCCCGCAAGAUAGAUAUGGCCUUCGGUUGGAUAAAUGAUUCUUGAUGUAGGGCGCGUGUCGUUCAAUAUAUUAUUGGGACACAUCCCCCACUUUGGUUCGUAACAAGCAUAUCUUGAUGGGUGACUUCCAAUGCACAAAUUAAGAUCAUAUUUAGUCCUAGCACAAAUACAUGGUUGUAAGCAUUAAGAUCUCAUACCCGUACCUAUUUUUAUUAUAAUUGUUCAACUCAAGGUUGUUUGAUUUUGAUCCGGUCAAAAGCUAGAAUUAUUUCUUUAACAAAAUCUUGCUAGAGACCCUGGCUUAAAGGGGGGCCUUCCUCCCGUGGGUUCGAUAACUCAGGGUCACCUCUGGGGAAAUAGGUGAGAAUACUUUCUGCUCCAUUUUCGGAUCAGUAAAGAAAGUAAUCAAUAUGAAGUAGAGUCGUUCACACAUCACCACUAGAUAAUCACAUCAUAUCACAAUAUUAAUAGCAUUAAGGUUGAUCCCAUGUCCUCAAGAACAUAACGGACUACUCCAAACACAUCAUAUGGAUCAUGAUUAGUGGAGUAUGAAUAACAAUCUGAACAUAUGAAUCUUUCACCAAUAAAACUUCUAAGCAUCAACUACAAGGAGUAAUCAAUAGCAAAAACUAUACACAAAAAAGGAUCUCAGAUAAAAGUUCAUACAAUAGAAGCUAGGAUUGAGGGAGUUGAUGGACAUGUCGGUGUUAAUGAAGGCGUUGAUGAAGAUGAUGAUCCCAAUGAUGAUCAGUGUGUUGGUGAUGACAAUGACUUUGAAUUUCCUCUCCCAUAGGGAUGGAUCUUCGGCAAAAUCAGCUUGUCGAAGGGCAAAAGCGCUCUGCUUUGUAGCGAAGGUGGAAAAAUCCUAUAAAAUCCCCGAGCAGUUUUUAGGUCAAGGGAAAAAUAUAGGCAGAACGGCGUCAAGAGGCGGUGGCCAAGGCUCCCACACAACCUAGGGGCGCAUGGACAGGACGCUUGGCCCCCCUACGACCCUCUCUAGCCCAUCUUCUAGCUCCAGGCUUCUUUCGGCCAAAAAGAAUUUCUAUAAUUUUCUUCAAAAUUUAGUGGCUCCAUAAAAUUACUUUUCUUCUAAUAUUUUUUGGGCUCUGUUUCAUGUUGUCUGGUAAUUUUCCUGAUAAUUUUCAUCUCUGUGUGCUGCAUGCAAUAUGAAGGGAAAAAGGCAUUGCAAUUGAGCAAUAAUGUGAAAAAUAUCAUUUGUAAAGAGUGAACUUACAAAAAGUGUUGAUGCAAGAUGGACUUAUGAAGCCCCUAGGGCUGACUGCACCAAGGAGGAGGAUCCUCUCAGGAUCCUUUCCUUCCCCACACUCCAAGUUCGUUGCAACCCAAGUAAUAAAGGGGGCACAACAUUAUGGGGCAAUGUGGUCGUUGCGCCUUGGUCCAACCAAGAAGGCAACCCAUUAGGACCACCUCCAAAACUUUCCAGAACCUUCACAGACCUUCCAGGACAUUCCCGGUAUUGCUGAAACUCUUCUGGGACCUCCAGAACAUUCUGGUUCCAUCCAAAACAUUUCCAAUGCAUUUCUCUCUUACUCCUAACACCUCCUAGUCCUCUAUCAACCCGUUAACCGUGUACCCUGAAGGUGCGUUAAUAUGUGGACAGACCCGAAACACCUUCCGGUCAAUAAUCAACUCUGGAAUCUGGACGCCCAUAAUGAUUCCCAUAUACACACGAAGAUAUUUAUCGAGCAAAUAAUUUUUGCAUACACAAUUCCCUUUGCUUUGCAAUUCAUAACAAAAUCCGAGGCGAGACUUUUGUCGUUAUCCUUGUGAAGCAACAACUUGAUCUCAAUACCAAAUUAUCCUUGUUAUCAUUUUUUUUCUUUUCCGUAUUCUGGUAUCCCCGUGAUCAUAUCACACUCGUGUCUUGCCACGCUAUGAUCGAUACCAUAAUACUGAGUCCAUCAUCCCAUUCUUGAACUAUCGAGUCCCUUGAAAUACUUUUUUUAUGUACCUGAAAAUUACCGUUGUAAUCACCUAGUAUGAGUAACGUUUGAGAACCACAAAGUAACCAUUCGGCAUGAAGGUCCACACCAUUCUCAUGGUCUAAAUAUAUGGAUAUACAUUAACACUUGAUAUGGUAAUAAUGAUAACGAAGUGACGAUGAGAUCUCAUAAUAUUAUCAUAAGUUGGGUCUGUCCUACACCAUUCUUCUGUUAACAAUCUUCUUCCAUUGUUUCUAGCAUCCUUGUUACUUUGCAAUACCCUGUGAUAAGGAAAAGAGGAUCAGCAUGCAACACACGAUCUAGUCUUAGAGGCGAGACGAGGGAACUAUCCGGUGUUUAUGUUUCCACACAUGCAACUGAGUUUUCCUCCCAACUCAUAUUCAAGAGCCAUUGCAAUUAUAACACAAAAAUAUAAACAUUAAUUACAAAUGUGGAAAUAAUAAUACUUUAUUAUUGCACCUAGGGAAUAUCUCCAAAAAGUAACUUGAUAGGGUGUAGCAAUCGCGACGUACACGUGUAAGAAAGGAGUUGCGGAGGUAGGCAAAAUUUGUCCUCCACGAACCAUGGUUUGGGAAAUUCUUUGACUGAAUGGGUUAUUGUACUCUUCAUCUCCUGGUGGCACGUUGAUGUGCUCUAGGACAUGCCGAUUCGCCGAAAUCGGCGACGGCACCCCUUCUCCAGAUUGUUCUGUUCAUCGAGCUACAACUGCUCUUGUUGGGCAGGCUGACUCCGUGUGCGACACAGUAGUUCUUCGUCCCAUUUGAGAGCACACAACUACACCCACAACAGGGAAAAUGAGUCGGAGAGAGUCCCAUUAGUGUAUCCACAAUUCCUCCCGAUCGGUAGAUUCGGCGAGGCCGUGAUGGUCGAUGGGAAGGGUGGUGGUGGUAGUGGUUGAUGGCAGUGGUGGAGAGGGGCCUGGACAUCCAUUCUGAAUGGUGGGUUCUAGAGAGAGUAAAUGCAUAAGUUUGCUCGGUUCCUCAAAUUUAUGCAGAAGUUAGUUAUUUUGGGGGGAGGAAGAAUCUUUUGAGUAGUUAUCGGAAUUUAAGGAAAGGGCUAGAGAUGUUUUAAGUUUGCCUUGUGAGCAUCCUAUAGUUCUAGGCCACACAACAAAUAUAUGUGAUUUCAAGUAAAUGAACAACCAUGGCAUGACAUAACUUUAAAAACGCCCUCAAUCCAAACUGAAUCUUAAUGUGUAGGGUGUACCAACUUCUCUUUUUUUGCAGGAGGAAAUGAGUUUUAUUCCACAGUGAUAGAGUUACAGUCAAGAGGCAAUAGUUUCUCAGUAAAAGGUGCAUGAAUCUAUGCUCCUCAUCCAUAUAAUGUAAAAAAAAACAUGAACUCCUUGGUGAUUAUUACUAAGGGAAAAAGUUACCAUGUGCUUAUUUCUAAUGCCAACCCAACUCAUCUGCUAAAAGCUUGAAAAGGAGUCUUUUCAACAUAUUCGGACCGUUGGCACACACAAAUUUCAAAACCCAUUUCAAACAAGAAACGUACCUCAUACCAAACCUCCCAUAACGGUCGAUCUAUGCGCGAGCCUAAACCGUUUCGAAGCGCGCUCCGUAUGGGGGGAAAUGGCACGCCGAUGCUGCCCAAAGAGGAGAGACCGAGGAAGAAGAAGAGACAGGUCAUGUUUCACCCAGCAACAAGCAAGCACCAAGGCAGCCGAGGAGGGAUGGAAAACAAGACGAAUGCAGAGUGUGUUGUGCAUGCAGCCUCAGCCAAGCGUUGGGUUGCCACGCAAGGGGUUGAGGGUGACGCCGGGGCAAAAGCGAGAUGGUGGAGCGAAUCAAAAACCGCACCCCUGAGGCCACAAACCCAACUUGUGGCUCUCUGCCCGCGCCCGUGGGCCCCACCCCCCUUUCUUCCUCCUUAAAACUGGACUAUCCCCAAUCCCAUCCACCCUCAGCAGCUCCAGCAACCCGCGAGCCAAAAAUCUCUCCUCCGAUCGCGCCAUACCUCGCCGCCUACUGCUCGUUGUCCGCGAGCGAGCGUAGCACGGUAGGGAGUAGCUGGCCUGGUCCAAGAAAAAUCCAAACACAGAGCAGAGGAGCACACAGCCUCGAGGAAGGAAGAAACAGAGCGGCUUUGCUGCUUGGGAGGUGGCCGGCGAGAGAGAUGGGGCAGCUCAGGGCGGCAGCGGGAGCCGGCGGAGACUGCCUGAUCAAGCUGUUCGGGAAGACCAUCCCCGUGCCGGACGCCGGCGCCGGAGACGUCCACAAGGUUGGUGCUCGUCCACUCCUCCUCCUCCUCCUCCUCCUCCUUUGUGUUCUUGUGUGUCGCUUGGAGGUCAGGUGAUCUGGUCUGCCUAUAGAAUCUCGGGAUUGGGAAUUUUGAUUGGUUUACUGAGCCUAGGAAAAAGAAGAAGUCAUUUUUGAAGCCUGUUUUCUUUGGCUUUGGAGUUGAUCAUGGCGAGGAGUCGUAUUUGGUUUACUCAUCAGGUGUUAAAGCACGGAGUUCCCUGCCUAUUUUGGGAGGUAGCAUCAUCUGUUAAGCGUUAGGGAGGCAGGUUUAGCUCCCAUUAGCAAGAGAAUUUCGCCUUUGCUGCUCUCUAAUAGCAGCAGUUUUUAGUACUACAUACAUGAUCUAGUUGUCUGAACAUCUGGACUUUAGAAAGAAAGGCCUUUGCCUCUUUUAAUAGGUCGUUUUCGCGUGCUUCCAAGGAUUUUGCUGAAAGCAGCUACUACUAUGUGGUGCCGUAACCUACAAGAGCAUCAGAUGCAUCCGACUCUGGUGUAGAUCAUCCACUGCAAAUUAAAGCACCAUAGCUUCUUUUCACUAACGGAUGAGAAUCGAAACAUGAAUAAACUUUGUCAAAUUUUACACUUGGGCAUGGGGGAAAGCAUGUGCAGUCACAGGUCAAUGACCCGGAUAUUACACCGUGUGUGUGGACCUCUAAUUCACGACAAAAUUAUUGCAAAGUUAGACUACAUGUAUACAAAGAAACUCAUCAGAUGUUCUGAAUGUUUACAGGACCUUCAGCACAGAGGCAGCACCACGGCUGAACCAAAGGUGCAAGAAAUCGCCCCUCAGGACUCCAUGGGCUCGCCUCAGCAGCCGGAGGUUGUGGACGUCGAGGAUCCAUCUGCUGCCAAGAACUCAGCAGCAGAUCAACAAGACGAAGAACAGGGGGACACGGCCAACCAGAAGGAGAAGCUCAAGAAGCCUGACAAGAUCCUGCCCUGCCCACGCUGUAGCAGCAUGGACACCAAGUUCUGCUACUACAACAACUACAACAUCAACCAGCCGCGCCACUUCUGCAAGAACUGCCAGAGGUACUGGACGGCCGGAGGCGCCAUGCGCAACGUGCCCGUCGGCGCAGGCCGCCGCAAGAGCAAGAGCAUAUCGGCCGCCUCCCACUUCCUUCAGAGGAUAAGGGCCGCUCUGCCCGGUGAUCCUCUCUGCACCCCAGUCAACACCAAUGGCACGGUGCUCAGCUUCGGCUCCAAUGCGUCCACCUUAGACGUCUCAGAACAGAUGAAGCACAUAAAGGAGCUCAACUCAGUAACCCGGACCGAGAACACCGAUGCCCCGUCAGUAGGGUCUUCUGCUGAAGGAUGGGCAAAGGGAGAAGAGUCGAGCCAAAUGAACUCGAGGGAGAGAGUUGCAGCAGAGAGAUCCGCAAAUUGUGCGCAGCAUCCAUGCAUGAACGGGGCAGCCAUGUGGCCAUUCAGUUGUGCACCGUCACCUGCCUAUUUCGCCUCAAACGUAGCAAUUCCAUUCUAUCCAGCUGCUGCUGCUGCCUACUGGGGCUGCAUGGUUCCGGGAGCCUGGAACACUCCAUGGCAGCCACAGCCACAGCCGCAGCCGCAGCCGCAGUGUCAAUCUAGCUCACUACCUAGUGCUGCUUCUCCGGUAUCGACAAUGUCCAGUUGCUUCCAAUCCCGAAAGCAUCCUAGAGAUGGUGACGAGGAAAGAGAUACCAAGGGUAAUGGCAAGGUGUGGGUGCCCAAGACGAUCCGGAUCGAUGACGUAGAUGAGGUAGCCAGGAGUUCUAUCUGGUCACUUAUUGGGAUCAAGGGUGACAAGGUGGAGAAGGAUGAUGGCAAAGGGUGUAAGCUUGCAAGGGUUUUUGAUCCAAAGGAUGAGGCAAAGAUGUCAAGCCACAGAGGUAACAAUAGCCUGCCAUUCUUGAAGGGGAACCCAGCUGCACUGUCGCGCUCAGUGAACUUCCAAGAGAGAUCUUGAGCACCAUCUGGAAAUUCUUCAUGCUGCCUUCUGCUACUAUAAAACCAUGUAGCAUGAUACAGCUGAAAUUUUGUACAUUAGAUAAUUGCAUACUAGAUAAGAGACAUGGAGUGUUCAACAUAGCUAUAAGCAGAUCCUGUAACUGUAGCUGUACUAGGUAACUUGUAGAUAGCUAUUUGGGUUGGGGAAGAUUGGGAGCAGAAGUUCCUGUAUCUGUAGAUAAAUAUGAUAUAUUGAUUGGAAUGUUUGGCAGGGCUACCUUUGCACGAUAGCACCGAAACAAUUGGUAGCUGUCUGAUCCCAUUGUAUAACAAAGAUGAGUCCACUGCAUCCUUAGAAAUGUGAUACUAUGUGCAUAUCUCCAGCUUGUUUCCAUUUGUCUAUUUCUUUCUAAUGUAACAAUUUGCACAGACAGCAGAAACAGUAUCUGAUGUAUUUGUUCGUUUCUCCCUUUCUUUUUCUUUGUUUUCUCAUCCUUAUAGUUGAGAUAAUUGGGUUAUGAAAGUGAUGCAAAAAGUGGAGGAAGGCAUGGAAGAAGGAAAGAAAGUGAUAGACAACUACUGGAUGACCCACUAACCUUAAAUGUGACACCUAAUAUAUUAUCUCCUUCACACAUACUGCAAGCUGUCCUGCAUAAAGAAAACCAAUAAGUAAAGAUGAGCACAAAGAAAAUCUUCAAGUCCAUGCAUGGUCUCAUAUGAAUAUCGUGUUUUUUUCAUGGUCAUAUGAAUAUCUCAGAGGCGUACUUCAGUAGAUCAACAUUUUAUCAUGUGAUAAGUAACAUCAGGAGCUGACAAAAAAGUAAUGUCUGAAAGUUGUGCCAUCGUAUCAACAAAGAUACCAGUAGUCCUACAAAUAAACAGAGUGUGGGCGGCGGGUAUAGUCGUAUAGACUGGUAGAUACCACUAAACAGAAUUUUCUAUCUGUUAGGUAACAUCCUACCUUUCAAUGUCUCAACAACAUGCAUUAUUGCCCCCAUUCAUUCUGCUUUUCAGUCAUUGGCAUCUGGCAGUGCCACUUCCACUUACACCAUCGUCAACCAGUUUGACCUUUAAUAGGCCACAUGUUUGACCUUCUAUGAUCUAUCAAACUUCCAAUAUAAUGGUCAUCUGAUUGCUGGUCAAUGGUUAUCAGAACACACACAAAAUGUGCAGCCCCCUCCCUCCUCUAAGGCAAAGACACACCCAAAAUAAAACAUACUACGGUAAGAAGAGAAGCAUAAAGCUUUUCCAACAAAGCAUGCCUCUGAUUAUCAAUAUUAUUGACUCCUUUUUUGCUCUUUCAGCAGUCUUCUGAUGAUGAGAACACAGGUUUAGUAUGAUGUGCUAAAAAUAAGUCUAUUUUGCUGCAUACUUAACAGGAAAUCAACCGUAUUUCCUCAAGUAUGGGGGCGCAGUGGCCACCAUGUCUAUCCUUGGGACUUUCGGCCACGUUAUGAAAGAAGUGAUGCAAUACUUUAAAUAAAAGAGUUAAAGGUCAAACACAACAAGCAGUAGUCACUUUUUUAUAGCACCAGUUGCCUUUUGGUGUCUUCACAUAAUUGGCAGCUAAAACCUUAAGGAUGCAAACUUUACCAAACUUUUGUAGCGCACUUUCCCAUCAAAGGCGCAUAACAGAAAAGCUGCACUAGAGUGCUAAAGUGGACAACACUGUUCACUAGGAGAAUAACUACUUUCAAGUCCUCAGUCCACACUAAGUAUUUAACAAAUUCAUCAUACUUGCUUUGAACACUAUUUGUAUGUGAAGACAAGCUUAAUACCAAAAUAAAAUAAAAUGGAAAGAUAUACGAUAGUGGGAUUUCAAACAUACCCACCAUAGACACGGUUACAGCACUGAGCAUGUCAUGCACAGAGCAUGAAAGAAAGUAAGCAUACAAGCAAGCUGAUCUCUCGAGUGUUUGACUACCACGGAACACCUAGAACAUGCAAUUUGUAAAUAUUUAAAUUUCAGGCCUAUCUAUGCAUGAAUAAGAAAAGAGAAAUGAACAGAAACAGUAAGGUUUGGCUUACUAUUACUCUAUUAGUAUGUAUCAUCACUCCUAUAGUUCCUCUAGAUCUGGAGCAUCAGACGGUCUGUAUCCUUAUGCUAUCAAUUUAGCAAGCUACAGGUGAAACUUUUGGGGAUAAUCUGGCAGCAUACUUCUUUCCAAAUAUAAACAAAAACUAGCAAGAUUCGGAUGUAAUAAAUUUUAAACAGUGAAAUACAGUAUGCAUGUGGCAUGGUGCUCUUAAAAGAAGAUACACGUAUCAAGGAUGGUGGGUUGGUGACUUCUGAUGAAGUGAUUUAGCAUAUCAACAACAAUCAAUAAACCUACGAACAUAAAUAUGCCAUGAUCACUGGACAAUCUUAACAUGUGAAGCGCAGAUCUAUUUACAGUUUUAGACUACUAAAAAAUUCACGUUAACGCAACAUUUUGUCUAUUUCGAACUGUAGAAAACAUGCAGGGAAUUGCACUAAAAUUCCAACUCAGACACUGAAGUUAAUUAUACUCAGGUUUGAGAUUUCAGAAGCAGUAUAAGAAUGUAGAAAAAAGUUUCAGGAAGUACUGCAAAAAAUCCCAAGACAGCCAGUCAUUGUCGCUUCAGUGGCAUCACCAUGCCUUGGAUCUGGAUAUUGCAUCAUUCGUGGGUUGCGAACCAAGAUCAUACAUCUGCAUGUCUCCACAUCCACUCAUAUAUCUGUGGAUACAAAUGUCAGAUCAAUCAAUUCACAUGGAAAGAUUGCAUUAUCUGUGCAAAAUCCUGUAUACGGUGACCACACUUUCGAACUGGGGCAUUCAACACAAAAAAGUAAAAGCCCUGAAUCAGGAUUCAGUAUCUUUGCCCAUCAUCCUGGCGUCCCUGCCAAGUGCAGCUAAGAUGACACAGCUCACGUAAGUCACACAGCUCAUCCUGAUAGUCAAUCCUCUAGAUUGUGGACAAAAGAAUGCACAAAGCUUCUCAAUACAUGAUAACCUUAAUUCGGUAUUUUACAAAAACAAGUCACCAUAAGUCUAUAAGUAUAUACAAUAGCGUAUGGGUUGGUUGUAUCAGUUUUCGCCCUGUUUUCCUUAAAUUAACCGGGCAACUCUCUUCUUCUUAAUUAAUAGACGAGGCAAAUAUUUUGCCUCCAUUUCAACAAUAAAAUAAAAUAGAACAAACAAAAUUCAGGUCAGUCAGUAGAUUAUCUGGAUCACAACAAUAAAUCAAAUUGAACAUUCUUCCUAUGGCUUUUACUUGCAUUACUAUUUCCAGAUAAAUUGUAUGAUUGUAAAAUUGCCAUGAUAAAGAAAUGGAGUAACAAAAGAUAUACUCCGUAUUGAACACAACAGAUAUCGGGCUGCAAAAUAGCAGAUUCUUUUUCCUCAGAUAAUUCACGCAAAGUGUCAAAUUACAGACAAAUAACUGAUAAUAUUUGACACAGCCGUCAACCAAGCUUCCUCUUCACAGAUUCGAGACAAAUGCUCAAAGCUGGUUAACAUCACAUCAGAUAUGUUCAUUUCUUCAUUGGAUUUUGCAGCCCCCUGAAUCUGGCCCUCGUCGAACAUUCCCAAAGGCAGAGAGUUCAAAAAGAUCCAUAUCACGUCCUGAGGAAAUCAGACAGAGUUACUUGGCAAGUUGGGUGUCUGAAUAAAUUUUGUGCUCAGUGACUGCUUCACUAAAGGCAGCAGGCUCAUUCAAGGUAGACAUUACUUACCUGAAACCCGACAAUAUGCGCUUCUCUGUGCUAGUUCAGACUUGGAUAUCUCAGUAUUGUUCCCUUUAGAUCGAUUCACAGUAGCCUGCAAGUACGAAUUGAUAUAUCAGUUAUGCUCUAUAGAAUAAACUGAUUCGCAUCACAGUAAUGACUAAUAUACUGGUGACUACUUCAGCGGAUCUGUGGCUGAAGAAAGUAGCACCCAUGCACAAACAAUGUGCGAGAAGGUAGGCAUAAAAUAUGAAGUUUGGUUCUCUCACUUGCCUAUGAGGAUAAACAGAAUAGCCAGCUGGACCACUGGACCAUGGUAGUAUCCACUAUCUUGCUCUAGACAUAGCACAUUUUCAGGAAAACAACAGACUGGAGUGGCCAAACAGGGAUCUGUGGCUACUAGCGACUACUUUGAAAGAUCUGUGUCUGAAGAAAGUAGCACGCAUGCACAAACAAUAUGCAAACAGGUAGGCAUAAAAUAGGAAGUUUGAUUCUCUCGGUUGCCUAUAAGCAUAAACAGAAACAGUCUGCUGGACCAUAGUGGUAUCCAUUAUCUUUCUCUAGACAUAACCAGCAUGAGAGUAUCCAUUAUCUUGCUCGAGGCAUAGUACAUUUUCGGGUAGACAACAGAGACUGGAGUGAUCAAACAUGGAAUCUGUACCUGCAAAACCUGGCAGUUCUCCAAUGUGCUCUUCCCGCCCUGUCAAUUGAAAAGCGUCAGUGAUACAACAAGUUCAGGAAACAAAAACGUGCGAGUGGGCAAAAGCACUACGGAAAUUCAUCAGAUGUAUCAAGCAAAUAGCAAGCGAAGCUUCUUAAUUGGGACCUUGGAAUAGGGCACGAUGUGGUCGUAGUCGUGGCAGAGGCAGCCGGGGCAGCCAACGAGCUUGCGGAAGACGAUGUUGCCGAGCGCGUCGCGGCGCCACCUCUCGGGGUCGCGCCCAGGCACCUUCUCGGCCUUCUCCCAGCACUGCUGCUUCACCGCGUGCGGGAAGCUCCGGGGCUCCGACGCGGACGGCGUGUAGAGCAGCUCGUCCAGGUUGGCGACGGCGGAGGCGGAGGUGGAGGAGCGGGGGGAAGUCGGCCGGGCCGUGGCACCGAAGGACUGCGGCGGCGGCGGAGACGGGUGGUCGGCGCGGCGCCGGCGCAUCGGCUUCCGGCCCACCAUUAUCUUCCUAUCUGGAGGAGGAUUCGGUUUCCGGGGUUUAUUUUGAGCCGUUCAUUUCCGAGAUACUUCGAGGCAGGGCCUCUCCUGAAAAGAUGGGAACAGCUCGAGCAAAGGGUCUGCUCGCACUAUCCAGAUUUUUAUUCGGAGAUUUUUCUAUAGUGCUAUUUUGUGUAGGGCGGUCACAUGAAACUGAAAACACAUUGUCCGGAAUGCAAUACGGGGACCGGAUAGCAUCAAAUACUUUCUUUUUGAGUGCCUAAGAUCAAAAGAGGUAUGGCGACAUUGGAGCUGAUUGAUGUUGUCAAGAGAAGAUGUACACAAUUCAAAUCAAGUGAAGAAGUGGCGUAUGAACUAUUAAGCUUUUCCUAGAGAAAACUGAUGUCCAGAUCUUAGGCCUUCCCAAAUUAAAGGAGGUUGUGGCCACUGUGGCAUGGUACCUAUGGUUUGAACACCGGAAAAAUUACCAUGGAGAGGACAUCCAAAAACCCGCACAAAUUGCUCUCGCUAUCCAAGGACUCUCAACUAACUUUAGUAUUGCUUGUUCCACUAAGGCAAAGGUACGUCUUGAAUCAUGGGAGAAGCCAAAUGCAUGGUGUAUAUGAAAUUAAAAUGUAGACGCUGGCCUUGACCAUGAUCUUCUUGAGCGAUCGGUGGGGCAGUAAUCCGAGAUUACAGCGGAAAAUUUAUUGUGGCAGCUAAUGAACGAGUGGACAUAUGCUAUGAUUCGUUCACUUCAAAGGCAUUGGCGGUCAUAUUUGGCUUGAAUCUAGCCAGAACCACUGGAUGCAGCAAGAUCGUGAUCAACUCGGAUAGCAUGGAGGUUGUGGAAGCUUUGAGAGUAGGCAACUCCUCUUCGGUGGCAAGUGCAAUUAUUGAUGAUUGCUAUACGAUGUCGUCAGAUUUUAAUCAUGUAAUUUAUGAUCAUUGUAAUAGAGAGAGUAAUAAAGUAGCUCAUGAACUCGCUAGGAUAGUUAAGUUUUCUCCUCUUCUAUCUGGAUGGAUUCGGCACCGGAUGUACUGCUUCCAUUACUCCACUAAUGCUAGGAGUAAUAAACUUGUAUGCGGCCAUCGCGCCAUCGACGGCCCCGGAACCAUUUAAUCUGAUAUGGGACAUCCGCCUCCCUCUGAAGAUCCGGAUCUUUCUACGGCAAUGGAUCCGCGGAUGCCUCCCCUCUGGGGUCGAAGUCCUCAAGUGUAGUGUCCCGGGCGAUGGAUAUGUCCCAUCUGUGGCACGAUCGAGGAUGCUAACCACAUCUUCUUCUCGUACUCUACUGCCCAGUUCAUGUGGGCCUGCUUCCGCGAAACGGCCGGUGGCCAGUGGUGCAAUACCAACUUCCCCGACUUACUUGCGGAGCUGAAUGCCUCCCCUCCCUGCUACCGCCAUAUUAGAUGGUUGUGCGUUGGGAUCCUCGCCUGGACGCUUUGGAACAUUCGCAACAAGCUUGUCAUUCAGAAGGUUCCUCUUUGACGUGCAACUGACGCUAUCUUCAAAAUGUGUGGCAACUUGCAGCUUUGGCGGUCGCUUAGCCGCCCCCGAGACCGGGACGUCAUCACCAACCUCCUCGCUAAUCUUCGCUCGAUGGCGCUCCGUGUGGCUCCCCCGCUCCCGCCCCCUCCUCUUGAGCCCGACUAGGCUGUCGGUCUGCUGUGCACCUUGCACCUUGUGAAGGAAAUAUGCCCUAGAGGCAAUAAUAAAGUUAUUAUUUAUUUCCUUAUUUCAUGAUAAAUGUUUAUUAUUCAUACUAGAAUUGUAUUAACCGGAAACAUGAUACAUGUGCGAAUACAUAGACAAACUGAGUGUCACUAGUAUGCCUCUACUUGACUAGCUCAUUAAUCAAAGAUGGUUAUGUUUCCUAGCCAUGGACAAAGAGUUGUCAUUUGAUUAACGGCAUCACAUCAUUAGGAGAAUGAUGUGAUUGACUUGACCCAUUUCGUUAGCUUAGCACUUGAUCGUUUAGUAUGUUGCAAUUGCUUUCUUCAUGACUUAUACAUGUUCCUGUGACUAUGAGAUUAUGCAACUCCCGUUUACCGGAGGAACACUUUGUGUGCUACCAAACGUCAUAACGUAAUUGGGUGAUUAUAAAGAUGCUCUACAGGUGUCUCCAAAGGUACUUGUUGGGUUGGCGUAUUUCGAGAUUAGGAUUUGUCACUCCGAUUGUCAGAGAGGUAUCUCUGGGCCCACUCGGUAAUGCACAUCAAUAUAAGCCUUGAAAGCAUUGCAACUAAUGAGUUACUUGCGGGAUGAUGUAUUAAGGAACGAGUAAACAGACUUGCCGGUAACGAGAUUGAACUAGGUAUUGAGAUACCGACGAUCGAAUCUCGGGCAAGUAACAUAUCGAUGACAAAGGGAACAACGUAUGUUGUUAUGCGGUUUGACCGAUAAAGAUCUUCGUAGAAUAUGUAGGAGCCAAUAUGAGCAUCCAGGUUCCGCUAUUGGUUAUUGACCGGAGAUGUGUCUCGGUCAUGUCUACAUAGUUCUCGAACCCGUAGGGUCCGCACGCUUAAAGUUAGAUGACAGUUAUAUUAUGAGUUUAUGUGUUUUGAUGUACCGAAGGUUGUUUGGAGUCCCGGAUGUGAUCACGUACAUGACGAGGAGUCUCGAAAUGGUCGAGACAUGAAGAUUGAUAUAUUGGACGACUAUGUUCGGACACCGGAAUAGUUCCGGGAGGUUUCGGGCAUAUACCAGAGUACCGGGGGUUNNNNNNNNNNNNNNNNNNNNNNNNNNNNNNNNNNNNNNNNNNNNNNNNNNNNNNNNNNNNNNNNNNNNNNNNNNNNNNNNNNNNNNNNNNNNNNNNNNNNNNNNNNNNNNNNNNNNNNNNNNNNNNNNNNNNNNNNNNNNNNNNNNNNNNNNNNNNNNNNNNNNNNNNNNNNNNNNNNNNNNNNNNNNNNNNNNNNNNNNNNNNNNNNNNNNNNNNNNNNNNNNNNNNNNNNNNNNNNNNNNNNNNNNNNNNNNNNNNNNNNNNNNNNNNNNNNNNNNNNNNNNNNNNNNNNNNNNNNNNNNNNNNNNNNNNNNNNNNNNNNNNNNNNNNNNNNNNNNNAAGCUAUUGGGCCUUAUGGGCCUUAGUGGAAAGGAGAGAGGGAGGCCAGGAGGUGGCGCGCGUCCCCCCUUGCCCCAAUCCGAAUUGGGAAAGGGAAGGGGGCGGCGGCCCCCCUUCUCCUUCCUUCUCUCCACCUCCUCCUUCCCCCUUCUCCUACUUGGAAUAGGAAGGGGGGCAAACCUACUUGGAGUAGGAUUGCCCCCCCUUGGGCGCACCUCUACCCUCGGUCGGCCCUCUCCUCCUCCCCCCUUUAUAUACGGAGGAAGGGGACACCCCAUAGACAUAACAAUUGAUCAUUGAUCUCUUAAGCGUGUGCGGUGCCCCCCUCCACCAUAUUCCACCUCGGUAAUAUUGUAGCGGUGCUUAGGUGAAGCCCUGCGUCGGUAGCAUCAUCAACACCAUCAUCACGCCGUCGUGCUGACGGAACUCUCCCGCAAAGCUCUGCUGGAUCAGAGUUCAUGGGACGUUAUCGAGCUGAACGUGUGCUGAACUCGGAGGUGCCGUACGUUCGGUACUUGGAUCGGUCGGAUCGUGAAGACGUACGACUACAUCAACCGUGUUAUGCUAACGCUUCCGCUUUCGGUCUACGAGGGUACGUGGACAACACUCUCCCCUCUUGUUGCUAUGCAUCACCAUGAUCUUGCGUGUGCGUAGGAAAUUUUUUUAAAUUACUACGUUCCCCAACAGUGGUAUCAGAGCCAGGUUUUAUGCGUAGAUGUUAUAUGCACGAGUAGAACACAAGUGAGUUGUGGGCGAUACAAGCCAUAUGCUUACCAGCAUGUCAUACUUUGGUUCGGCGGUAUUGUUGGAUGAAGUGGCCCGGACCGACAUUACGCGUACACUUACGCGAGACUGGUUCUACCGACGUGCUUUGCACAUAGGUGACUGGCAGGUGUCAGUUUCUCCAACUUUAGUUGAACCGAGUGUGGCUACGCCCGGUCCUUGAGAAGGUUAAAACAACAUUAACUUGACGAACUAUCGUUGUGGUUUUGAUGCGUAGGUAAGAACGGUUCUUGCUCAGCCCGUAGCAGCCACGUAAAACUUGCAACAACAAAGUAGAGGACGUCUAACUUGUCUUUGCAGGGCAUGUUGUGAUGUGAUAUGGUCAAGGCAUGAUGCUAUAUUUUAUUGUAUGAGAUGAUCAUGUUUUGUAACCGAGUUAUCGGCAACUGGCAGGAGCCACAUGGUUGUCGCUUUAUUGUAUGCAAUGCAAUCGCCCUAUAAUUGCUUUACUUUAUCACUACGAUGCUACGAUGGAGAUCAAGGUGUCGUGCCGGUGACGAUGGUGAUCAUGACGGGGCUCCGGAGAUGGAGAUCACAAGCACAAGAUGAUGAUGGCCAUAUCAUAUCACUUAUAUUGAUUGCAUGUUAUGUUUAUCCUUUAUGCAUCUUAUCUUGCUUUGAUUGAUGGUAGCACUAUAAGAUGAUCUCUCACUAAAUUUCAAGAUAAAAGUGUUCUCCCUGAGUAUUCACCAUUGCCAAAGUUCAUCGUGCCCAGACACCACGUGAUGAUCGGGUGUGAUAAGCUCUACGUCCAUCUACAACGGGUGCAAGCCAGUUUUGCACACGCAGAAUACUCAGGUUAAACUUGACGAGCCUAGCAUAUGCAGAUAUGGCCUCGGAACACUGAGACCGAAAGGUCGAGCGUGAAUCAUAUAGUAGAUAUGAUCAACAUAGUGAUGUUCACCAUUGAAAACUACUCCAUUUCACGUGAUGAUCGGUUAUGGUUUAGUUGAUUUGGAUCACGUGAUCACUUAGAUGAUUAGAGAGAUGUCUAUCUAAGUGGGAGUUCUUAAGUAAUAUGAUUAAUUGAACUUUAAUUUAUCAUGAACUUAGUCCUGGUAGUAUUUUGCAAAUUAUGUUGUAGAUCAAUAGCUCGCGUUAUAGCUUCCCUAUGUUUUUAUAUGUUCCUAGAGAAAAACUAUGUUGAAAGAUGUUAGUAGCAAUGAUGCGGACUUAGUCCGUGAUUUGAGGUUUAUCCUCAUUGCUGCACAGAAGAAUUAUGUCAUUGAUGCACCGCUAGGUGACGGACCUAUUGCAGGAGCAGAUGCAGACGUUAUGAACGUUUGGCUAGCUCAAUAUGAUGACUACUUGAUAGUUUUGUGCACCAUGCUUUAUGGCUUAGAACCGGGACUACAAAAAUGUUUUUGAAACGUCACGGAACAUAUGAGAUGUUCCAUGAGAUGAAAUUGGUAUUUCAGACUCAUGCCCGUGUCAAGAGGUAUGAGACCUCUGAUAAAUACUUUGCCUAAAAGAUGGAGGAGAAUUGCUCAACUAGUGAGCAAGUGCUUAGAUUGUCUGAGUACUACAAUCGCUUGAAUCAAGUGAGAGUUAAUCUUCUAGAUAAGAUAGUGAUUGACAGAGUUCUCUAGUCACCAUCACCAAGUUACUGGAACUUCGUGAUGAACUAUAGUAUUCAAGGGAUGACGAAAACGAUUCCUGAGCUCUUCGUGAUGCUGAAAUCGACAAAGGUAGAAAUCAAGAAAGAGCAUCAAGUGUUGAUGAUUGACAAGACCACUAGUUUCAACAAAAGGGCAAAGGGAAAGAAAGGGAACUUCAAGCAGAAUGACAAGCAAGUUGUCACUCCCAUGAAGAAGCCCAAAAGCUGGACCAAAGCCUGAAACUAAGUGCUUCUACUACAAAGGAAAUGGUCACUCGAAGCGUAAAUGCCCUGAAUAUUUGGUGGAUAAGAAGAACGGCAAAGUGAACAAGGGUAUAUUUGAUAUACAGGUUAUUGAUGUAUACCUUACUAGUGUUUAUAGUAGCCCCUGAGUAUUUGAUACUUGUUUGGUUGCUAAGAUUAGUAACUCGAAACAGGAGUUACAGAAUAAACAGAGACUAGUUGAGGGUGAAGUAACGAUGUGUGUUGGAAGUGGUUCCAAGAUUGAUAUGAUCAUCAUCGUACACUCCCUAUAUUUUCGAGAUUAGUGUUGAACCUAAAUAAAUGUUAUUUGGUGUUUGCGUUGAGCAUAAAUAUGAUUAGAUCAUGUUUAUUGUGAUACAAUUAUUCAUCUAAGACAAGAGAAUAAAUUGUUAUUCUGUUUACAUGAAUAAAACCUUCUAUGGUCAUACACCCAAUGUUGAUGGUUUAUUAAAUCUUGAUCGCAGUGAUACACAUAUGCAUAAUAUUGAUGCCAAAAGAUGAAAAUUUGAUAAUGAUAGUGCAACUUAUUUGUGGCACUGCCGUUUGGGUCAUAUUGGUGUAAAGCGCAUGAAGAAACUCCAUGCUGGUGGAUUUUUGGAAUCACUUGAUUAUGAAUCAUUUGAUGCUUGCAAACCAUGCCUUAUGGGCAAGAUGACUAAAACUCCGUUCUUCGGAACAAGGAACGAGCUAGUGACUUAUUGAAAAUAAUACAUACUAAUGUAUGCGGUCCAAUGAGUGUUGAUGCUCGUGGCGGGUAUCGUUAUUUUCUGACCUUCACAAGAUGAUUUGAGCAGAUAUGAGUAUAUCUACUUAAUGAAGCACAAGUCUGAAACAUUUGAAAAGUUCAAAGAAUUUCAGAGUGAAGUGGAGAAUCAUCAUAACAAGAAAAUAAAGUUUCUACGAUCUGAUCGUGGAGGAGAAUAUUUGAGUUACAAGUUUGGCCUUCAUAUAAAACAAUGUGGAAUAGUUUCACAGUUCACACCACCUGGAACACCACAGCUUUAUGGUGUGUCCGAACAUCGUAACCACACUUUAUUGGAUAUUGUGCGAUCCAUGAUGUCUCUUAUAGGUUUACCACUAUCGUUUUGGGGUUAUGCAUUAGAGACAGUUGCAUUCACUUUAAAAAGGGCGCCAUCAAAAUCCGUUGAGACGACGCCUUAUGAAGUGUGUUUUGGCAAGAAACCAAAGUUGUCGUUUCUUAAAGUUUGGGGCUGCGAUGCUUAUGUGAAAAAAUUUCAACUUGAUAAGCUCAAACCCAAAUCGGAGAAGUGCGUCUUCAUAGAAUACCCAAAGGAAAUUGUUGGGUACACCUUCUAUCACAGAUCCGAAGGCAAGAUAUUCGUUGCUAAGAUGGAUCCUUUCUAGAGAAGGAGUUUCUCUCGAAAGAAGUGAGUGGGAGGAAAGUAGAACUUGAUGAGGUAAUUAUACCUUCUCCCUUAUUGGAAAGUAGUUCAUCACAGAAGACAGUUCUAGUGAUUCCUACACCAAUUAGUGAGGAAGUUAAUGAUGAUGAUCAUGAAACUUCAGAUCAAGUUGCUACCGAACCUCGUAGGUCUUCCAGAAUAAGAUCUGCACCAGAGUGGUACAGUAAUCCUUUUCUAGAAGUCAUGUUACUAGACCAUGAUGAACCUACGAACUAUGAGGAAGCAAUGAUGAGCCCAGAUUCCGCGAAAUGGCUUGAGGCCAUAAAAUCUGAGAUAGGAUCCAUGUAUGAGAACAAAGUAUGGACUUUGGUUGACUUGCUUGAUGAUCAGCAAGCUAUGUUAAAUAAUUGGAUCUUCAAGAGGAAGAUGGACACUGAUAGUAGUGUUACUAUCUACAAAGCUCGACUUGUUGCGAAAGGUUUUCGACAAGUUCAAGAUGUUGAAUACGAUGAGAUUUUCUCACUCGUAAUGAUGCUUAAGUCUGUCCGAAUCAUGUUAGCAAUUACCGCAUUUUAUGAAGUCUGGCAAAUGGAUGUCAAAACUGCAUUCCUUGAAUGGAUAUUUCUUAAAAGAAGUGUUGUAUAUGAUACAACGAGAAGGUUUUGUCAAUCCUAAAGGUGUUAACAAAAUGUGCAACCUCCAGCGAUCCAUCAAUGGACUGGUGCAAGCAUCUCGGAGUUGGAAUAUACGCUUUGAUGAGUUGAUCAAAGCAUAUGGUUUUAUGCAGACUUUUGGAAAGGCCUGUAUUUACAAGAAAGUGAGUGGGAGCACUACAUCCUUUCUGAUAAGUAUAUGUGAAUGACAUAUUGUUGAUCGGAAAUAAUGUAGAAUUUUCUGGUAAGCAUAAAGGAGUGUUUGAAAGGAGUUUUUCAAAGAAAGACCUUAGUAAAGCUACUUACAUAUUGAGCAUCAAGAUUUAUUGAGAUAGAUCAAGACGCUUGAUAAGAUUUUCAAUUAGUACAUACCUUGACAAGAUUUUGAAGUAGUUCAAAAUGGAACAGUCAAAGAAAGAGUUGUUGCCUGUGAUGCAAAGGUGUGAAGUUCAGUAAGACUCAAAACCCGACCAUGGCAGAAAAUAGAAAGAGAAUGAAAAGUCAUUCCCUAUGCCUCAGUCAUAGGUUCUAUAAAGUAUGCUAUGCUGUGUACCAGACCUAUUGUAUACCUUGCUGUGAGUUUGGCAAAGGAAUACAAUUUUGAUCUAAGAGUAGAUCACUGGACAGCGGUCAAGCAUAUCCUUAGGGAGGACUAAGGAUAUGUUUCUCGAUUAUGGAGGUGAUAAAAGAGUUCAUCGUAAAGAGUUACAUCGAUGCAAGCUUUUACACCGAUCCAGAUGACUCUAAGUCUCAAUCUGGAUACGUAUUGAAAGUGGGAGCAAUUAGCUAGAGUAGCUCCGUGCAGAGCAUUCUAGACAUAGAAUAUUUGCAAAAUACAUACGGCUCUGAAUGUGACAGACCCGUUGACUAAACUUCUCUCACGAGCAAAACAUGAUCAUACCUUAGUACUCUUUGGGUGUUAAUCACAUAACGAUGUGAACUAGAUUAUUGACUCUAGUAAACCCUUCGGGUGUUGGUCACAUGACGAUGUGAACUAUGGGUGUUAAUCACAUACAGAUGUGAAUAUUGGUGUUGAAUCACAUGAUGAUGUGAACUAGAUUAUUGACUCUAGUGCAAGUGGGAGACUGAAGGAAAUAUGCCCUAGAGGCAAUAAUAAAGUUAUUAUUUAUUUCCUUAUUUCAUGAUAAAUGUUUAUUAUUCAUACUAGAAUUGUAUUAACCGGAAACAUGAUACAUGUGUGAAUACAUAGACAAACUGAGUGUCACUAGUAUGCCUCUACUUGACUAGCUCAUUAAUCAAAUAUGGUUAUGUUUCCUAGCCAUGGACAAAGAGUUGUCAUUUGAUUAACGGCAUCACAUCAUUAGGAGAAUGAUGUGAUUGACUUGACCCAUUCCGUUAGCUUAGCACUUGAUCGUUUAUGUUGCAAUUGCUUUCUUCAUGACUUAUACAUGUUCCUGUGACUAUGAGAUUAUGCAACUCCAGUUUACCGUAGGAACACUUUGUGUGCUACCAAACGUCACAACGUAACUGGGUGAUUAUAAAGGUGCUCUACAGGUGUCUCCAAAGGUACUUGUUGGGUUGGCGUAUUUCGAGAUUAGGAUUUGUCACUCCGAUUGUCGGAGAGGUAUCUCUGGGCCCACUCGGUAAUGCACAUCAAUAUAAGCCUUGCAAGCAUUGCAACUAAUGAGUUAGUUGCGGGAUGAUUUAUUACGGAACGAGUAAAGAGACUUGCCGGUAACGAGAUUGAACUAGGUAUUGAGAUACCGACGAUCGAAUCUCGGGCAAGUAACAUACCGAUGACAAAGGGAACAAUGUAUGUUGUUAUGCGGUUUGACUGAUAAAGAUCUUCGUAGAAUAUGUAGGAUCCAAUAUGAGCAUCCAGGUUUCGUUAUUGGUUAUUGACCGGAGAUGUGUCUCGGUCAUGUCUACAUAGUUCUCGAACCCGUAGGGUCCGCGCGCUUAAAGUUAGAUGACAAUUAUAUUAUGAGUUUAUGUGUUUUGAUGUACCGAAGGUUGUUCGGAGUCCCGGAUGUGAUCACGGACAUGACGAGGAGUCUCGAAAUGGUCGAGACAUGAAUAUUUAUAUAUUGGACGACUAUGUUCAGACACCGGAAUGGUUCCGGGAGGUUUCGGGCAUAUACCGGAGUACCUGGGGUUACCAGAACCCCCCNNNNNNNNNNNNNNNNNNNNNNNNNNNNNNNNNNNNNNNNNNNNNNNNNNNNNNNNNNNNNNNNNNNNNNNNNNNNNNNNNNNNNNNNNNNNNNNNNNNNNNNNNNNNNNNNNNNNNNNNNNNNNNNNNNNNNNNNNNNNNNNNNNNNNNNNNNNNNNNNNNNNNNNNNNNNNNNNNNNNNNNNNNNNNNNNNNNNNNNNNNUGGGCCUUAGUGGAAAGGAGAGAGGGAGGCCAGGAGGUGGAGCACGGCCCCCCUUGCCCCAAUCUGAAUUGGGAAAGGGAAGGGGGCAGCGGCCCCCCUUCUCCUUCCUUCUCUUCACCUCCUCCUUCCCCCUUCUCCUACUUGGAAUAGGAAAGGGGGGGCCAAACCUACUUGGAGUAGGAUUUCCCCCCCCCUUGGGCGCGCCUCUCCCCUUGUCCGGCCCUCUCCUCCUCCCCUCCUUUAUAUACGGAGGAAGGGGGCACCCCAUAGACACAACAAUUGAUCAUUGAUCUCUUAGCCGUGUGCGGUGCCCCCCUCCAUCAUAUUCCACCUCGGUAAUAUCGUAGCGGUGCUUAGGCGAAGCCCUGCGUUGGUAGCAUCAUCAACAUCGUCAUCAUGCCGUCGUGCUGACGGAACUCUCCCGCAAAGCUCUGCUGGAUUGGAGUUCGUGGGACGUCAUCGAGCUGAACGUGUGCUGAACUCGGAGGUGCCGUACGUUCGGUACUUGGAUCGAUCGGAUCGUGAAGACGUACGACUACAUCAACCGCGUUGUGCUAACACUUCCGCUUUCGGUCUACGAGGGUACAUGGAUAACACUCUCCCUUCUCAUUGCUAUGCAUCACCAUGAUCUUGCGUGUGCGUAGGAAUUUUUUUGAAAUUACUACGUUCCCCAACAUCUUGCGUUGUGCGCUGUGCGUUGUGUUGUGUGUGUUUAGGGCUUGUUGUGAUGUGCCUUCAGCUCGGACCCUCUUGUCUUUGUGUUUGCUUGUGAACCUCCAUGUGUGUGUUUGUGUUUGGACUUGUGUGGAUCCUUGUGGGAUGCUUGUUGUGAGCGGUUACUUUAUAAUAUAAAGCGGGGCGAAAGCCUUUUUCGGUAAACGAUGCCACUAUUUUGCUAAGUGAAUAAAGGAGGAGAAGUUCUGUCAAAAAAUGGAUAAGACAAAUGUAAGGUUAAAAUAUCAUGCUAUGCUUUUAUUUUUAAAAAUCCUGAUCUAUUUUUUUCACAAAACACCCAAAACCUUAUUCAUUGGAAAUAACAGUACACCGUUUAUGAGGAAGGGUACAAUUUCAAUCAGAGGUUCCUCAAACCAAUCCAACGUCAAAGAAAAUCUAGCCAACCUAGCAAGCUCAUGAGCAUCUUUAUUUUCUUCCUUAUUACGUACAAUGUUCGAACCUAGCUAUAGUAAAAUUAUAAACAAAAUGAUAACAAUCAUCGAAAAUCGCCGCCACCCACGCCCCCAAAGAGUGACCACUCUUCUUCAUCGUUGAUACAAAUCAGAACAUGUCUCUACCAUGUUGACGGUAGGACAAUCCGUGGCACCAUGGCAGGUCCAAGUUUUUUGGUAAGCGGUUGCUAUGGUGACAUGUAAUGAGAGAGAGAGAGGGAGGGAGGGAGAGAGAGAGAGAGAGAAGUUGGUUCUUUUAUUGCUUUUUCUAGAGCGGAUAUUAUAACGUUUAGAUUGGUCUCUAAAAUGGGUAAAACUAACUAGCAACAUUUCUAGGUUGACAAAACGAGUUGGACAUAGCACCUUGUUCUUUCUUUUCUCAUUUGACAUUGCUUUGUACUCAUUGAGUUGCCAUAUUCACACCCUAGUUGUUGUAAGCACACCAGGAGGAGAAAAUGGCAACUCAGUGAGUACAAAGACUACUGCACACUAUUAACAAGCUUGAUUAUUGGAACUUUGGAAGCUUAAUAUACGAGAAACUAUUGCACACACUAAAUGAAAAGGUAGGUUGACCCUGUAGAGUAUAACACUAUGCGGGCCACACGGAUCGAUUCCACGAUGUAACUUGAUCAUGUACAGUGGCAAGACAAUUAAAAAAAUGCGCACAUCAUUCACUCGCUAUAAGUAUGCAAACAUGUGACUUAAACCGUUGUUACAACUUACAAUUACCUUAAUCAGUAUCUUUUUGAACAAGUUAAAGUUUUUGUUAGUGAGACCAACUUCAGUUCAGACGCACACAAAUGAACUUCACUUCAAGUUAAGAAACAAUCAGGCAAUUUAACUGACUUGCAAGCAUACUGUAGACGUUCCAGAACCGUUCUAAGUAGAAAGGACAACUAAGCGAAAGACCUUAGAAAGGCAGAGUGACAAGUAAUGCCCUAUUUUCUAAAGUCUAAAACCAUUUGGUGUAGUUCAGUUAACUGAGUAAACUCAAGUUCAGGUUUAGCAUGGCACCAGAUUUCACAGAACUUGCCGACACGCAGGAACCGAUCCAGUUAUCAACAAGAGCAUAAAGAAUGAACAAAUUAAAAAUCAUAGCAUCGAGUAUACCUAUGCAUAUCUCUGGCCGGGCCGGGCCAAAGAAAGCCCAGUACUAAAAACCCAGGCCCAAACUCGGCCUGACCGUCGGGCUACUAAAUCGGGCCUGAACCUGGCUGAAAGGAUCGAUAUAGUUGACUAGAGGGGGGUGAAUAGGCAACUAACACUUUUUAAUCUUUUCUUUACCAAUUUAAACUUUGCAUCAAAGUAGGUUGUCUAGAUAUGCAACUAUGUGAGCAACCUAUAUGAUGCAAUAACAACUAGCACAUAAGCUAGCAAGGGAUACAACACAAAUAAGCUUGCACAAGUAAAGGCACGAGAUAACCAAGAGUGGAGCCGGUGGAGACGAGGAUGUGUUACCGAAGUUCCUUCCUUUUAAGGGGAAGUACGUCUCCGUUAGAGCAGUGUGGAGGCACAAUGCUCCCCAAGAAGCCACUAGGGCCACCGUAUUCUCCUCACGCCCUCACACAAUGCCAGAUGUCGUGAUUCCACUAUUGGUGCCCUUGAAGGCGGCGACCGAACCUUUACAAACAAGGUUGGGGCAAUCUCCACAACUUAAUUGGAGGCUCCCAACGAUACCAUGAAGCUUCACCACAAUGGACUAUGGCUCCGAGGUGACCUCAACCGUCUAGGGUGCUCAAACACCCAAGAGUAACAAGAUCCGCUAGGGAUUAGUGGAGGGAAUCAAAUUUCUCUUGGUGGAAGUGUAGAUCGGGGCCUUCUCAACCAAUCCCGAGCAAAUCAACAAGUUUGAUUGGCUAGGGAGAGAGAUCGGGUGAAAAUGGAGCUUGGAGCAACAAUGGAGCUUAGGGAUGGAAGAGUGUGCCUUCUUGGAGAAGAAGACCCCCUUAUAUAGUGAGGGGACAAUUCCAACCGUUACCCACCACUCAGCCCGUGACCCGCGGUACUACCGCACCACAGGAGCGGUACUACCGCACGGGCCUACGGUACUACCGCGGCAGACUGCGGUACUACCGUGGGUGUGGCAGAGCCUGGACCUGAACAGAAGAGCACAGACAGGGCACGGUAGAACCGCAGGUGCGGUACUACCGCGGCCCUAUGCGGUACUACCAUAGGGCAACCACAGGCCAUGCACGGUAGGAACAGAUGUAAAAAAAUUACACCCGUGACUACCUCCGCUGAGAUUUUAUCGAGCGAAAAUCCGACACUGUACUACCACGAACCAGGGGUGCGGUACUACCGUGAAGGGUGUGGAUGUAAAAAAUUACAUCCGCCCCUACCUCCACUCCUGCUGUUGUACUUGGCUAGGCGACACGGUACUACCGCAUAGGGCGCAGAUGUAAAAAAUUACAUCCGCCCCUACUACCGCUUGAGCAGCAGCGCCAGGCCAGAACUCACGGUACUAUCGCUUAGGAGGAGCGGUACUACCGUGGAAGCCCAUGGUACUACCGUGCCGGAGCCCGGUACUACCGCUGGCUCCUGCGGUAGUACCGCUCAGAGGAGCAGUACUACGCCAGCCUGAGAAAAGCAACUCGGAGUCCUUCAUUUCGCAAAGACAAGGUGAGAUGGAGGAAACUCUAAAGAACCAAAGGAAAGGCGGUGCAAAAGGGACAUGUACGUGAGAUUCCACCCAAACCUUUCCAAAGCGGACCCCCUCUUAAUAGUACGACUUUCGUACAACUCAACUCCACCGAAAAGAACCAUAGAGAAACGUCGUCUUCAAUAAUCUUUGAGGGGCAUCAAAUCGUCUUGUGUUUAGUCAUGAUAUAUCUAAAAAUCUCAAUACACACGAUUAGUCCGCAAAAGCAUUGUCAUCAAUCACCAAAACUACUAAGGGACAAGAAUGCCCUUACAAUCUCCCCCUUUUUGGUGGAUUGAUGAAAAUACGGGAUUUGCACAAAGGGAAAGAAUAUAGCACAAGCAAACCCCACAUAUCCAGAAUAUAGACGAGCUCCCCCUAGAUUCGUGCUAGAGAGUAAAGUGCUUUGGACUGCACAGCACGAAUACUAGGAUCACCACUCCCCCUAUAUUUUAGAAACGAAGCAUAUCUUGCAAUGGUAAGGCAAACACUAAACAAGAUAGUAAAUAUGAGCAAAACAUAAAUAGCACGACAUAGCAUAAGCUCAAUAAGGUAAUAAGGUAAUAAGGUAUGAUAGAGUGCAUAUGUCUUACACCAUAUGAUAAACUUAGUCUCACAAGCACAACCAAACCAAAGCAAACAAGUUCAAUCGACGGAAAGCAAAGCGAACGGCGAAACACACGACACGCAAAUCCUACACUCUCUCCCCCUUUGGCAUCCAGACACCAAAAAGGCAGAGAGGGCACCUACAACAAAGGUGGUAGCUCAGGCGGAAAACGACUCCUCGUCGCCAGACUCCGCAGCAGGAAUGUACUCCUUCUCAGAAUCAGUCCACUGGUAGCCCUGCUUAGCCAUCCAGGCAGCCUCAAGGGUGAUGUGCUUCUCAGAGCCGCUGGCCACGUCCUCGCCGCACGCCCUCAAGAUCUUGUUGUCGCGAUGGCGACCCUCUUUCUGAGCAACAUGGGCCUUGUACUGACCCUGGACCUGCAUGCAGAAAAGCCUCUUCAUCUUGAUCUUCAGCUUCUUCGCAGAAGAGGGCUCAGCAAAUGGAGUAGUGAAAGCAGAACGACCUCAGUAGCCUCUUCCUCCUCAUCCACAGCCAUCCUGGCAGCCUCAGCAGAAGUGGUGGUGUUAGCCCAUUGGGGCUUGAUGCGGAGCCUGAUGGGCUCAUGACGAAUCCAGCCUGGAGCUUCAAACUCCUCAUUGGGAAAGAGCUUCUCCCAAGUCUUGGAGAUAAGGUGAAACAAGUAAGGCCCAUAGAUGGGGACCUUACGGUUGAACAUAGCGAACUGAAGCUCACACCACAUGAUAUGUGAGACAUCAAGUGGCUGAGUCUGAGCCUGACGGGCCUCCUCACAAAGGAGCAUCAUGUCAACGAGGAAAGCAUGCACCUGUCCCAUGUCACCAAUGCGCGGGAAGAGGGUGUUCCGGAAGAGCCGAUGCAUGAUGUCAAGGAAGGGGUUAAGCACCCACACCUUCUUAUUGCUUGGAAGUGUCUUCUGAACAAGGAAUGACAUGAUCUUGUUCUUGUUGGCAGACUCAGAGUUGGCAUGAGGGCGAACUCCAACUGGCGUGUCGAGCCCUUCAUCUGGAACGUGAAGCAAAUCCAUUAACUCCUUCCAUGUAGCAGACAUCUGUCGACCAUUGGUCAUCCAAGUCAUGGUCCUUGCUUCAUCAACGCCGAAGUAGACCGAAGCAAAGAACUGUGCUAUGAUCUCUGGAUCAAAAUCCUUGUGGAAGGUGAGCAUGUGUUCAAUGCCGAACUGCUCCACUAGAUCCAAGGCCUCUCCAAAGUACCCACUGUUCUUGUCCUGCCUCAUAUGAUGCAUGUCAAUCCAGUGAACUUCGACGUAGAGGUUCUGCUUGGCCUUGAUCACAUCCAGAUAGAUCAGAUUUUGCUGCUUGGUCCAGAAGAGAUCAUUGCCUUUCAAGUUAGUCCGGGGAGUCACAUAGGGAUUGAGCUUCCUUCGAAUGAAAAACUCGGCCUGGGGCAUCUCAUCCAUGCCCAUGACGGGAUCCUUUUGCUUGUUGGCGGCGUGCUUGGUCCUGAGUUGGGAAGCAGAUGACCCCUCUGGAGCUUCAUCUGGGUUGCGCAGCCGCUUUAACCCUGUGUCAUGGCUGGGAUUUGAGCGACGAGCAAAAGAACCGGAGCCACCACCUAGACACAAAACACAAGAACACGCACGAGAAACAAGACGGAUCAAUGCAAAAGACAGAGGCCAAAACCGAAGGAAACAAAAAGCAUGAGAUCUGGACAACAAAAAGAGCGCUGGAUAAAUCUACGGUAGUACCGGUGUACGGAUGUAAAAAAUUACAUCCGCUCCAGCCGCGGUAGUACCGUGCCGGGGUGGCACGGUAGUACCGCGCCCGGGGCGGAAGUAAUUUUUUACUUCCGAGCGCCAAGCGGUAGUACCACACCAAGGUGCGGAAGUGCCGCAUGGCGUCAGAUACAGGCGAGGCUGCGGUAGUACCGCUCCAAGAGGAGCGGUAGUAUCGCGCGGAUCGAAAACCGCGACAAGAGUCACGGAUCUGGAUCUAGAACCUCCGCACGACAACAUCGGUACUACCGUUGAUCAACCGGAACUAUUUUGACUAUCCAAAGAGCAUGCUUACUACACUACCACGCUCCUACGAAUCCCACUUGCACAGAUUUAGCCAAAAAUCUCAAGAACACCACAUGCAUCUCCCCAAGACCUUAAAGCACAAGGACGGGAGAAAAAGGAGAGGAACUUGGGGAAAAACCUUGGUCCAUGGCAAGAGGGCGAGGUGGGAAACGAUCCCACCGAUCGGAAUCCGAGGAGAGCGGCCGGAGACGGAGAUCCGGCAAAGGCCUCCGGUGCCGUUCUUGGGCAGGAGAGAGAGAGACGGGGUGGGGAAUAGAGAUGAAUGGGUAUGGGGAAGUUAGAACUUCCCCUGUCCCGCUCUUAACCCCCACCCGCUUGCGCGGGCGCGGAAGUACCGCGGGUCAUCGCGGUAGUACCACCCCGGCGGAAGUACCGCGCGCUGGGCGGUAGUACCGCUCUUUCAGUGGCUGUAAAAAAUUACUACAGCGAUGGUAGCGGUAGUACCGUGCCCCUGGAAGGCAACUGAGCAAGCGCAGAGCCACCAACUCCUGCGGUAGUACCGUGGCUCACCACGGUAGUACCGUAAUCCAAGAAAGUGCAAGAAACACACGAGAGAAAGAGAGCAAAUGCAAUACAACCUUCAGAAACACCGAACAACUAAGAAGCAAACACAAACGACGACACAAACACAACACAGAGAAGAGGAAGGCACACGACAGCGAAGAGCAACCACGAGACACAACCUCUCCAAGGAGAGGGCGAUGGCCAAAGCCACCUAUGUUUGAGUCAAUUGGUAUGGCACCACUAAGAAUUAUCCUUGGGCCCAUGAACAAAACUCGUCUUAUAAGCACAAGUACCAUCAAAAAUGGCUAAUGUGAAAGAGUUGAUCAAUUUAUGCAUAAUGGGGGGAGGGAGAGUUCAUUGAGAGAACAACACUCCCCCUAUGUCCAUGCCUACACCUAAACUAGACAACAAGUUGAGUGAGGUGGGGUGUGCAAGGGUUCAAGUCACAUUGCUCGAAUCAAUGAUAUUUAGCUCAUGCCUUAACUCGCGAAAUCUUGCUUCAUCCAAGGGCUUCGUGAAAAUAUCUGCAAGGUUAUCAUGAGUGUUGACAUACUUGAGCUCGAUCUCCCCUCGCCUAAUAUGAUCCCGGAUGAAGUGAUACCGAAUCUCAAUAUGCUUCGUCUUGAAGUGUUGCACCGGGUUGAGAGAAAUCUUGAUGGCACUUUCAUUGUCACACCAAAGAGGCACUUUGUCCCAAAUGACACCGUACUCCUUUAAAGUUUGCCUCAUCCAUAGGAGUUGUGCACAACAACUACCGGCUGCCACAUACUCCGCUUCGGUAGACGAGAGAGACACACAACUUUGCUUCUUAGAAGACCAACUCACCAAAGAGCAACCAAGAAAUUGGCACCCUCCGGAAGUCGACUUCCUAUCCACUUUGUCUCCCGCUCAGUCGGAAUCCGUAUAUCCUUCAAGCUUGAAGUUUUCUCCUCUUGGGUACCAUAAGACAAAGUUUGGGGUAUGAGCCAAAUAUCGAAAGAUUCACUUGACCGCCACAUAGUGGCUUUCCUUCGGUGCGGCUUGAAACCGUGCACACAUUCCCACACUCAACAUGAUAUCCGGUCUAGAUGCACAAAGGUAAAGCAAGGAGCCAAUCAUGGAGAAAUAUACCUUUGGAUCCACUGCUUUACCAUUGGGAUCAAUGUCAAGUUGGCACUUGGUGGGCAUUGGAGUAGUAGCCAGCUUGACAUCACUUAGCUUGAAUCUUUUUAGCAUGUCUUGAGUGUAUUUGGCUUGGUUGAUGAAAGUUCCUUCUCUUCUUUGCUUGAUAUCGAACCCGAGGAAGAACUUCAACUCUCCCAUCGAAGACAUCUCGAACUUAGAGGUCAUGAGAGCGGCAAAUUCCUCAUUGAAAGCUUUGUUAGGGGAACCAAAGAUAAUAUCACCAACAUAUAUUUGGCAUACAAACAACUCCCCUUUGACUUUCUUAGUAAAAAGAGUGGGAUCGAUUUGCCCAACCUCAAACCCACGAUCUUGUAGCAACUCGGUAAGGAGGUCAUACCACGCACGUGGGGCUUGCUUAAGGCCAUAGAGUGCCUUAUCGAGUUGAUACACAUGAUUCGGGAAGUAGGGAUCCUCGAACCCGGGGGGUUGCUUGACAUAAACCAACUCAUUAAUAGGACCAUUAAGAAAAGCACUCUUCACAUCCAUUUGUUGUAACUUAAAGUUGUGAUGGGAAGCAUAAGCAAUCAACAAACAAAUGGAUUCGAGGCGAGCAAUGGGGGCAAAGAUUUCACCAUAGUCGAUACCCUCAACUUGGGAGUAGCCUUGUGCUGCCAAUCUUGCCUUGUUGCGAAUGAUGUUCCCAUGAGCAUCUUGCUUGUUCUUGAAUAUCCACUUGGUUCCAAUGACGUUGUGGUUCCCCGACGGCCUUGGCACCAAUUUCCACACCUUGUUGUACUCGAAGUUGUUGAGUUCUUCAUGCAUGGCAUUGAGCCAAUCCGAAUCUUCGAGCGCCUCAUAGACCUUUUGGGGUUCAACACAAGAGACAAAAGCGUGAUGUUCACAAUAGUUUGCUAAUUGUCUACGAGUGCUUACCCCCUUUCUUAGGCUUCCAACCACAUUUUCCAUGAGAUGACCUUUGCUGGUGAGCUUGGAAGCAAUCUUCGCGGCACGACACUCUAACUCCUCCUCGGAUGUGGAAGGAGGAGGGGUAACUUGAUCAUCUUGAGCGCCGUCUUGAGCUUGUUCUUGGACUUGAACUUGCUCGAGGGGGAGAACUUGACCUUGGGCAUCAUUUGGUGGUUCACCACCAUUUUGAGGUUGAUCUUGCCCUUGGUUUUGUUCGAGAGGUUGAGGGCCUUCACUUUGUUCUUUGGAAGCGUGUGGGUCUUGGGAAGGUGAUGGCUCCACUUGAGUGGAGAAUUGUCCUUCUCCUUCGGCCACAAGGGGUUCCUCAAUGGGUAGGAUAUGACCAAUACCCAUUCUUCUUAUGGCUUGGGGAGGAAUUUCAUCACCUACAUCACAAGUACCACUUUGCUCCACUUGGGAGCCGUUAUUCUCGUCAAACUCCACGUUACACGUCUCCUCAAUGAGUCCGGUGGACUUGUUGAGGACACGGUAAGCAUGAGAGUUUAUAGCAUAACCAACAAAUAUGCCCUCAUAAGCUCUAGCCUCGAAUUUAGACAAAUGAACACCUUUCUUGAGAAUGAAACACUUACACCCGAACACCCGGAAGUACUUGAGGUUGGGCUUGUUGCCGGUAAGUAUUUCAUAAGGAGUCUUGUUCAAGCCUUUGCGGAGAUAUAGCCGAUUGGAUGCAUGGCAUGCUGUGUUGAUGGCUUCAGCCCAAAAGUUGUAUGGAGACUUGAACUCCGCCAUCAUGGUCCUUGCCGCAUCCAUCAACGCCUGGUUCUUCCUCUCCGCGACACCAUUUUGUUGAGGGGUAUACGGAGCAGCAUAUUGAUGCUUGAUCCCCUCAUCACUAAGAAACUCAUCCAAGGUGUAGUUCUUGAACUUGGUGCCAUUGUCACUUCUUAUUGUCAAGAUCUUCGCAUCAUGUUGACGUUGAGCUUCAUUUGCAAAGUCGAAGACGGUUUGUUGAGUCUCACUCUUCCUCUUGAAGAAGAAUACCCAAGUGUAUCUUGAAUAAUCAUCCACAAUCACUAAGCAAUAUUUUCUACCUCCAAGACUAUCAAAGGAUGGGGCCCCAAAGAGAUCCAUGUGAAGGAGCUCCAAGGGUCUCUUCGAAUAAAUGAUAGUCGUGGGAAGGUGAGCCUUUUCAUGAAGCUUUCCUUCGAUACAAGCACUGCAAGCACAAUCUUUGGCAAAACUAACAUUUGUUAGAUCACGAACAUGGUCCCUCUUGAGAAGACUUUGCAAAGAUCUCAUAUUGACGUGGGCUAGACGGUGGUGCUAAAGCCAUCCCACAUCAACUUUAGCCAUUAGGCAUGUCACGGUCUUAGUGGGUCGCUCCGAAAAGUUAAUCACAUAGAGACCGUUCUCGACAUGCCCAACAAAGGCUACUUUAAGAGUCUUGAUCCACAAGAGGGCCACAGUAUCAAUAUCAAAGAAGGUGGCAAAACCAUGAGUGCAAGUUGACGAACAGAAAGAAGAUUGAAUGCAAGGGACUCGACAAGCAUGACUUUCUCGAUCGUUAGAUCAUGAGAAAUGACAACCUUUCCAAGACCCAAUAACUUAGAAGACGAGGCAUCACCCCCACUCGACGUUGGUGGGAAUAGAUGGGAUCUUGUGCACGUCCAGCACCAACUCCUUGCUUCCGGUCAUAUGAUUUGUUGCUCCACUAUCAAGCAACCAUGAUCCUCCACCGGAAGCAAACCCCUACAUGAAAUUAAUGCUUGGUUUUAGGUACCCAUUGAGUAAUGGAUCCUUUGAUGUUAGCAACAAGGGUCUUGGGAACCCAAAUAGACCAUUCAAUGUACUCAUAAGGAGAACCAACAAAUUUAGCAUAAACAUGUCCAUCACUAGCACGGCAUAACACAUAAGAGGGGUUAAAGUCGCGGGCUUUGUUGGAAGGGGUGGCAUUGCCCUUCUUGACAUCACCACCCUUCACAUUGUUCUUCUUCUCCUUAGGAGCACCCUCUCCCUCCUUCACAAAUGUUUGCUUGAGAGGAGGAGGUCGUUUGGUCUUGUCAUUCUUCUUCUUGUUCUUGGACUUGGGGGUAAACCCAACUCCCUCCUUGGCCACAACUUCCUUUUGAUUGAGGUUUUUAUCACCUUGAAUGCAUGUCACAAGACCUUUCUUCAAUUGCUCUUUCAACUGGGCAUUCUCCUCCACAAGAUGCACAUGCUCACAACAUGGGUUAGUAGCAUUUGCGUUAUCAAUUAAGACCAUAUGAGGAAAAGUGGCUUUCUCCUCGGUUAACUUCACUUGGAGUUGAGCAUGAGACUCCUUGAGGCUAGCAUGAGCACCCUUCAAGGCCUUGUGAGCCUUGUCAAGUACAUCAAACUCCUCUUUGAGUCUAGCAAGAUCAACCCCAAGUUUAGCCUUCUCGGAGUUUGCCACACAAGAGACAACAAUAGCAUGAUCAAGAUCUUUCUUUAAUUUAGCAUGAUCAUCGUUGUGUGACUCCUCAAGAGUCAAACGAUGCCCACGCUCUUCCUCAAGAGCAUUAUAGAGAUCCGAUAUCUCAUCGACAUAGUCACUGACUAUGUUCUUCCAUCUUAGAGAUGGUUUCUUCAUGAGCCUCGAUCAUGUCAUUGGCUUCACCAAGUUGUUCCAAGAGAGCAACAAAGUGCUUCUUGGAUUUGCCCUUGAGUUUACUCAUAAAAGACUCAAAUUCAUUCAUCUCUUCAUUAGACCCCUCAUUUUCAUCAAUGCAAUCCAUCAAGGAAGGAUUAGUAAUGAUGGUGGUUUUGAUGUUGGGGGUUACCUUGUUAGUGGCUUUAGCCAUGAGGCACUUGGCGGUGAUGUUCUCGUUGGGUGAAUCAAAUAGAGACACCCGGGGAGUUGUAGCAAUGGCAACAGAGGCCAUGGCCAUUGUUUCUCCAUCUUCAUCAUCAUCAUCAUCCUCAUGGUAUUAUUCUUGAACCACUAACCCUCGAGUAGGAGUCUUCUUGGUGAAGUUGUUCUUGUUGGGGAAGGACUUGGCUUUGUCUUUUCGAAUUAGCUUGCCACCAUUGUCUUCCCACUUCUCGUAAGGACAAUCCACAACAAAGUGACUCACAUUGCCAAAAUUGUAACAAGUUCUCACUCGUUGCUUGCCCUUGAACCCACUUGAAUUGUUCUUGUUGAAAUUGGGCCUUGUGUUCUUCUUGCUCCAAAAUUUCCUUGAAGCAAGAGCCAUGUGCUCAUGAUAAUCAUAUUUUGUAUCCUCGAGAUUGCCCUCCUCAUCUUCCUCUUCGUCCUCUUCUUCCACAACGACCUUGGCCUUCAAGGAAAGAUUGGACUUCUUUGUUCUUUGAGACCGGAGCACCGCAUUGUCGGCGGUCUUGUCCAAGAUGCUCGUAGCAACGAACUCAUCCAACACUUCACUCGAGGUCAUGGAGUGGAAGUCCGAUCUUUGAUGGAUGACGGAGGACAUGGCCUUAUUGUAGGGCAUCAUGGCCUUUAGGAACUUGCCUUGAUCCAAUUGUCAUCUGUGUCCUUACUUUCAUGAUCUCGGAGUGAGACCGCGAGUUUGGUUACUCUCCGAAAGAGAUCACGAGGUUCUUCAUCUUCCUUCAUUGCAAACUCAUCGGCUUCAUCUUGCACCACUUCAUAGUUGGAGCGUUGAAUGCUUGCGCUUCCCCGAUAGAGAGACACAACGCAAUGCCAUGCGUCUUUGGCCAUGGCGUAGGGUCGAAGAUGAGGAAGAUCUUCGGGGAGAAUUGCAUCUUGGAUGAUGAAGAGAGCAUUCUCAUUGAAUUGAUUAUCCACGGAUUCUCUAGGGGUGAAGUUGCUUCGGUCAUGUGGAUAGAAACCUUCUUCAAUGAUUCUCCAAAGAUUAGUAUUCACAUGAUUUAAGUGAAGCUUGAAGCGAUACACCCAAGAAUCAAAAUCCUCAUUUUUCACAAUCUUAGGAGGAGGACCGACGUGAUUUAAAUGAGUAGAGGGAAUCGGUCCUCCAUAAGUUGGAGGUUCCACAUGGGCAUAGAUGCCGGUGCCAUUUCUACCACUAGUAGAAGGACCCUUUUCACUAUUAGCUUCCCCCUUGUCGGAGUUAGCAUCCGUCACCUUGUUAGUGGGAUCACCCACUUUCAUCGGCGAGGUAGAUAGUUUAAGUCCUUCUAGGAAUUUAGUAAACAUGCUUUCAACCUCGGUCGUCAUGGAGUUUUUCAAUGUGUCCAAAGCCACAUUGAAUUCCUCACGAGAUACCGCGGUUCCUCCAUCGGCCGUAGAUGAGGUAGGGUUCACACCGGAGUGCUCCUCCACACCAUCUGCAGUGUCAACCAUACUCUUCGGACAGCAAAGUCCUUAAUAAAGAGACGAGGCUCUGAUACCAAUUGAAAGGAUCGAUAUAGUUGAGUAGAGGGGGGGUGAAUAGGCAACUAACACUUUUUAAUCUUUUCUUUACCAAUUUAAGCUUUGCAUCAAAGUAGGUUGUCUAGAUAUGCAACUAUGUGAGCAACCUAUAUGAUGCAAUAACAACUAGCACAUAAGCAAGCAAGGGAUACAACACAAAUAAGCUUGCACAAGUAAAGGCACGAGAUAACCAAGAGUGGAGCCGGUGGAGACGAGGAUGUGUUACCGAAGUUCCUUCCUUUUGAGGGGAAGUACGUCUCCGUUAGAGCGGUGUAGAGGCACAAUGCUCCCCAAGAAGCCACUAGGGCCACCGUAUUCUCCUCACGCCCUCACACAAUGCCAGAUGCCGUGAUUCCACUAUUGGUGCCCUUGAAGGCGGCGACCGAACCUUUACAAACAAGGUUGGGGCAAUCUUCACAACUUAAUUGGAGGCUCCCAACGACACCACGAAGCUUCACCGCAAUGGACUAUGGCUCCGAGGUGACCUCAACCGUCUAGGGUGCUCAAACACCCAAGAGUAACAAGAUCCGCUAGGGAUUAGUGGGGGGAAUCAAAUUUCUCUUGGUGGAAGUGUAGAUCGGGGCCUUCUCAACCAAUCCCGAGCAAAUCAACAAGUUUGAUUGGCUAGGGAGAGAGAUCGGGUGAAAAUGGAGCUUGGAGCAACAAUGGAGCUUAGGGAUGGAAGAGGUGGGUCUUCUUGGAGAAGAAACCCCCUUAUAUAGUGGGGGGACAAUUCCAACCGUUACCCACCACUCAGCCCGCGACCCGCGAUACUACCGCACCACAGGAGCGGUACUACCGCACGGGCCUGCGGUACUGCGGUAGUACCGUGGGUGCGGCAGAGCUUGGACCUGAACAGAAGAGCACAGACAGGGCACGGUAGAACCGCAGGCGCGGUACUACCGCGGCCCUAUGCGGUACUACCGCAGGGCAACCACAGGCCAGGCACGGUAGGCAUAGAUGUAAAAAAAUUACAUCCGUGACUACCUCCGCUGAGAUUUUAUCGAGCGAAAAUCCGACACGGUACUACCGCGAACCAGGGGUGCGGUACUACCGUGAAGGGUGCAGAUGUAAAAAAUUACAUCCGCCUCUACCUCCGCUCCUGCUGCUGUACUUGGCCAGGCGACAUGGUACUACCGCAUCGCAGCAUGGUACUACCGCAUAGGGCGCGGAUGUAAAAAAUUACAUCCACCCCUACUACCGCUUGAGCAGCAGCGCCAGGCCAGAACUCACGAUAGUACCGCUUAGGAGGAGCGGUACUACCGUGGAAGCCCAUGGUACUACCGUGCCGGAGCCCGGUACUACCGCUGGCUCCUGCGGUAGUACCGCUCAGAGGAGCAGUACUACCGCCAGCCUGAGAAAAGCAACUCGGAGUCCUUCAUUUCGCAGAGACAAGGUGAGACGGAGGAAACUCCAAAGAGCCAAAGGAAAGGCGGGGCAAAAGGGACGUGUACGUGAGAUUCCACCCAAACCUUUCCAAAGCGGACCCCCUCUUAAUAGUACGACUUUCCUACGACUCAACUCCACCGAAAAGAACCGUAGAGAAACACCAUCUUCAAUAAUCUUCGAGGGGCAUCAAAUCGUCUUGUGUUUAGUCAUGAUAUAUCUGAAAAGCUCAAUACACACGAUUAGUCCGCAAAAGCAUUGUCAUCAAUCACCGAAACUACUAAGGGACAAGAAUGCCCUUACACCGGCCCGAGCUGAAAAAGCAUGCCACGGCCCGGUUGGCCUAUCUUGACUAUGACUAAAAUCUUGUUUUCCGCAAGCCCAAGCCUAGCCGAUCUGCCCAUUGGGCUCAAUUUUCAGUCCCGAGCCCAGCCCGAUUGCACGCUUAGGUUCGGCCCGGCCUAGGAUUUUCGGGCCAUCCGGGUCGAGCCGCCCAUGGCCAAGUAUAGCGUCGAUGAACUAAUUUGAUGUAAUCUUUUACCCAAUCCAACGCACCAUCGCUAACUCAUUCACUACUGCGCGCGCCGCAUUGCGGAGAAGUGAAAGUCAUACACACGCACCCCUUAGGGCAUCUGUAGCCGUUUCCCUAAAUAUUAGAGGAGUAAACUGAGGAGUAAAUCUUAUUGAGGUAUAUAUAUUUAUUUAUUACGGGAAAACUUUUGAUCUAUUCAUCUUUGAUGAUAGUACAACGAAUACUAAAAGAAAUAAAAAUUACAUCCAGAUCCGUAGACCAUCUAGCGACGACUACAAACACUGAAGCGAGCCGAAGGCGCGUCGCUGUCAUCGCCCCUCCCUCGCCGGAGUCUGGCAAAACUUGUUGUAGUAGACAGUCAGAAAGUCGUCGUGCUAAGGUCCCACAGGAGUAACACAACAGAACAACAACCGUCACCGAUGAAGAGUAACGUAGAUCGAAAGAAUCUAGCCUGAAGACAGAAGAACAAAGUCGGACGACGACCACAUCCGAGCAAACCCACCAAAGACAGAUCUGCUGGAGACACACCUCCACACAAAGCCGAUCAGUGAAGUAUAUUUAUUCAUCUAUAGAAAAAACAUUUCUAGCCGAACUCGCAAAUUUACUUGAGUAAAACAUAAACGAUGCAAAUCCGGUGCAAAUUAAACAGCAUUCAUUGCAAAUUUGGUGUAGAUUUAACACAUUACAUAGAACUAACUAAAAUUAGAUUUGACAUGUUUAGAUAAAUUUGACCUAAUCUGAUUCAUCGGAUUCCUCCUCGAGCUGCUUUUAUUCCCUUCAAGACAUGCCACUGAUCAUCGGGUUUGGCCCAUCGCUGCCGCUACCGCAAUCGUUGGAGCCGUCGUCGUGGCCGUUGUUCUCACCUUCGCCCUCGCCGUCUUCAUUGCUGCAUAGGUCGAUGACCUCGGUCCUUCCCACCGCUUACUCCGCGUAGAGCCGUCGUUUGGCCUCUCUAUGCGCUCUGGGAAGCGGUGGCAGAGCUCGACCAUGUAUGCCUCACUGGUAGCCUCCGCCACGGGCAGCUAGCGGGCCACCCGAUCCUCCCGUCUCUCCCCUGUGCGUUGGCCACCCGGUUGUCCAUUGGCGGAUCCACAGGCGGAAAAUAUCGAUCAGGCAAAUUGUCGUGGAUGGCAGCGCUGUAGAGGUGAACCAACUUGAUGUCGUAUGCACGUGCAUCAAUGCCUUCGCCGAGUGGAAGGAGCCCAGCCAGUGAGUUUUCCAGGUGUUGCGGUCGCAUAUUUUCGUGACCCAAGUCCCUCACUAGCGUUGUCGCACACUAUGAUACCUUGACACCAGCGGCAAGGGCGGUGGGAUCUCAAGGAAGCCGCUGGAGGAGGAGGCGGCGCCGACAAGGAGGAGGAAUGGGAGGAGGAGGUGGAGCCGCCAGCCACACGCCGCAGAUGGGCAGUGUGGAGCGGUGGCGACCUCCGGAUCCAACCAUGUCACCUGGAUGGGCGGCGUUUUGUGGCAGGGGCAUGGAGACGGCGGCGCGUGGGAGAGGAAGAGAGGGGGAAAGUUUUACUCCUCGACCGGGCGGGCGAGUAUAUUUACUCCUCGGCCGCCGCUCGGAGUAAACAUUUUAGUCCUCUAUGGGUUUUAGGAAAUCGGCUAUGUCCGGCUUAGAGGAGCAUCGGCUAAAGAUGCCCUUAGCAUCUGGGAUUUACUCAUGCUCCACUGUACGUGCGCUUAGAGCAUCUCCAACAGGCGCCCAAUGCGCCGCGCGGUAAAAACGGAUUUGGCGCGCACCCGUCGCCUGGUUUGGCGCAGCGCGCAGCGUUUGCUCCAGCAGCCGCGCUGAAAAGCCGCGUGCGUGCGCAACUCCAGCAGGCGCAGUAAAAUGCAGCGCGCGCGUUCAUUCUACAAUACUUCUUAAAUUAAAAUUGCAUAGAUAAAAAAACGAUACAAAGAUAUUUUACAUCGGUGCAACUACUACGGCAUAGAUAGAUAGAUAGUUCGACAUACAUAGAUAGAUAGAUACUACGGCAUACAUAGAUAGAAAACUACUCCAAGUCUACCAUCACCAUCAUCAUCCUCGUCGGUGUCGUCCGAGGUUGAGAGCCAUAUGUCGUCCCAACGUUCAUUGUCCGGGGUGAAGAACGACCUCCCACCUGCUCCAACGAUGUCGCACUGCUCGUUCGCCAGUGCCUUCCGCUGACGCCGGUCAGCCCGCUCCGAGCGGCGCCUUGCCGUCCUCUUCGCCCAGUAGGCACGCUCGGCGUCGACGUCCUCCGGGUGGCGACGGCACCACUCCGCCAUGGCUCGCUUGUCCUCCUCGGCGACGAGGAGACGGCGCUGCCGUCGAGCGUGGUCGGCACGGUCCAUGUCCGUGAUGAGACGCGGCGGAGGGGCGACGCGCUGCGCCUGCUCGCGUGUGAAGACGUCCCGAAAGUUCAUCUGCGACCGGGGCCUCUCCAAGCGCCACGCCGCCGCGUCGUACGUGCGGGCCGCCUCGUGCACGCUUCGGAACGUCCCGAGGCCGAGCCGGACGUCACCGGCCCGUAUCUCGGCGGAGUACAAGCCGUUGGGGCGCUCGCAGACGCCCCGAAAGCCCGAAGCACCCCGGCGGCGCGACGGCAUGGUGGCGCGGUGGUUGCGCGGAAAGCGGCGAAGCGGUGAGUCAGCGAAGCGGCGAGGUUGCGAGGAGGAGGGCGCGUGGCGAGCGCGGGACUUUAUAGGCGUGCGCGAAGCGGCGCGUCAAAUCUACCGCGCCGUGUGCCGCUUUCUCCCGCGCGCGCAAACGCUUCCCGCGCGCGGUAACUUCCCACCACCGCUGGAGUGCGCGGAACCAACCGGCGCGUGCGAAAAACUGCUUUUACCGUCCGGGUGCGCGUUUUGCCGCGCCUGCUGGAGUUGCUCUUAUUGGCAUGUACACAAGCAUAUAUUCAAUCUCAAGGUAAUGUCAGCCCAGUAGUUUGGAUAAGGCGUGCAAUUAAUUGGAUAAAAUUUGGACCGUGCUGUAAUUUUGCUCCGUUUGCUUAACCUUUUUUUGGGAUUAAAAGCAACAAGAUCUCCGCCGGCAGCCAUCCCGUGAUCGUACGUAACCGUGGACAUGGAUAGAUCGUCCGACGCCUCCUGCUUCCAUCCCGUAGAUGCCGCCGCCGCCGGUCACCAGUCCUGGGUUCUCCUCGAUAAGAAUGGCGGCUACGCCGACUGCGAGAACGAGACCACCGCUGAAGCCAAGAUGAGCACCGGCGGCAGCAUCAAGGUCAGCUUCUGCCUCGACCCGCCGCCGCACGUCUCCUGCCUCUUCGUCCACGAGACCGUCUCCCGGCGCGAGGAGGAACGAGCCGGAAACUCAGCGCGAGUCGAGGUCAUCUCAAAGGCCAAGGACCUCAUCCUCCUCCGCCGAUGGGGUCAUCCAGAAGAGUCUGCGCCCUACGACGAGCAAUUUCUCUUUUUUGUCUACCAGGUUGCAGCAGGCCGCAGAAGCAAGCCCUCGCUCACACCGAUCCCGCUACUCCGACUCCUUUGUCUUCCUGCGUCGCUGUCUUGCCCUUUGACGAUGACUGCGGGCAGUUCCUCCUCGCCGAUCUCAGCGUGGGCAAGUACCACUACCCGAUGACCUAUCAACUCCACCUCUUCUCCUCCAAGACGUGCGUGUGGAGCACCAGGCCGCUCACGCCUCUCGUCGACUUCAGGCAGGCCGACAUGCAUUGGCGGUGGCAGGUGUAUGCCGGUGUAUGCACGGGAAUACCCAAGAUUUAGAAAAAAAAUUAUAUACAUGUCAGCGGUCAGCCCAAAACAAACGCAGCCCACGAAAUCUCUCGUUCGCUCCAGUUCGCAGUUCGCACCGACGCCUCCAGCCUUCCGUGGACGUCUCGACCCCUCCUCGCAGCGUUCCCGCACGCAGCGCCGCCGCCCGCCAGAGGUAGAUUUCGACUAGCGGCGGCGCCCUGCCCCCUGCACCGGCGGCGCCCAGCCCCACGCCCCCCCCCCUCCUCUUCGGCUCGGAGGGAGCAGCAGCAGCCGAGCAGGGACGGGCAACCCUGGCGGCGCCGCCCCUCCCCUCGCGGCAAAGAAACAAAAGGUGCGACGACCUCUGCCCUCGCGGCCUCGCCCCCAAUUUGUGAUUUCUUGAUUUGCUGAAAUUACUAGAUGGAGGCAGUCGAUCUAUUUAACAGAUGCAAGUAUCUAAAUUUAUGUUCCCUUUGUUUGGCCAAACGUAGAUGAAGAUGAAGAGGAGUGGAAUUGUUGGCAGUAGCAUAUUUGCAAUGUGGGAAAAGGCUUCAAAAGCAAGGAAAAUAGGUGAAGUAUCCACACCGAAUCAGACCGUAGCUGCAUCUAGUACUUGUACUUCUCCUGUUCAUUUGGAGAGCAAUUUGCAAUUGGUGUUAUGGCAAGAACCGGAGAGUAGAGGAGAAACCUCAAUGCCUCAUGUAGAAGAUGAUGAAUUUAUUGAUGAAGAUGAUGAACCGAUGCAAGCAGAUUUGGAGGCACUCGAACAUGAUCCUGGAAAGCGGAUUCCCAUCUCAAUGUAUGCUGUCAAUGACCAAGAUAGAGUAAGAAGGAGAUAUAUUGAGAUGGGGUGAUGUCAACCAAAGAAUCAUGAGUUCAAGUUUACAAAUAAAAGUGGGAAAGAUCGUCGCUUUUGUCGUGCUUGGUUUAAAGAAUUUCCAUGGAUUGAGUAUAGUGUGGAAAAACAUAGAGCUUUCUGCUUCGUUUGCUAUUUGUUCAAGGAUAAAACAAGAUGUCCCGGUGGAGAUGCUUUUGUGAAUAAAGGAUUUAAUAACUGAAACAUGAAGUCGAGAUUGAAGAAACAUGAAGGUGAGGUUAGUAGUGCUCAUGCUGAAGCUCAAGAGAAGUAUGAUAGGUUCACUACACCACAAACAUCAAUUCAGGAGUCUAUUGCUUCAAACACCUCACAAUACAAGGCUUUGUGUAAACAGCGUUUGACAUGGACACUCAAGUGUGUGAGAUUUCUGUUGUGCCAAGGCUUUGCAUUUAGAGGACAUGAUGAAAGUGAAGACUCGCUAAAUAAAGGAAAUUUUCUUGAGCUUCUAAAUUGGCUAGCUGGAAAUUUUGAAAAGAUUGACAGGGUUGUUCUCAAGAAUGCUCCACGGAACUGCAAGAUGACUCACCAUGAUAUACAACAAGAGGUGAUAAAAUGUUGUGCACAAGAGACUACUAAAUUAGUCAUUGAAGAACUUGAUGGUGGUCAUUUUUGCAAUACUUGCAUAUGAGUCUAGUGAUGUGUAUCAGAAUGAACAAUUGGCUGUUUGCUUGCGUUUUGUUGAUAAGAAAGGAAGGGCGGUUGUUAGAUUUCUUGGUAUUGCUCAUGUUGAAGAUACUACCUCUUUGACACUAAAAGCUGCAAUUCAGAAAAUGCUUAUGGACUACAAUCUGACCUUUUCGAUGGUUCGUGGGCAAGGAUAUGAUGGAGCUAGUAACAUGAGAGGUAAUGUUAAUGGCCUGAAAAAACUGAUUAUGGAUGAGUCCCCUUCUGCCUACUAUGUUCAUUGUUUUGCCCAUCAACUACAGUUAACUCUUGUUGCUGUUGCUAAGGAGAGUGGUGAUUGUACUUGGUUCUUUCAGCAUCUUGCACACUUGUUAAAUGCUCUUGGCAUGUCUUGUAAAAAGAUGAGAAUGCUUCAGAUAGCUCAGGCUGAAGAACUCAUUGAUGCAUUGGAAUUGGAAGAAGUAGAAACAGGGAGUGGGCUGAAUCAGGAAAUGGGUUUGGGAAGGCCAUGUGAUACACGUUGGGGCUCUCACUUCAAAACUGUGAACCAUGUCAUCUCUAUAUAUGGUGCACUACGACGAGUCAUUCGCAAGAUUGGAGACGAGUACCAUGGUGCGGAGGCACAAGCGGCUCUAUCCAUAGAGACAAUAUUUCGAUCAUUUGAGUUUGUUUUCAUGGCACACUUGAUGCAAGAAAUAUUUGGAUACACAGAUGAGUUGUGUAGAGCUUUGCAAAAGCAAGACGAAGAUAUUGUUCAUGCUAUUGAGCUUGUUCGUGACACAAAGUAUUACUUGGAGACUUUGAGGACCGAUGCUGGAUGGGAUGAUUUUCUCAUAAAGGUCACAUCUUUUUGUACAAAGCAUAAGAUCAAAGUUGUUGAUAUGGAGGGUCCUUACUUUCCCGUUGGCCAGCCUAGAAGGGGUUUAUGUAAUGGUGUGAUCAAUUACCACCGCUUCAAGGUUGAUAUGUUUGUGGGUGUCAUUGAUAGGCAAAUCAGUGAGCUGAAUGGCAGAUUUGAUGAGGUAAACACAAAGCUACUUUCUUGCAUGGCAACAUUCUGUCCACUUCAUCUAUUUGCUGCUUAUGACCAAGAGAAGUUGGUUAGGCUUGCUACAAAGUUUUAUGCUUCUGAUUUUACAAGUGAUGAACUGGCAAGACUUCCAUGGCAACUAAACAUGUAUGUUACUAAUGUGCGUAGAGAUGAAAGGUUUCAAAACCUGAAAAAUCUGUGUCAACUUUCAGUUGUGCUUGUGGAGACGAACAAGCAUGAACAAUAUCAUAUUGUUUACAAGCUUCUUAAGUUGGUAUUGAUUCUGCCAGUAGCUACGGCUAGUGUUGAAAGGGUAUUCUCUUCCAUGAGCCAUGUGAAGAAUAAGCUAAGGAGCAAAAUGGGUGAUGAAUAUUUGAACAAUUGUUUGGUUACAUUUGUUGAGAGAGAACUUUUCAAUCAAGUGAAGGAUGAAGAUGUCAUCAAUCUCUUCCAAAAAGGUGACCGCAAAGUUAUAUUGUAAGAAGGAUAUCAUCACUUUAUCAAUCAAAAGGUACUUAUGUAUUCAUGUCGUUAUGGUCUGGUACAUUGAAAUAUUGCUAUUAUGGUUAUGCUAGUGUUGUUUUGUUCAUAUAUUGCUAGUGUUGUGUUAUUUGGUUCAUAUACUACAUUUAGAGCAAAAAAUAUUUGAAUGAAUACCCAGCCUUCAUUUCCUGGAGCCGCCACUGCCGACAUGCCCUGCCAACCCACCAAGGUGAUCGCGCUCGGAGGAACCCUGCUGGGCUGGGUGGACCUCUGGCAGGGCAUCGUCGUCCUCGACGUGCUCGACGACGACCCCAUGCACGUUCGGUUCAUCCCGCUGCCCAAGCCCGAUUUCUGCCGGUCCGAGUAUCACGCGCCCUGGGAUCGAGCUCCCCCCAACGCGGUCCACCGGGACAUCGCCUACUGCACCGACGGUUUCAUCAAGUUUGUCGACAUGGAUCUCCGGUUCCGCCACGUUGCCAUGAUCAAGGAAAGGCCCGUGAUCAAGACGACCACGGAUCUCGAUCACGCAGACACCAUCCUCGACUCCAAGCUCCUCCGCCGCGAAUGCGAAGAUAACAACAUACAUUUCGUCCGCGUCCCUAAUGGUUGGAAGAUCCGAACAUGUUACAGGCAUGUUUCGUGGGACUACUGGCGCAAGGACUGUCGGUGUCAAAACCGGCGGAUCUUGGAUAGAAACUCUUGAACCACAUUGUGAGGAUCAUGCCCAUGUCCGAGCUUUUACAUUCUCUCAACAUAUGAAUACACCUCCUCCACCCCACCAAAACACGUGGAACGACGACAUGGAUGGCUACUACUACAAUGGAAGCUUCUAUGGACAUGAUCGAGGUACGACAAUAUCAACUACCAGCUGCAUCCACCCGCCGGAUGGUCGUCUAAUCUGCCACAAUCUCACCAUGCCAGCUUGAAAUCAUUCGGAUCAGGUAAUAACACUCACAAACCUUGUCAUAUGAAAUUGCCCCCCUUUUUCCAAGAAUUUAAAAGUUCCCAAACUUUAAGGUCUUCGAAAUCAAUUUAAGAAAAUAACAAUAUGCAUACAGUUCUUUUCCUGACAUGAAUAUAGUUUUGUGCUACCUCUUACUACUUUUUUUAUAAAGACCUCUUACUAUUUUUUGCUUUUGCUAAAGGUUCCAUCUAUCCAGUGAACCCCCAAUUGAUGUAUCCAGUGUCAACGGUGAACUCUGCAGCCCAUGGCGAACAAUGCUUAUCACUAUCGUUGUUGCCAAUGUGGCCGGAAUCCUCAUAGCCCCCGGCUUAUUCUUCAACAGGCAUGGUUCAAUUUAGUUUCAAUAAUACCUUUAUAACUGUUACAGACCCACAAGGUAUGCAGCGGGCAAAAAUUAUGGUAAAGGGCUGGUGGUGGAAGAGAUGUUUUUGUUCUUGUUUCUGGAAGUUCUGGGGUGUUGAGGACUGUAGGAAGUUUACAUGAACUUUUUUUAGCAGUUUUGGUGUGAAGUGCGCUGAAACGAAUUUCAGUGCAUUCCUACUGUUUGGUAGUACUUCUUUUAUUUCGGUUAGUGUGUCAGUUUUUAGUAUAUUUUCAGUUCGCUGUGUUUAUAUUUCAGUUCCUCGGAAUGGGCACCAUAAGUGUUUGUUUUAGUCUUUCAGCUAUUAGUCUCAGUUUUUUAGUAGAUUCGGUUUUAGCUGUUUUGGUAGAUCAUUUUCUUAGCUUUAUUGUUGAUUCAUUUUUAGUUCUUUUAGUAUAUCAUUUUCUCAGCUCUAAUGUAUUUGUUUGAAUCAUCAUUUAGUUUUCAGUUUUUAGUCACCAGUAUUCCUAAGGAUCAGUACCUUAAGUGUUUCAUUUGACGAAAAAGGGUUUCCCCCGCUUUGUAUUACAAAGCAACCACCGAUACAUCCAACGAUAGGUGCUGGGGCCGCAGCACAG